RNAcentral lists this long non-coding RNA (141397 nucleotides) under Citrus sinensis (sweet orange). Its description in RNAcentral is "long non-coding RNA (CSIN_LNC004380)". Lineage: Eukaryota; Viridiplantae; Streptophyta; Magnoliopsida; Sapindales; Rutaceae. The record is from RNAcentral.
UUUUCCCAAAACAAAAACCCAUUUGUGAAAUUAGAGCAACCCAAUGAUCAAAAUUCUCCAAGGAAAGCACUAAAUCAAUACAACUAAACUAAUCCCAAGUUCAAAUACAUAUUACAAGCCAAAGGGUUAAAAAAGAAAGAAGAAAUUUAACCUUGGAUGACCAAAUCGAAUCGCUGGAAGUGACACCGUGCCAAGCACGGGACACGAGGAGAGAUAGUGCCACGCUGCGUGCGUCGAGGUUCUUAAAUAUCAUCAACAUUAUGUCUCUACCCAAAACCUCAAGUGGGUCCUGUGAUAAUUCAACUUCUUAUUCUUCGACUUCUUCUUCAUCACCUCAAAUAAAACGUCCCCGUUUUGCAGUUUUUCUUCCAUUUCUUGCAGCUCCAUUCAGUGAUACUGAGACAGAGACAGUGAGUGAGUGACACGAAGAGGAUGGGGAACAGAGCUCGUCCUUCUUCAGGUGUGCUCAGCAGUGAUGAUGAAUGUAGGCAACUGGACACGUCGUCUUGUAAUUUUCCUUUAUUCGGGAUAUUGACCACUGUUCUCCUCAGUUUUGGUAAAGUACAAAUAAGAAUAACAAUUUGUACCAUUUUCAUUUGAAUCCCUGCCCUAGGGUCUUGUGACAGAAACGCAGAGACAAAAACUUAUAUGGUGGACGCACCACCUCAGUAGAAUGAUCUAUUAUUUGAUAAUAUUAUAGAUCUUACUAUAAAAUUGAUUUGAUUAUCAAGUGAUAAAAUUCUAAUUAUUUUACAUAUUUAUAUUUUUAUAAAAAAAUUGUGUGAAGUUAUUUCAUGAACUAUUGAGUUUAUGAGAUAUUUUUAUAAUAAAAUUUACUUAUACUUUCAAAUUUAAUAUAUUUUACUUUAACACUACUAUGAAUCCCAUUGUAAGACUUAUUACUCUACCGCAUAAUAGAACAUUGUCUCAAUCAUCUUAACAUACAAAGGGCUAAGGUGGUGUAACAAUCUCUCACAAGUCCUCAACAUUCUCAUAAGGACCUGUAUGAAAAUGCUUGCAGAUUAUGUCCUUCCUCUUAAUUUCAUCAAAAUAUCAGAUUGUGCGUAAGGAUGGCAAAUUGAUGGGUCGGAUUUGACUUUUCUAGCCCAUGCGCAAAUUCAUGUUAAGGAAAAUAUAAAGGCUGAGUUGAGCUUCCACAUAUUUUUUAAUUUUUUAAAAUUAUUAUAAAUUUAUAAUAAAUUAAUAAUAACAUUCAAUUAAAGAAAUUAACCAUUUAAAAUAAAUUAAUAAAUAAAAAAUGAAGUAAAUAAAAGUUUUAAAUUUUUAAUACUAAAUUAUCUAAUUUAAAAAUCCUUUAAUUAAUUAAAACUUAAGAUAGAGUUUAAUAUUAUAAUAUUAUAUUUUUUAAUCAUCAUUUAAUUUAUGAAUUAGGGAUUUAAAUUUUCAAUUCUUUUUUAUUUUCUAUUUUAAUUUAUAAGUUAUAUUAAAAAAAAGAAUCAAAUCUGAUAUAAACUUUUUUUUUCUUAAACUCUUAUAAAAAACCCUUGUGCAGGCUCUCAUGAGAAAUGCUAGGUUGCCGAACCUAAUUAUACCCGCAACAUUAAUUUAUAAUGUAAAAAUAUAUUACUAGGGCUAGAGGUGCUUGAUCUAAUAUAUAUCAACAGAUCUUAUUUUAUUGACCACUUGAAUCAUAGAAUAAUAAAAACUGAAUAUUAAUUUAAAUUUUAACCACAACUUAACCUUUUUAGAAAAUUAAAAAAAAAUGAAAAAAAUCUAUAAAUUGGGUUCCGGAAAAAUAAGAGUAAAAAAUAUUAAUUUAAACUUUGUCUGUACCCCAAUUUUUUUUAAAAAUAAAAAGAUUAAAAAAAUAGUCUAUAAAUAUGUUUCUGUUGAGGGAAGCAGCCACGUGGGUCAUGCACAAGAGCAAAAAAACUUCUCAGUAAAGUCCAUUGCAUAUCCAAAAACACUUUGUAACUAUUUUAUUCCGCAAAAUAACGAAGUACCAAUUACCACUUAUGACAUUUUACAACAAAGGACUUCCGAUGAGAAGCCUCAUUUUAAUAAAAGGGAAAAAGAAAAGUCAAUUGAUAAACGGCAGUAAACACUACAUUGGAGUAUGUGUUUCUUCCUGUCUUUCACUUUAGUCAAGCUUUCUCAUUGGAAAGUUAUUCUAUAUUUCUAUGUCUAUUUGGCGAACCGGCAGCACUUCAUUCUAGACACAUAGAAGCAGGUGUCCUGUACCACCAACCCUGUGGCCAUCAGGAACACUGGAGUAGCAGUAGAGGAUAUUCGACAUUUCCCAGCCCCAGUCCUUCUUCCUAGAGACAAGCAUAUGCGGCCAGCAGCGGUUUAUUCUAACAUAGUGCUCCCUAAUCUUUCCUUCACCAACAACACUGGUAACUAUAGAGUAACAGCAUUCAUGCCCACCCCAUACCUUGUCACCAGGAUCUGCAGUUUGACUCCCAUCUUCAUGAAAGUAACGGUGCAUUAGGGGCUAGUACCCUUCCAGUAGGGGUCGAGAUUAAGCCAAUACUCUGGUACCACCUGAAGGCAAAAUGGCAUUCAAAGGCAUUCAUCCGAUCAAUUGAUCAUUUCAGUUUCCAACAAAAUAGUAGAAAGCUGCACAGUAAAGUAAAGGACACACAACAAAUGCCUUGGAUGCAUGCUAAGAAAUGUUUGAAUAUAGGAUUACCAGGAUUAUCAUUUACUUGUGACCAGUCCAGGGAAUAGUUACAUGAGUGAGUGCCUGAAUUAUGAGCAAUGCCUUACAAAUAGGCAGAUUAUAAUUCAUGAGUUUCGUUCCUCAUGGUCCGAAAUUUCAUUACCAAGGCUACACAUGAUCAAACUUUUAAAGCGUCAAAACAUUAAUGUUUUAUAUGUUCACAUUUCAAACUCAUGCAAGUUCUAGUAAUUUUGGCAGCACAUCAAGGCCAGACUGAAAUCAAGAGGCGAGUCACCACUCACCAGACCUUACCAAUAAUUCAUAACGUAUAAGAAGCACUGUACUAAAUUACAUACCUCGUUAAAAUGAAACUCCCAAACAUGAUCACAAAGGUCUUCUUUCAUGAUACGAGUCUAAGAAAAUUUAAAAAAAAGAAUAGUUGGUGAUAGCUUGCUCAAACAUGCAUAUGGAGAGUGAGUGAUUCAAAAGAGAGACAGGAGAACAAAGGGAGAUUGAUCAGCACUCACGCGUUUUCCAUCCGUGACAGACAAUGAAUAUGCGGCCAGCUUUCAUAACCCCUGGACUACAGCUGAACGAGGUAUGUGCGCUUCCCCCAACCACAGUUCCUCGCACUAAAAUAGACAGGAAACUCAAGUGAAUUAUCUUUACUCAGUUACUCUUCAAAGUAGAAGCAUGACCCAUUAAGUUACCUGGAGAACUGAAAAAAAUAAAAAUAAAAAUAAAAGGUAGAUAUUCUCUUCCGGGUAGGUUUCAAAUCAAGCAGAGAAAAUAACUGAAGUUAAGUUAAAAAUAUAUUUAUCUUCACAAAUCAUGCAAUCAGAACGAAUAAGCAACUUAGGCCAUAAGGCAGUAAAAACGUGCAUUGGCAUUCACAGUUCAGUUUGGUUUUAUAUAAAAAUAUACCCCAAUCCUUUAAAUAAACCAAUAAUUUACCCAAGGUCUAGUUUCAAUCAUAAGAAAGAGCUUCCUAGGGCCCAGGAUUUUGAAAAAUAAAAUAUACCAACAAUAUACCUCAACUAAGUUACUUUACAUAGAUAUAUCCUUAAGGGGUGAACAAAGACAAAUAGAUACUAGACAAAAAAUAUUCAGCUUAAAUCAAGAAUACUCAGACGAAUUCAAGUUGGUCAAGAAAGCCAAGUCGAGUAGUAAAUUGAGUCAAAAAUAAGUUGAGUAUUCAUAUAAUGCUCCUGGCGGACAAGAAAUCCUGUAAGCUGGAUUUAGAUCCAGUACUGAGCUUGGCUGUGCUCAUCUCUUCAUAAUCAUCUACCACACAUGCAUGGAUAGCAAUUUUAGGUGAAGAUUUAAUUAAUUUUAUAUUCUUAUUGUUGAGAAGUCAAUAUUAGCCCAAAUAAGUCCACACCUAAAUUAAUUUGAUGUCAUUGCUUACAUCAAUUUAGUUAGGUGAAAAUUAGGUAUUUUUCCCAUGUUUAAUUUCAAUGGUUUAAAUUAGUUUGUGGUUAUUUUAAUGAGUGGUUUAGAUUGUUUCUUGUAACCUAUAAAUACCUCAUUUGUAUUUGAGUUUUAUUAUUCAACAAUAAAAAGCUUUAUUAUAAGCAUUUGAAAGCUUUCUUAAGAGUUCUUCUCUUUUUGCAAUUUUGUGAGAUUAUUCUAAAGAGAGUUUUUCUUCUUCUUGAUCAAUUAGAGUUUUUACUCUAUUUUGAUUCAACAUUUGGUAUCAGAGCAUUGGUUGUAAAGUCUCUUGAAAUUCCGAGUAUGCUCUGUGGUUGCAGUUUUGACUGAUCUUCCACAUCAGAAAAGAUUUCUUGAGAUUAUUGCUGGGGUUAUCACAAACCUUGAGAGGGAGCUUCUUUGUGUCAAGAGUAGUGUAUUAUUCUGCACGGUAGUCACUCAAGAUUGUUCGGUGUAGUCAAAGUCUUGUCGAUACGAUGGGUGAUCUUCAAGUUGUUGGAGGAAUCAAGAAGCUCAACAACCAAAACUAUAACACGUGGGCAACGUGUAUAGAGUCUUACCUUCAAGGUCAAGACUUGUGGGAGGUUGUCGGUGGUAGUGAAGUUACACAACCGGCAGCGGAAGAUGCUAACGGCGUCUUGCGGAAGUGGAAAAUUAAAGCAGGCAAAGCAAUGUUUGCUUUAAAGACCACAAUAGAAGAAGAAAUGUUGGAGCACAUUCGGGAUGCUAAAUCACCGAAGGAAGCGUGGGACACCUUCACUACACUCUUUUCGAAGAGGAACGAUACAAAAUUGCAACUUCUCGAGAAUGAACUUCUAUCAAUGGCGCAACGCGACAUGGCGAUUGCCCAAUACUUUCACAAGGUGAAGUCGAUAUGCCGCGAAAUUUCAGAAUUAGAUCCGACAGCCGCUAUUGGGGAAGCCAGGAUAAAAAGAAUAAUUGUCCAUGGCUUGAGACCCGAAUACCGAAGCUUUGUAGCCGCUGUACAAGGAUGGCCGACACAACCAUCACUUGUUGAGUUUGAAAAUUUGCUGACAGGCCAAGAAGCUAUGGCCAAGAAAAUUGGAGGAGUCUCACUAAAGGGUGAAGAAGAAGCGCUUUACACCAACCAAAGCAGAGGUGGUUUAAGACAGCACAACAAAGGCGGAUCUAGAAAGACUAGUGAACAGACAAAAAGUCAUCAGGGAGGGAAUGGCUCUCGUCUAGGGGGAGCUUCGAAGAAUCGCGACAGUAAUAGAAAGUUCAUUGUUGAAUGUUACAAUUGCGGGAAGAAGGGCCACAUGAAGAGAGAUUGUUGGUCCAAAAGAAGUCUACCGAAAGCAAUAUUGUUACUUCUAGUUCUAAAGAAGAUAGUGAAGAUAGCUGGGAUGCCGAAGCAUUACUCGCUAUGGAGGAAGAAGAAUUAGCUCUCACGGUAACAACACCAGAAAAGAUUAACUACGAGAAUGAUUGGAUCGUAGACUCAGGCUGCUCAAAUCACAUGACGGGUGAUAGACAGAAGUUGCAAAACUGUUCUGAGUACAAGGGAAAUCGUGUGGUGGUAACAGCUGACAACUCAAGGUUACCGAUAGCUCACAUCGGUAAAGCGAUCGUUACACCUCGAUAUAGUCCCAACCAAGUGCCACUUCAAGAUGUCUACCAUGUUCCAGGAAUGAAGAAAAAUUUGCUAUCCGUAGCUCAAUUGACAUCAUUAGGGCACUAUGUCUUGUUUGGUCCACAAAAUGUGAAGGUAUUCCGAGACCUAAAGAUCUCAGAAAAGCCUACGAUGGAGGGACGGCGAUUGGAGUCAGUUUAUGUGAUGUCAGCUGAGUCUGCAUACGUAGACAAGACAAGAAGGAAUGAGACGGCAGAUCUAUGGCACAUGCGGCUAGGUCAUGUUAGUUAUUCCAAGCUAAGUGUGAUGGUGAAGAAGUCGAUGCUUAAGGGACUUCCUCAACUUGACGUGAGAACAAAUACUGUUUGCGCGGGAUGUCAAUAUGGUAAAGCACAUCAAUUGCCAUACGAGGAGUCGAAGUUUAAAGCAAAGAAACCAUUAGAGUUAAUUCACUCUGAUGUGUUUGGACCCGUUAAGCAACCAUCAAUUGGCGGAAUGCGGUAUAUGGUUACGUUCAUUGAUGAUUUCUCCAGAUAUGUAUGGGCUUUCUUCAUGAAAGAAAAAUCUGAAGCAUUCUCAAAGUUCAAAGAGUUCAAAGAGAUAGUCGAAGGAGAAGUGGAGCAAAAGAUUCGUUGCUUGCGCACAGACAACGGGGGUGAGUAUAGCUCGAGAGAGUUUUCUCAAUACCUACGGGAAUGCCAAAUACGUCAUCAGUAUACUUGUGCCAAUACGCCACAACAAAAUGGUGUAGCAGAGAGGAAGAAUCGGCACCUUGCUGAAAUUUGCCGGAGUAUGCUACAUGCGAAGAAUGUACCUGGAAUAUUUUGGGCCGAAGGUAUGAGAACUGCAGCUCAUGUCAUCAACAAGCUUCCUCAACCAAGGUUGGAGUUUGUUUCACCCUUUGAGAAAUUGUGGAACAAGAAACCUAUAGUUAGCUAUCUUCGAGUAUUCGGCUGUGUAUGCUAUGUAUUUGUUCCUGACCAUCUACGUAGCAAGAUCGAUAAGAAAGCAGUCAGAUGUAUCUUUGUGGGAUACGACAAUCAGCGAAAAGGGUGGAAGUGUUGUGAUCCAGUAGAUGGAAGGUGCUACACAUCACGAGAUGUGGUGUUUGAUGAAGCAUCCUCAUGGUGGACCUCAGAAAAAGAAGUGCUGCCAGACUCGAAAGAAUUCGAAGACAUGCUACAACAAAAGAUGGGGGAGCAUACUGUCCAAAUUCAUCUAAGCUCAGCUGGGGAUCUAUGCGAUAGUGAUAGCGAACGAAGAGUAACUCUAAAUCCUUGGCAAUCUGGGGUGUAUCGACAACCAGAUGAAGAAGGUGUGCCUAGUGAAACNNNNNNNNNNNNNNNNNNNNNNNNNNNNNNNNNNNNNNNNNNNNNNNNNNNNNNNNNNNNNNNNNNNNNNNNNNNNNNNNNNNNNNNNNNNNNNNNNNNNNNNNNNNNNNNNNNNNNNNNNNNNNNNNNNNNNNNNNNNNNNNNNNNNNNNNNNNNNNNNNNNNNNNNNNNNNNNNNNNNNNNNNNNNNNNNNNNNNNNNNNNNNNNNNNNNNNNNNNNNNNNNNNNNNNNNNNNNNNNNNNNNNNNNNNNNNNNNNNNNNNNNNNNNNNNNNNNNNNNNNNNNNNNNNNNNNNNNNNNNNNNNNNNNNNNNNNNNNNNNNNNNNNNNNNNNNNNNNNNNNNNNNNNNNNNNNNNNNNNNNNNNNNNNNNNNNNNNNNNNNNNNNNNNNNNNNNNNNNNNNNNNNNNNNNNNNNNNNNNNNNNNNNNNNNNNNNNNNNNNNNNNNNNNNNNNNNNNNNNNNNNNNNNNNNNNNNNNNNNNNNNNNNNNNNNNNNNNNNNNNNNNNNNNNNNNNNNNNNNNNNNNNNNNNNNNNNNNNNNNNNNNNNNNNNNNNNNNNNNNNNNNNNNNNNNNNNNNNNNNNNNNNNNNNNNNNNNNNNNNNNNNNNNNNNNNNNNNNNNNNNNNNNNNNNNNNNNNNNNNNNNNNNNNNNNNNNNNNNNNNNNNNNNNNNNNNNNNNNNNNNNNNNNNNNNNNNNNNNNNNNNNNNNNNNNNNNNNNNNNNNNNNNNNNNNNNNNNNNNNNNNNNNNNNNNNNNNNNNNNNNNNNNNNNNNNNNNNNNNNNNNNNNNNNNNNNNNNNNNNNNNNNNNNNNNNNNNNNNNNNNNNNNNNNNNNNNNNNNNNNNNNNNNNNNNNNNNNNNNNNNNNNNNNNNNNNNNNNNNNNNNNNNNNNNNNNNNNNNNNNNNNNNNNNNNNNNNNNNNNNNNNNNNNNNNNNNNNNNNNNNNNNNNNNNNNNNNNNNNNNNNNNNNNNNNNNNNNNNNNNNNNNNNNNNNNNNNNNNNNNNNNNNNNNNNNNNNNNNNNNNNNNNNNNNNNNNNNNNNNNNNNNNNNNNNNNNNNNNNNNNNNNNNNNNNNNNNNNNNNNNNNNNNNNNNNNNNNNNNNNNNNNNNNNNNNNNNNNNNNNNNNNNNGCUGUGUAUGCUAUGUAUUUGUUCCUGACCAUCUACGUAGCAAGAUCGAUAAGAAAGCAGUCAGAUGUAUCUUUGUGGGAUACGACAAUCAGCGAAAAGGGUGGAAGUGUUGUGAUCCAGUAAAUGGAAGGUGCUACACAUCACGAGAUGUGGUGUUUGAUGAAGCAUCCUCAUGGUGGACCUCAGAAAAAGAAGUACUGCCAGACUCGAAAGAAUUCGGAGACAUGCUACAACAAAAGAUGGAGGAGCAUACUGUCCAAAUUCAUCUAAGCUCAGCUGGAGAUCUAUGCGAUAGUGAUAGCGAACGAAGAGUAACUCUAAAUCCUUGGCAAUCUGGGGUGUAUCGACAACCAGAUGAAGAAGGUGUGCCUAGUGAAACAGAAGAAUCAACUCCAUUACGAAGGUCAACAAGAACCCGAAGGCCAAAUCCCAAAUACGCUAAUGCAGCCAUAGUUGAAGAAGCAACUGGAAUAGAACCUGAGACGUUCGAAGAAGCGUCACAGAGUUCUGAGUGGAUGACAGCUAUGAAAGACGAGAUCACUGCACUUGAGCAAAAUCAGACCUGGGAACUCGUGCCAAAGCCAAAAGAUGUGAAACCCAUAUCCUGCAGAUGGGUUUACAAAAUAAAGCACCGUCCAGAUGGGUCAAUCGAGAGGUACAAGGCUCGAUUGGUAGCUCGUGGUUUCUCUCAACAAUAUGGACUAGAUUAUGACGAAACGUUUAGUCCAGUGGCAAAACUUACAACCGUCCGAGUCUUACUUGCACUUGCAGCCAACAAAAGCUGGAACUUGUGGCAGAUGGACGUGAAGAAUGCCUUUCUCCAUGGAGAGCUGGAUAGAGAGAUCUACAUGAUUCAACCGAUGGGUUUCCAGAACCGAGGUCAUCCUGAGUAUGUGUGUAAGCUGCGAAAGGCUCUUUACGGACUAAAACAAGCACCCAGGGCGUGGUAUGGCAAGAUUGCUGAAUUUCUAACUCAAAGUGGGUAUUCAGUAACAUCUGCAGACUCCAGCUUGUUUGCUAAAGCUAAUGGAGAAAGGAUAGCUAUUGUGCUCGUGUACGUAGAUGAUCUAAUCAUCACUGGAGAUGAUGUUGAAGAAAUUUUCCGAACAAAGGAGAACUUGUCAGUUCGUUUUCAAAUGAAAGAACUUGGACAACUUAAGCAUUUCCUUGGGCUAGAGGUUGAUCAGACGAAAGAAGGGAUAUUUCUUUGUCAACAGAAAUAUGCCAAAGAUUUGUUGAAGAAGUUUGGGAUGCUAGAAUGUAAGUCGAUCUCAACGCCGAUGGAACCAAAUGCCAAGAUGUAUGCACAUGAAGGCAAAGACCUGGAAGAUGCAUCGAUGUAUCGACAAUUAGUGGGUAGUCUAAUCUACUUAACCUUGACUCGACCUGACAUUUCUUAUGCAGUUGGCGUGAUGAGUCGAUACAUGCAAAAUCCGAAGAAGUCUCAUUUAGAAGCGGUUCGGCGAGUACUCAGAUAUGUGAAGAGUACAAUAGACUAUGGUCUUCUAUACAAGAAAGGUGGAAAUUGCAAACUAGUUGGCUACUGUGAUGCUGACUAUGCAGGAGAUCACGAUACUCGCAGAUCAACUACUGGGUAUAUGUUUACCCUUGGAUCUGGAACGAUUUCUUGGUGUAGCAAGAGACAACCGACUGUGUCCAUGUCAACUACGGAAGCAGAGUAUCGAGCAGCAGCAAUGGCAGCUCAAGAAAGCACGUGGCUGAUACAACUAAUGAAUAAUCUACAUCAACCAAUAGAUUAUACAGUUCUGUUGUACUGUGACAACCAAUCGGCAAUUCGGCUAGCGGAGAAUCCUGUUUUUCAUGCAAGAACUAAACAUGUGGAAGUGCAUUACCACUUUGUUAGGGAAAAAGUUCUGCAAGAAGAGAUUGAGAUGAGGCAAGUUAAGACAGAUGAACAAACUGCUGACUUGUUUACAAAAAGCUUGAGUGUUGGAAAGUUUGAACAUUUCCGUCGUCAGCUUGGCGUGAUUCAAAGAAUGGGGGCUAACAUUGAGGGGGAGUGUUGAGAAGUCAAUAUUAGCCCAAAUAAGUCCACACCUAAAUUAAUUUGAUGUCAUUGCUUACAUCAAUUUAGUUAGGUGAAAAUUAGGUAUUUUUCCCAUGUUUAAUUUCAAUGGUGAAGUCAAUAUUAGCCAAAUAAGUCCACACCUAAAUUAAUUUGAUGUCAUUGCUUACAUCAAUUUAGUUAGGUGAAAAUUAGGUAUUUUUCCCAUGUUUAAUUUCAAUGGUUUAAAUUAGUUUGUGGUUAUUUUAAUGAGUGGUUUAGAUUGUUUCUUGUAAUCUAUAAAUACCUCAUUUGUAUUUGAGUUUUAUAAUUCAACAAUCAAAGCUUUAUUAUAAGCAUUUGAAAGUUUUCUUUAGAGUUCUUCUCUUUUGCAAUUUUGUGAGAUUAUUCUAAAGAGAGUUUUUCUUCUUCUUGAUCAAUUAGAGUUUUUACUCUAUUUUGAUUCAACACUUAUCUUUCUAAAAGAUUAACAAAAAUCUCAGCUCAGCGCUGAAUAAAAAUUCCUGUAAACUAGGAACAUAAAACUCAAUAAUGACAUGGAAAGCUUAUAUUCAAAUUCAAUUGUAUUCAUGAUAUGAUUAUUUCAAACAACCAACCAAAAAUACUUAAAACAAAAACCCAAUUGUGAAACUAAAAAAACCCAACUCUCAUAUUCUCCGAAGAAUGCACUAAAUUAAUUAAUUAAAUUUUUUAAAAAAGAAACAAACCUAAAUUCAGGUACGAGGCAAAAAGAUUGGGGAAAAAAAAGAAAGAAUAGGAAAGGAAAUGAACCUUGGGAGUCCAAAGCGUGUCGCUUGAAGCGACGCCGUUCCAAGCACGGGAUACAAGGAGAGUCAGUGCUACGCUGUGUGCUUUUAGGUUUUGAAGUAUCAUCAACAUUAUGUCUCUACCAAAAGCAUCCAGUGCGUCCUGCAAUAAUUCUUCAGUUUCUUCUUCUUUUAGUUUUUCUUUUCUUUCCUCUCGCUUUCUCUCCUUUAUCAGUUUCAUCUUCGUCUUCUUCUUCUUCAGUAAAACGACAUCAUUUUCCUGUUCUUCUCUUUUUCGCAGUUCCAUUCUGUGUGGUAGCAGCUAUUACUACAGAGCAAGCGAAUGAAAGGAAUGACCAGAAGCUGCGAAAAAUGAGGUAAUUGUAAUAACUCCGAAAAACAUCAAAAUAUAAAAAUAUGUUAAUGCUAAAGGACCUGUCUAUGGUACAGGUUCUGUAACAAACAUCUCCCGUCAUCCCACCAUCCGAUUUUCUAUUGUUUAGUUUCUCACUCCACAUCCAACCACAUCCAACGGCUGAUGCUGCAGUCUGUACCUUACAGAUUCUGUAAGCUAGUCGAGUCCAAUGCUAAAAUGCCCAUAUUUAAUUUUUUUAAAAUCAUUUACAGUAUGUAGAAAUAUACGACCGACAAAUUUAUUAUUUUUUAAAUAUAAUAAAUUUUACGUGGCUCAAACUCAUUCUCUCGUAGAUAUUAUUGAACUACAGGCCUACAAGUUAAAAAGUUAAUACUUUUUUACUUAUUAUUUUAUUCAAUUUUUUUAUCACUUGAUUUAUUAUUCAACUUUAUUAUGAAGAUUGAUAAUAAAGUUGAGAAUAUUUUUUAUUUACGAUAUUUUAACCUUUUUAGAGUAUGAUUAUGUAAAACGAGCGGUCGGGGGUGUUAUCGGUAUUAUAAAAGAAAUAAAUAUCUAUUUAAAAAAAAAAAGCGGUGGGAGGUCACGUGGUUUAGAUACUGUUCUGUAAUGAUGAUAGUUAAUACUGGUCCGAUAAUGCAUUCUUGCCACGAGCCCCAGAGCAAAGUCAUCCUUCAAUUGAAGGACGAAAAUCGGGCGUUUGGGCUCUGGCUCAAAUACGUGGCAAGAUGCUGAGUGAUUGCUUGGCAAAACAACAAGUUGAUGACUUGGUUGUUUAUUGUGAUAUUAGAGGUGGCAAAACCGAUGACAAAGUGGUUUUCGUGCCAUGUAAAAUUUAGAGUGAUUUAGAUAUUUAUUUAAUAAUUAUGUUAAAAUAUUAAAAUAUUUAUUUAAUAAUUAUGUUAAAAUAUUAAAAUUUUAAGUUUGAUAUGAAAAAUAACAAUUGACACAACGUAACUUAUUAAUUAAUAAUUGUGUCGCGAGAUACCUUAUAAUCUAUUUAAUUAACACUCAUUUAACAUGAUUUAUAUCAAUCAUUUUUGCUCCUAUUUAAUAAAAAUUUUACAAUUUUUAUAUAUCUAAAUAGUAUUAUAUAUUGAUAUCAUAAAAAAUAUACAUAUUUAUUGAUAUAUUACAUAUUUACACCAUUCAGGUUUUAAAAGCAUCUAGAAUUUUAUGAAAUGGAACACCACAUAAAUGUUUAUCCUUCGUAAGUAAUUGUUUCGUUAACUGAGUAGAUAGGUCAAGAAUAUAGGAUAACGAUUCUCUCUUGAUCUGAUCUCCUCCUGAGAAAAAAUACAUGUAGGUGAUUGGUAGUUAAUAAAUUAAAAAAUUAAAAAAUUAAAUUCUACCCAUACACUAUUACUUAAAGACAAAUGGAACAAGAUUUUUAAAAGCUCAUGAGAGCUCAGAUCAGGAGAGGAUCUUUAUCCCAAGAAUAUAAACCUAACUCGAGAAGCCAAAAAAUUGUGUUAAAAAGGGUACGGCCUAUUUAAUUAUCGUGUCAAAUUUAAUAAUCUAAAUCUACUUUUUUGUGUUGUGUUCAUGUUUGCUAAAUGGAUUGUAUCAAAUUUUGUUAGUACUAUUUAUAGUAUAUUAGAUAUUUAAAUAAGAUUUGCUUCUAAAACGAGAAUUAUAAAGUUCAGGUGUCUAUUACAUAUGUGUCAUGUAAGGCACCGUCCGACGCAAUGUAGCUGGACCCGUCAUGUAAAUAUAUUAAUCUUUCUAGCAUAUCUCUCUUCUCCCCCCUCUUACUUGUAUAAAAAGAAUUAAUGUCGUUAAUACCAACAGGUGAAUACAAAUGUGCCAAAAAAAAUUUCUUUAUUUUUUCAUAGAGAUAUAAUUUCAUUCCAACAAUAACAUAAUAGUAUAACAACUAGUCCAUAACAGACUUGGAGAUCAAUCUAUAGAUAAUCUGAUAGAAUAAAUAGUUGAACAAACUUUUUACUUUCAUAGUUCACACUAACGAAUAAUGAGAACACAAUGCAUCAGAGACUCUAUUAAAGAGCAUCUCUUAAUCAUGCAUCCAACAUGCUCAAGCUCUAUCGGGAACAUCUCCAAUACCAUGUCUAGAUCAAGUAGUAUGUAUAGUUUCAGGUUUAUGUGCUUUUUUUUUUUUUUUUUCGAUUCCACCCUAUGUGGUGGUUGUGUUCAUUUGGUUGUGUUUCGUGUUGCUGAUGUGUUCAUCUUUCAGAUUUUGUACUUGAAUGGGUAAGAUUUGGCAAAUAGGUGACCAUGAAUCAUUUUCUAAUGUGGAUUUGUUACAUUGCUGGUUGUAUUUUGAACCUAAAUUAAAUCUAUUUAAUUAGUCUUCUGGGAGUAAAUUUAUGAUUUACCUAGCAAGAACAAAAAUUCCUUAGCGACAUCUAAAUUGAUCGUGUACAUAUUAAAAGGAUGUGUAUAAAUCAUUACAUGAUACUUUAGUAUGCUGAUAUUUUUCCUAGCACGUCAGUAUGAGAAAUCAAUUAUUUGUUUAUCUGUUGACUGCAAUGAAUUUAUCUGUACAUUAGUGACACACACACACACAUAUAUAUGUAAUCAUUUUCAGGUGUGGAUGCCUUCAUUUGUUUUAAUGCGAACACGGUUUUAAGCUAUGCGGUUUUAUAACGUUAUGCACUAACUUUAUUGAACUACGCCCGUACUAAAGAAGGAUUAUAUAUAUGUGUAAUAUAUAUACGUAUACAUAAAGUUCAUGCAAACUAAGGUUUUUAUUUAAGCAAUUCACAUUUUAACAAUAAAUGCUCUUCACUCUUGUUUGCUGGUGUAAUUGGAUGGAUGGUUUUGCUUCAAUAUUCUCUGUCUCGCUCUUUCGUUUAUAGUUUUUACCAACUAAUUGAGAGGAAACAAAAACUGUUUGCCGAACGGCCGAACAUGUCCACCGUAUAUAUACUGGGAUCUGUGUAAGUUACAUAAGUAUUAACAACUGAUCGUGUUUUUAAUUACUUUUGUUUAUUAAUAACUUGUAAUGAGAAAUCUAAUUGCACUGAUAAUUUGAGUAAAUUUCAUAUAUUUUCUUUACAUUUUAAAAGUGAAAAACUAAUUUAACACUAUUGGACCAAAAAUAUUAUGGGUCCAACUAAAAUUCAAAUAAAUAUUGUCUAAACAAAGCCGAAGAUGAGUUCUUAGGAUCCAAAGAGAACACAUAUUUAAAAUAUGUGAUUCUUCCUGUUUUUUCGUUUGGUCGAGCUUUCUCAUUGGAAAGUUAUGCUAUAUCUUGAAAGUAUUUGGCAAACCCAGCAGUACUUCAUUCUUGAAGCACACAAGCAGGGGUCCUGUACCACCAACGUAUGAUUUACUCGUGACUAGUCAAGGGAAUAGUACAUGAGUGAGUGCCUGAAUUAUGAGCCUUGCCUUACAGAUAGACAAAUUAUAAUCAUGAGUUUUGUUCCUCAGGGUUUUGAAAUCUCAUUACCAAGGGUACAAGUGAUCAAACUUUUAACCCGUCAAAACAUUAACGUAUAAGUAUUAUACGUUCGCUUUUCAAGCUCAUGCAAGUUCCAGUAAUUUGGCACUACAUCAAUGGGCAGACUGAAAUCAAGAGGUGAGUCUCCACUCACCAGACUCUCUUAAUAAUGUAUAACAAGCACCAUACUAAAAUUAGAUACCUUAUUAAAAUGAAACUCCCAAACAUGAUCACAAAGGUCUUCUUUUGUGAUAUGAGUCUACUAGAAUCAUUAAUUGAUCAAAAUUGUAUAAAGGUUGUAUAAAGGUUUAAAAAAAAGAAAUAUCUCAUUAAUUGAUCAAAAUUACUAAGUUCAUCUAUUAGUCAAAAUUAGAAUGAUAAAAAAUCAUUAAAUAAUAAAUAUUCUUAAUUUAUCUGUUAUUGUUUAUAGUAGUUGUAGUACAUAUAUUAAUUAAAAUUUAUUAUGACCGUAAUUUUCAAUAUUUCACAAAUCCCCCUCUCUGUUUCUUUUCUUUUAUUGUGCGUUUUGGUUAUUUUUUAGGGAGAUAGGCCCCCUGAUGCGACUUACAAUUACAGGUGACAUGUCUAAUCUUGCUCACAAUUAGUAGAGACUAGAGAGUCUACGGUCAAAAUUCUUUUUUUUUUUUUAAAAAAAAAGAGUAAUUUGAUUUUUCAGCCACUUUCCUUUUUUGUUAUCAACUAGUCAUAACUCACAAGCGUGACAAUCACUAAAUUCAGGGUGUGUUUGGAAUUGAUGUUGGACAGAUAUAACUUAAAAGUUAUAACAGUAAAGUAUUUGGUAAACACUAUCUGUUGUAACCUGAAAGUUAUGUUAAUAUGAUUUUUCACUUAUAUAAUAGAGAAUCUAUUAUAUCUUCAAUAAUUUUGUCAAAAUUAUUAUUUAAAAUUAAUAUUUAUUACAUAUUAUUAAUUUUUGUUUCAUAGUUACAACUUUUUUUUCACAGCAAUUGUAGCUUAAAAGUUACAACACCUCAAUUCCAAACACACCCCGAAAGUGACUUCCUCACAGCCGGCAACUAUCCACUUGCCAUUAGUUGAAUGCGGGAGUGGAAUCGUGUCUUUUGAAAGUUAAAAUAAAGUUAGAAGGAAACAAAUUGUCAAUGUGGGUUCUUAGAUCAAUUUUAGGACAACCACAUGAUUUUGUUGAUGGAAUAAAUGUCAUUAACGUGUUUAUUUUUUAGAUUUAGAAAAAAUAUCAUGUGUUUAUUUUGGGAUUUAAAAAAAAAAGAAGAAUGAGAAUUAUUAAUAAUAUUUACUUGCUAAAAAUACAAAGAAAUAUAAAUAAAUUUUAAGUGAGUCUCAUAAAUUUAGGAAUGAGUAAGAAUUUCAUUUAGAUGGAAGAGGCGGGAAUAAGAAUGGAGAAAUGAGAAUAAAGAGUAAAAAUCGUUCAUCUUUAUUGAAAAUUACAACUUUCUUUUUACUCCAUUUUGGUAACUUACAAUCAUCUAUUCUAAUUUUAAAAUAAAGUAAACACAUCAAGUUUGGAAUACUGUUGAUUUUGAUCUCGGUUCUUGCAGUUGAAAUAAACAAUUUAUUCUUCUACAUUUUGAUUCCAAUUCAUUUUUAUUCCAAUUCAUUUUUAUUCUUGCCUAUUAGGAUUCAUAGUUAAUAAAUGCACUACUAAUAUAUUGUCAAAGAGACUCUAUUUUUUAGUUUCAUUCUAAUUCAUCUCAAAUCUCUCUCAUAUUGAAUACUUUGUUGAAAUUUAUUAAAGAUAUUUAAAAAAAAAUUUAUCGACAACUCUAGCUGCCAUCUAUAUAAAUAUAUUAAUUUUUUUUCUAAUUAGUGCUUCUUAAAAAGAAUCUACCUCAGCCAACCCAAUCAAUUUUUUCUCCCUCAGCCUUCCAUAGGAUUUGAAUUCGGGUAAUUAAUAAAGUAAAAUUACUUAAAAAUCACUCGGCUAAGUCUUUGAGGUAGUUUAAUCUUAGAUAAAUAUUAAGGACUUAUCAAUUAUCCUAUUAAAAUUAGUAUGUAUAAGCAUAUGGCUAAGGCAAACCAAAUCAAGUACAGUUGACGUUAUAUGUGAUAGAUUAAAUGAUUUAUAGAAGUGAGUCAUCUGUGAUAUAUAUCAUACAACCUAAUUCAUUUGAAUUUGUGAAUAUUGAAUUUGAAAGCAUAUAUUUUGGUAGUCUAUUUUAGAGUAAUUAAUUUUAAUUAAAAAUAACUGUUAUAGUAUUAUCUCAAAACGUCACCUAAAUUGUAAUUUUAAUUGAUAAAAUCUCACGACUAAGGUUAAGAGAUUUAGAGAUUUUACCUAAAAGUAUAAUGGUAGGUAUUGGCGUUUGCCUUGCCCGCUUUAUCAUGGUCCAAAAAUCGCCUUUUGGGCCAUGGAGCGGCUCAUGUGCUUGCUUUGCACAAUCUCUAGGAAUCCAAACUUGAUUUUGUUUUUGGUUUACACAUAUUUCCAUGGAAUUCGGCAGAGAGCAGAUGAUUAGGCUAAUUCGGAGUUGGAAUUCCUUUCUGUUCAGUAGUGGGACCAAACAGGGAGGGAGAACGGGCUGAGCUUGGACAAGCCCAGGCUCAAGUCUGAGCUCAUAAAAGCCCUUCCAAAUUUGGAGGGGCUGAACAGAAGUUGGCCCAUCAUGUGUUUGAGCUUCCUCAACCAUUUCAUUUAGAGAGUGCCUAAGUUACAUCUAUUGUAACUUAUUGCUUUUGUCUUAUUUCCUUUUGGCUAAUAUCAUAUAGAUCCUUUAAUUUUUUUCUAUUUCCAAUUUUUAUAGUUAUGGAUGCAUUUGUCUUCUUCCAUCUCUCAUACAUCUAUUUUUUAUUCUUUCUAGGAUUUUAUUUAUUUCCUUGAACAAUAACAAAUGAUUGUCAAAUUCAUAUAAGUCUACAAAUUCAUAAUAGACAUCUGGUUCUAAAUUUAUUAUUCCUAUCCUUUCUUGUUCUAAUAAAUCUAUUUUUUGGUUUAUUAAAUUUAUAUAUGUAUUUACUAUGUUUUCCCAUCCUAAAAACAAAUGAUCUAUACUACUUGCCAAUUCUUGUAUUGUAUUAACAGCUUGAUUCAUAGCGUUUCUAUUUUAUACCAAUAUAUUAAAAAUUUUAUAAAUUCAUCUAUAAAUUUUAUUUUCUUUUCUAUUAAAAUUUCACCACCUACUGUAUCUAUAAAUCUUUCUCUAAACUCCUGGGUUAGUUCAAGUUCUAUAUUUCUUAUAUUAUUUUUAUCAGUUUUAAUUGCUUUUAUUAAAUUUUUUAUAUCUUCUUUAUCAUAUACCUUUAAUGUAUGCAAACUGUCUACUAUAGUUCUUAUAGGAUCCAUGGAGUCCGUGGCUCUGAUACCAUUUCGUCGUUAUUAAAAUUUAAAUCAAAUAAUCAAAAUUUCAAAAUUACUAAAUUUACAAAAUUACAAAAUUAAUUCGUGCGUUAUUAAAAUUACAAAAUUAACUUACUAAUGCGAAGAAUGAUUCAUAUGAAUAAAUAAACACAUAUGAUCAACAAAUUAUUGUUCAUUCAGAAACAUAGAGAACAUAUAUUUUUAUGUAACUUAAAUAUUAAUAAUAGAAAAGUGCGUGGCGUUGUUACACCCCUAGGUACAGCUAUUAAAAUAGCACUUUGGACCAAUAGCCCGCAACCCAAAGAGGUUUCCAGCCUAUAUACUUUUCAUAUUUCUUAAGUUAUAUUUCAAAUUCUUCAUUAUCUGAAUUAUAGGUAUAUGAAGGUCCAGCUUCAUAAUCUUUAUGUUUCAAAUAUGCUUUUGCUAUAUCAAUUCCUUCAUCUAUUGUUGGCAUAAUUAUAUUAUGUUUUAGAUUGUCUAUUUCAAUGUUUUCUAUAAUUUUCCGUUUUAUUUCUUGAGGUAAAUUAAGUGAGUGUACUGCUAAUAAGUCUUCUAUUCUAACGAGUUCCUAUUUACUGAACAGAUAUGAACUCUAUUUAUAUGAUCCUAUAUUAAAAUCUAUUAUCAUCAUGUACUCAUUGUAUGUUAUUUUAGUGGUUGGAUUUAUUAUGUAUUCUUUAGAUUCUCCUAAAUAAAACUUGUGAUCCAUGUUAUAAACAAAAAGUUUGUUUCAGUUUGAAAGUUUUUCAGUUUAAAAGUUUUGCUCUUACUCCAUAAAUUAUCCCACCAACAACCAUCAACAAACUUCCACCAAGAGAUAAAAGUCGAGUAUUAUUACCUGAUUUAUCCUUUCUCCUUUACCUUCUGAUCUCCUUCCAGUAACCUGCAGCCUGUUUGUCCUGUGCCCUUACAGCGUCCUGCCUCAGCGGGAUCUGUGGACUCAGAUGGAUUUACUGUAUGGAUUUCGAUCGUCUUGAUAAAGAAGUGUUGGAUAAGUUUAGGUUUCUCUUCUUUUUCUUUGAUGGUUUUUGUUUUUGGUUGAUGAUGUUUUGAUUUAGGAUUUCGAGCAAGCAAGUGUUUAGUGAUCCAUCGUUAAUAAUUUCAGAGAAAAAAUGAAGGAUGUCUGAAAACGUCUGAGUGAGAGUGUGUGUUUCUCCUCAUUCUUUUUAUUUAUAUGAAAGAGAUUCUAUUACAUUAUUGGUCUAUGACCUCAUUGCUUACGUAUCUAUUACAUUAUUGGUUUUCAGCUUACAUCAUUAUUUCAUAUUUUAUUAUUACAAUUCUUGACUUCUUGUCUUCUUCUUUUCUUUUAGCAUUUUAGUUGUCUGCCACGAGCAUCUUCUUUUUAUCUUGUCUGCUACGAGCAUCUUCUUUUUAUCUUGUCUGCCAUGAGCUGCUUUUAUUUGUCGAGCAUCUUUAUUUCCAUAAGCUGACAAGCUUGCUGUAUGGUUUCAUGGCUACUAGGGAAUCUCAUGGUGCUGAUUUCAUUGAUGAGAUCUAAAAGAAUAUUUGAAGGUGUAUGGCUAUCCUCUGAGGUUACAAGGAUAUAAUUCUGAAAUCGGAUAAUUGUUCUAUAGUUUCUUUUAUAAAGGUCUUUGGCAAUACUCCAUAUCGCCUUUAUUCCCCGGGCUCUGCGGGUUCUGAUCCAUGAUUUGGUUAUUUGAGGAAUAUUUGUAUAUUCAGUUCCUACUUCUAUUUGGAAAUUUUUUGUAAGGUGCCCCACAGAGAUCAUGUAAAACGCUUGAUAUUCAACAUUUUGGUGGUAUUUUGGGCUAAUAGUGUAAAAUUUUAGGUAUAUAGGCCUUUUUUGGGCAAAUUUUGAAACUUCUUUGACUAAUAAUUCAUCUAAACUGACUAUUUCUCUUAAAUCUGUAUCUGGAUAUACUAACCCAUACUGUGCUAUUCUUCCAAUGAGGAGAGGAUCUGCUCCUUUUAUAGCUAUCAUCCUGGGGUAUAUAUUUUUUUCAGGUGCCUUGAAAAUGGUAUUAUUGUGGGAACAUGUAGAGUACACCCAUGUGGAAAACUAUUUAUAUUCUUCUUCUUUUGGAUUUAGGGUAAUAAGUUUUUUUUCUUCUUCUGAGGAAGUGCUGUUUAUUCUGAUGAACUUUUUUGUAGAAGUCUUUUUAGGAGAUUCGACUUCAAUGGACAAGGUUCAGUUGAAGGAUGGGUCACAGACUGGUUCUUGUUGUGGGAGAGGUCCACUACUGCUUCCUAUUUUUAUUGGGUUAGUAUUUAUUGAAAGCCCUUUUGUUAAGUCGUUUAUGUAUGACUCUAACAAAUGUAUUCCCUUCUCAUGAGCCUCUGUGGCUUCUUUCAUGUAAUUUAUAGUAUCUAGCAUGUCUGAUGCUUCUGCUUUGAGCCUUUGUAUUUCUGUGUUUAUCACAGAUAUGGUUUUAUUUACUUCUGUAUUCAGUCUCCGAAUUCUAUGUUCCUGCUUCGAAAAUCUGCAAGAAAAUUAUUAGUUCCUUUUAAAAUUAUAAUAUGACAAAUACGCUUGCCAUCUAUGUAAUCUCUUGUAGUGAGGUUCAUUUGGCAAAAUUUUACUAAUAAGCCAAUUUACCUAAGAAUUGUCUGUUUCUAUAAUAAAUUAUUUCUAGAGUAAAAAUAAUGAGAACUUUUUUAUUCCUUUGUAUAUUGCAAGGAGUUCUUUUUCAUGACCUUGGUAAUUGACUUGUACUGGGUUAAAUGUUCCACUAGUAUAUCGGCAAAUUUCAUUUAUAUCAGUUUUAAGUACUGCUCCCCAAUGUAAAUCAGAUGCAUCAGUUUGUACUACUAACUUAUCAUUUUCUUCUGGUAACCUUAAUGAUGGGAGGUUUUUACAUUCUUCUUUUAGGCAGUGUUUACUUUCUGGAGUGGGAGUGUGGAGUGUGGAUUCCUCACACUCCAGUGUUUACUUACCUUAAAAAAGGGGGGAGUGGGAGUGGGAAUCCGUGGGUCCCACCCAAAUUUGGAGUGGGGAGUGGGAUUCCCACUCCCAUUGGGGGAGGUGGGAGUGGGAAUCCACUCCCCCCUCUUCCCAUUUUAUCCUUAUAAAAUUAAAAUAAAUAAAUAAUAUUUAAUAAAAUAAAUAAUAUUUCAUAAAAUAAAUAAUAUCAUAUUUAUUAAAAAUAAUAAUUAUAUCAUAUUUAUUUUAUUAAAUUUAAUAAAAUAAAAAUAAAUUUAUAAAUAUAAUAAAAUAUUUAUUUUAUUUUCCAAAUAUAUUUUUUAUUAAUUUUUUAAUUACAAAUUAUAAUUCUGUACAUAAGGAUAAAAUUGUAAUUUAAAACAAUUUACUCCUAAUCUAAGACAAAGUAAACAAAUAAUUGGGAUUCUAAUUGACAAUCCAUACUUUCAUUUAAUCUAAGUAAACACCAUACUCUCACUCCCACUCCACACUCCUAAUCCAAGGAUUCCCACUCCUCAGGAUUCUCACUCCAAUCCAAAAAGUAAACGCAGCAUUACAUUCUUUACAGUUUCCAUAUGUUCUUCACUCCAUCCUUUAGUAUUAUUUUUUCUGAGUAAUUUUUGAAGUAUAUUUCUCUUUUUUGCUAAGUCUUUUAUAAAUCCUUCUGCAUAAUUUAAACAACCUAAAAAUUUUUGUAUUUGUUGUUUAUUUUCCAAUUUAUCUGGGAAUUCUGUAAUCUUUUUUUCUAUAUGGCUCUAGAGUCUAAUUCCUUUUUUGUCAAGAACCAUUUCUAAAAAUUCUAUCUUCUUGUGUUCUACGACUGCUUUUCUUUCUGACAAAACUAUACCUUCUCUGAUACAUAUAUUAACAAAUUCUCUUAAAUGGUUUCUAUGGUCUUCUAAUGUUUCUGAUGCUAUUAAUAUGUCAUUAACAUAGACUAUGAUAUAUUUAUAAUCUCUAAAUAUUUUAUCCAUUCGACUUUGAAAGAUUUGAGGGGCAUUUUUUAGUCUAAAGGGCAUUACUAUCCAUUCAUAAUGUCCUUGUGGGGUGCUAAAGGCUGUAUAAGGAAUACUGUGUUCUUCCAUUUUUAUUUGCUAAAAUCCUGAUUUACAAUCAAAUUUUGAGUAGUAUGUUUUAUUUUUUACAAGAUUUAUUAAUACUUCUUUAUUUGGAAGAAAAUAUUCAUCAAACUUCGUAUAUUUAUUUAAUUCCUUAUAAUUUAUAACCAUUCUUGGUUUUCCUCUUACUUGUUUUGAUCUUUUCCUAACCAUAAAGGCUGGGCUAUUAUGAAGGCUAUUACUAGUUCUUAUUAGUUUUAAAUUUAAUAACUCUUUUAUUUGGAUCUUAAACUCUUCUCUAUCUUCUUCUGUAUACAUCAUAGAUUUAAGCCUUAUUAUUCUAUUUCAAUUAAUUCUAUUUUUGUUCUAGGAUGGUCUGGUUUCCAUAAUGCUAAUCAGUUAUCUUUAUAGACUUGUUCAAGCUGUGAUUUUAUUGUUUCUAGUUGUAUAUUAUAACUAUGUCCUUUCAAGAUUAAAUAAUUUUUUCAUAAAUAAUAUUAUCACCAUGCUGGGCUGGCUGAACUCGGUAGGGUUUAAAUUCACGAGGGAUGUGAAGGACAUGAUUACAAGGGGUUUUUAAGGUGAUCAUAUAAGGAGUUUGUUGAUAGUACUGGAAUUGUUGUAGGAAGGCAUUUCCUAGGAGGAUAUCACAAUCCAUAUGGUCAUAUUGAAAUAUUUAAUUAAUACGUACUAUUUUACUUCCUAAAUGUAUUUCAAAAUUUAUCAAAGAUUGAUUUACUUGUUGUUUAUCUCUUGUUAUUCUAAUGAUUUUUAACUUUCUAUUAGGUUUCCAUUGGUUUGAUAAAAAGGGUUUCAUAAUUAUUAUUUCACUACUAGUGUCUAUUAAGGCACAUGUAUCUAUAUCUUUUUCUGUUAUGUUUAUUUGUGUAUAAACGGACAUAGGGUAUUUUAUAUAAGCUUGUUUUAACAUGUUUCACACACUGUUCUUUGACCUUCUAUUUGUAAGGUUAUUUUAUGUUUUUCAAUUUUAUAGUAUUCUAAAUCAUUUAAAAAACUAUUUCCUAGCACUAUAUGUUUUUCUGGGUCUGUGGUCAUGAAUAAGUCUAUAUAACAAGAUACUAUUAUUCUAAAUCCUUCUGUAAUUAUAGGGACUUUAACUUCUUGUUUACAAAUAUGUUUAUUACCUUAAAAUCAGUGUAUUCAUAUGGAAUUUCUUUUUCUUUUAUUAAGAGUCCUUUUAUUUUUAGUGUGGUUCAUAUAAUUAUGGCUCGUUCCAGUGUCUACUAGUAUAUGUAUUUUUGUCGUAUAUUAUAUUCCAUUAAAGUAUUGUCCAAGUAUUUUUACUACAUUAUUAGUUGUUAUUGAUCUAGUUAUUUGUUUAUCCAUACUAGUUAUUUAUUUAUCAGUGCUUAAUCUUCUAGAUGAACUUCCUCUUACUAAAGUCCUUCCUGCAAAACUUAUAGGAAUGAUGGAGUUUUCAUUAUUAUCAUUUAAAAAUUACUUUCUAUCAUCUAUGUUCAGUUCAUAAUUUAUAGGAAUUUUGUAGUCUUGGAUUGUGGGUUCUAUAAGGGUUGCUAUCUCUUCACUUUCUUUAUUUAUUUCUAUAUAAGGUUUAUUUCCAUAUAUUUCUCCAUAGUUCGAAUUACAAAAACUAUAUAAUGCAGAAUAAUGUAUUGUCAUUAAUCUAUUUCCUUCUUUCAUUAAGUUCUUUUUUAGUAGUUUAAAGUGUAAGCUUAGCGUCUCAUCUAUAUUUUUAUCUUUUAUGUGUACACAAUAUCUAGGAUGACAUGUAAAUAAUAGUUUAGUGUAACAUAAAUUUCCUUCUAUUGUUCCUAAAUGUCCUAUACUGGGAUCAUGAAACCUUUUAUCAUGUAGUGAUAAGACUAUAGGACUAUCUAUUCCUUCUUUGAAAAAGGAUUUUACUAAUAUUUGAAUUUAUGCUAGAUAUACAUAUUGAAUUUUUUCUUUUGUUGAUUCAUUUUUUAUUUUUCUUAAUGCUAAAUCUAUAGAUCUUUUAUUUAUUAAACUAAAUCUAAUAUUUCUUUCAGCUUGUGUAAUUGUUACAGCCUUUUCUUGUUCAUAAUAUUCAUGUAAUAUUAUCCGUUUUCUUUUGAAUAUAUCUCUAAGUCUAUGUAAUAUCCCAUAUUUCGGUUUUUCCAUAUUUAUUUUCAAAAGUUUAUUAUAUUUUUCUUUAUUAAAAGUGGCAACAAGACUAUAUCCACUUUUAUUUUCUUCUUUUUCUAUUUCUUCAAUUUCUUCUAUCUCUUCUUUCUCUAUUAUUUCCUUUUUAUUCUGACUCAUAUUCUGAUCCUUUUUCCACAUAAACUUCUUUUCCUUCAUAAUCUAAUAUAUCACUUAUUUCUUCUAAGUCAUUUCUUAUGUUUUCAAAAUCUUCUCUUAAGAGUCUAACCUUCUUUUUUGUACAAUCUGUGCUAAUCUGUCAUAUUUCUCCACAAUUCCAACAUUUACACUUGGAUUUAUCUAAUUUGUUUCUUUGAUUUUUAUACUUUCUUUUAUAAUACUUUCUUUUAUAAUACUUUCUUUCUGGUUUCUUGUAUUUUCUUUUAAAGUUAUUGUAUUUUUUAUAUUUUUUCUCUUUUUUAUAUAACUUUCUCUUUCGUUUAUAAGGUGUAUAACAACCCCAUUGGGUUGGCAUUUCUGUCUUUUCACAACAUAUUUCUCCUAUAUUUUUACUCUUUUUCAUUAGAUUUCUUUGAAUGCAUAUUUCACUUAAUCUUAUAUUUAAAAAUCUUAUUCUAGAUCCUAAAGUAUCUGGAAGUUUAUUAGUAACACUAUAUUUCUUAUAUUUAUUAAUAAAUAUCCAUUCAAGGGAUAUGGUAACUUGGAAUAAUAUAAAUUUUUAUAGAUACUUUGGUCUUCUUGACUGUAGAAUUGUUCAUAAUAAUAUUUAUUAAAUUCACAAGUAUAUUCUUUUACAAAACACAUGUUACAAAUAGUUAAAUUCAUUAAUUUCAUUCUUGCAUUUAAUUUUUCAUUUCUUGUUUCUAUUUCAGUAUUUUGUAUCCAAUCUUCACCUAAAAAUUCACUAGCGAUAUAUUCAAUUAAUCUUUCAAUUCCUAACCCUUUAUCUCUAGCUAAAGCUGUUUUAGUUGAAUCUUUUAUCAAUUUUUGUGUAUCUCCGCUUAGUCCUUUCCACCAGUUGAAUACAUUUCCUGAAAAACUGGCUAUUAGGAUGUCAGCGAAUAAAUUUAUCUUUUCUGCUUCAGAUUCUACAUUCGAAUCAUCCUUAGAACCAUUGUAUAUAAAAAAUAACUUCAUUUGCAUUCCCUAUUCAAUUAUAGCUUUUCGAGGUUCUAUUUUGCAAUCUAAAUCUAAAAAUGUUCCUGCAUUGCUUAUUGGCGUUAAUUUAUCAUUAUUAGGCUUAUAUUCUUUUUUCCAAGGGGUAUUUUUAACGGGUGGUACAUAUUUAAAAAAGGGUCUAUUUUUCUUUUUGUUCGUUGUAUACCUAUGACUUGGUUCUCUUAUAUUAGGCUUCAUUUCUGGUCCUCCAGCAGUAUUCAUUUUUAUGUGAUAUUCUUUUUCAAAAUCUUCUAAGUCACUAAGGUUUAUCUCACUAAAAUUUUCAGUUAAUUCUUCUAAUGUAUCUUCCAUUAGUCUGAAUCACUUGGAGUUGUUUCUUUUAUCUCUAAUUUUUCUUUUCCUUUUUCUUUUUUCUUUAAUUCUGCCUUUAAUUCUUCUGUUUCUUUUAAUAUUUUUGGAUAUUGAGUUUCCAUAAACCAAGUAUCAUAGUUGCCUGUUUGUGGUUUUUGUAUGGGUUUCUUAAAACUUGUUCCAAUUAUUCCUGAUUUUAGUAUUUCAAAUUUUUCUAAUUUUUUAUUUUUCUUUUGACUCAUCUGAAUUAUAGACAUUUCUAUUUUUAUUUUUCCUAUUUCUUGUUUUAUAUCUUUUAUUUCUUCUUUGAGAUUUAAAAGUAUUUCUUUUAAUUCUAUUAAUGUAGUUUCCAUAAAGUCUAAGGGUGUCUAUAGAUAUUUUAAUUUCUUGAUUGUAUGUUACGUUACACGUAACUUAGUUUUGGCCUUUCAUUUAUUAGUUUUUAAUGUUUGCAAUAAUUCCUUCAAAUUAACGUCCCCCCUUUUGGUCUUUUUCCGUCUUAACUCAACUCAUUUGGUGAUGUGUCAUUAGCUCUAUUGAAUGGUAAAAUUUUAUUUACUUAUAUAAGUCCUUAUGUUCUUAUCCUAUUAGUAUAACCUUUGAGUCUCAAUUAUUAUUGGACUCAAUUUGCCUUCCAAUUAAACUGGAUAAGAGUAAAUUUUGAAAUACAAGUGUGCAACCCAAGAGGAGGGGGGGAGUGAAUUGGGAUUUUAAAAAUUAUUUGAUUCUAAAACAAAUUAUCAUGCAAAUCUAAAAUGAAUUUAAUGGAAUAAAAAUUAAAUCAAUUAUAAUAUAAAAAGAUAAGGGAAGAGAGAUUCAAACACGAAGAUUUUUAUGUGGUUCAGCCAACAUCACCUACGUCUACGCCUCCAAGUUUUCCGGGCUUGAGGAUUUCACUAAGCAAACCUCAAAGGCUUCAAAUGCUUACACUUGACUUCCAAGGUGUCAAUGAACCUUUACAACAAGAGAUUAUCUCCAAUUUCUUAACUUAAGUGUAUUCCAACACUUACAAUCACUCAAAGUAAAAGAUUAAAAAUUAUUUUUCUCUCACACAAUAUUUAAUAUUACAAAUCAAUGCCCAAUGUGUGAAUAAAUGAAGCAAGAAUGUGUUUUAAAGCUCUAUGAAGAUUGUAUUCUCGAAUAUAAGCUCAAUGGUCGUGUUGUGAUCAAUCUUGUUUGAAUUUGAAUGAGCUUAUUUAUAGUUGGAGCUGAAAAACUAGCCGUUAUAGACUGUCUGCUCGUAAACGGUUGCCUUCUCAGCAUUUUGUGUUUUUCGUUUCUGUUAACCAGUUAGAGCUUAAGCAAUUCGUUACUCUCUUGAUUUAAUCGGUUAGCCGUUAAAAAUAAACGGUUCACCGUUUAUUUACAGAAUCAUAGUUUUAGCCAGAUAUUGCAGAGAAUCAUUUUUUAAUUUCAACUUUAACAAUUACCCAACUUUUAUAAAUAUAAUUGAAAUGAUUAUAAGGCUUUCGUUUAUUAAUGAAUAGGUCCAACAUUUUAAUAAAAAAUAUUUAAAGUUUGUUAUCGUCAAAAUCAAUAUUAUUAACAUAUACAUGUUAACAUUCUCCCUCUUUUUAAUGAUGACAAAUUUCAUUCAAUAUUUUGCUCUCCCUUAAUAUAUGCUCCCCCUAAAUGUAUGGCCAAUUGUAAAAAAAUAUCCAAUAAACAGAUUUUUGCUCAAGGAAACGUUUUGAAAAAGAAUUCAUUUCAAAAAGCGUUUUAAAAGUAAAAUGCAUUUUAAAAGUGAAUUUUAUUUUUAUUUCAUUAUCUCCCCCUUUAUCAAUAUACACAAAAUGCAGGAGCAUAACAUGAUCUCUCCACCUUCAUCAUCAAAAAGAAAAGAGGGAAAAGAAAUCUGUAAAGUAUAGAGGUGAGAAAGAAGUUACCCAACUUUGGCGAGCAAAAAAAAAUUGGCAGAGUUUCCCCUUAAAAUGGAACAAAUCCACUAAUACAAAAUGAGAUUAAAAACACUUCCAAAUAUAUUAACAAUAACUUCAUCAUCCAAUAGACCAACAAAUCCAUCAUCUAAUAUCAAAUCAGCCAACAUCAAAUCAUCCAACAUCAAGAACAUCACAAAAACAAUCCAUCAUCAAAAUCAUAGAGAAGUAGCAAUGUAUACCCAAAUAUAAAUAGCAACAAACAAACAAACAAAACAUGAAAUGUAUGUGCAAAGAUGAGACUCAGAAACUAUGAAGGUGGUGAAGAUGUGCUCCCUGGAUCAUAACCGAAAUAACGAAGAAGAGUGCGCUGUCCAGCUAUAAGUUCAAGCUGCUGAUCAAUGCUCUGCUGCUGGAAGGUCUGAAACUCCGAACGAAGCUGCUGAUGGUCGUGGGAGAAGGUGUCCCAUCUAUCGAUAAUCAGCUGCUGCCUCUCCGAAAUCCGGCGAACAUCAUCCGCCAACUGUUGCAAGGAGGCCGAAGCAGGGGGCUGAACUGAAGCAGGAGGCUACUCGGGAGCUGGAAAUGGCUCAAAAACGGAGGGCCUCUUAGGAACAACAGAGGGCUCGGGAGCAGAAGGCUGUGCUGGAGCUGGAGCUUGAGGUGGCAUCGAAGUGGAUGGAAUAUCAGCAUCCAUCUCACGCUCCUCAGAGUCAGAGUCAGCUAGAGGUUGGAGGACAGAACGGCGACGUAGAGGAGGUGGAUGAGCUCCUAAUCGAAAAUCUGGAAGUUGAUAAGAAGGAUAGAUAUCGUUGAGCAUCCGAUCGUCCUCAGGAGCAAUCAAAGUAUCCCGAUUUUUGGAGUUUUUAGUCUUUAUCCACUUGCCAUUCUUCUAGAAAAAUCGAUACUAGUCAUGUCCUCUGGACCAAUCCGUCUAGUCUCCGUAUAACCGGCAUCUAGAAGAGGCACCUCAAAGCGUCGCAGUAUCUUAGUAAUGAUACUGCCAUAUGGAAGCAAGCGGUGGUUAAUCGCGGGAGUACUCAACAUGUGCCUCACAAUAACAUAGCCGAGGUUAACGAGUCGUCCUGAAAUGAGGCUAUCUAAUAAGCCAACGUCUAACCUCGUAACCUUAUUCGAGUGACCCUUCCUAGGUGUCACUAUAUGCUGUAAAAUUGUGUAAAGUAUGCGAACUUGCAGAGGUAAAAGUUGAGAUUUAAAAGGUAAGUGACAAGUCUCAUAACUCAGAUCUUCACGCUGACAAAUAUUACGAACUCCAUCAUUAUGACAAAAACCAUCAAAGGAAAGAGCUUUCUUAGAUGUACAAAUUUUAUGACCAUCACUAGAUAUACCUAGAAAGCCAUUAAGAUCUUCAUCAUCAAAUUCAAUAUGAACACCGCCAACUUGAGUAACUAUCCUAUCUAGGCGAGUUGCAGAGAUUUCUAUGUUCGAAUAGAAAACUCGCACUUAAUUUGGAUAUACUCGUUCAUCAAAAUCAAUGGCGGACUCCCAAGGUUGAAGUAUAUUUCUAACACUUUUACCACACACAAUUAAGGUUCUAAAGUCUUCUAUGUCAACAUAAAACGAAUCAAGUACCUUUCUGCCAUUGAAGCGGUCCUCGAAACGCUUGGCCAAUGAAGGUGUGGGAAAAUAAAUUCUUGCGAAUUCAGAGACUGCCUGUGGUGGUAUGGGAUUCUGUUGAGGCGUAUCUUUCCUCCUUCGAGUUCUCCGAGAUGACUCAGCCAUGGUAAAGAACAUAGAGAAUGAGGGAUUUUGAGAACAGUGACUUUGGACGAAAAAUAACUGCUGUACCGUACAUCCGCCUUGGCCGUACAGCAGAAUUGAAAUGAUUAUAAGGCUUUCGUUUAUUAAAAGAUUUGAAUCGGUAAAAAUGAUAUAAAGAUGAUGUGAAAAGAUGUUUUAGGUGUGAUUUGGCAAGGAAAUCAAGAAAAAUGGAGGUUUGACGAUAGAGAAAGCUUCGGCUGCGCAACAAUGGCUGAAACAAUAAGAGGGCAAAUGAGAAGAGAGAGGAAACCCUUGGAACAGUUUUUAUGUCGCAAGAAAAUGGUUAACCGUUUAUUUAAACAGUUAGAGAGUAACUUUCCAGAGACUAAUGAAUGGGAAACGGUGAAAGGUUAUCCUUUUAACGGUAAAGGAGUAAUUUUCCAGAGAGCUCUCUGCUUUAAACGGUUUAUCGAUUUCGUCAAACAGUAAAAGGGUAAAAGUCAGACAUCAUGAUCUAGUUUCUGGAAUAAAAAUAGUACACCGUUUAUUGGAAACAGUUAUCCGUUUAUUUCAUCUAUAAUUGCGCACAUUUGAUUUAAUUUUUGGCUUACAAAUAAUACAUUCCAAGAUCAUUUAAUUGAUCCAAAAAUGUUUUAUGAGCCAUUUUGAUUCAUGAACAUGUAUUCAAGCAAUUAAUUCAUAUAAACAUUUAAGAAUUAUCAAAAGCAAACAUAUCACUUGAACAUCAUGCUUAAGCAUUUCAUAAAUAUUAAAUGAUCAAAUUAUCACUAAGUCAAUCAAUUCAAUACACUAAAUAACAUUAAUAGAGAAGUUAAUGCAAAAAUUUCAUCUUCCCAAGUUCAUGCCGAAUUUUCAAAAAUUAUUCUUCGCCAAGGGGUUUGGUAAAAAUAUCGACGAGUUAUUUUUCUGUAAAAAUAAAAUCUAAUGCAAUAUCUCCCUUUUGAACAGGAUCUCUUAAGAAAUGAUGUCUUAUUUCUAUAUGCUUGGUUCGAGAGUGUUAAAUGGGAUUUUUUGAAAGAUUUAUAGUACUAGUAUUAUCACACUUAGUAGGAAUUUGUUCUAGGUUAAUACCAUAGUCUCUAAGUGUUUGUUUCAUCCAAAGAGCUUGCGCACAACAACUUCCUGCAGCUAUAUAUUCAGCAUCGGUAGUUGAAAGUGCAACAUAAUUUUGUUUCUUGCUAAACCAUGAAACAAGUGAGUGACCUAGAAUAUAGCAAGUUCCACUAGUGCUUUUCCUAUCAACUUUAUAACCGGCAAAGUCCGCAUCUGAAUAGCAUAUUAAAUCUAUAUGAGUUCCCCUAGGAUACCAAAGGCCGAGAUCUAUAAUUCCACUUAAAUAGCGAAGGAUUCGUUUUACAGCAAGUAAAUGGGAUUCCUUGGGGCAUGAUUGAAAUCUUGCACACAAACAUACACUAAAUAUGAUAUCGGGUCUACUUGCAGUUAAAUAAAGUAAAGAUCUGAUCAUACCUCGAUACAUUUUGAUAUCCACUUCUUUGCCUUUUUCAUCUUUAUCAAGCUUGGUUGUUGUGCUCAUCAGAGUAUUUUUGGUCUUUGAGUCAUCAAUUCUGAAUCUUUUGAGUAGAUCUUUUACAUACUUGGCUUGAUUUAUGAAAAUUCAUUCCUCAUUUUGUUUUAUUUGCAGCCCAAGGAAGUAUUUCAACUCUCCCAUCAUACUUAUUUCAAAUUCAUUACUCAUGCAAGAUGAAAAUUCUUUACACAACAAUUCAUUAGUAUAACCAAAAAUAAUAUCAUCAACAUAAAUUUGAACAACAAAUAUGUCUUUGUUCUUAUGUUUGACAAAGGGAGUAGUAUCCACUUUACCCAUUAAAAAAUUAUUUUCUAACAAGAAAUUCUUAAGCCUAUCAUACCAUGCUCUAGGUGCUUGUUUUAAGCCAUACAAAUCUUUAAAUAACUUAUAAACAUGAUUUAGAAAUUUUUCAUUUUCAAAACCAAGGGAUUGUUUUACAUACACUUCUUUCAUAAUAUAACCAUUUAAGAAAGUACUUUUCGCAUCCAUUUGAAAUAAAAUGAAAUCUUUAUGACAUGCAAAUGCCAAUAACAUUUUAAUUGAUUCUAGUUUAACUACGAGUGCAAAUGUUUCAUCAAAAUCAAUUCUUUCUUCUUGGUUGUAACCUUGAGUCACUAAUCUAGCUUUAUUCCUUACAACCACACCAGAUUCAUCCAUCUUAUUUCUAAAUACCCAUUUAGUACCUAUGACGGAUUGAUGUUCCGGUUUAGGAACUAAUUCCUAUACAUUAUUUUUUUCAAAUUGAUUUAAUUCCUCUUGCAUUGCCAUAAUCCAAGAUUGAUCAUUUUCCGCAUCCGCAAAUGAUUUGGGUUCAAUUUGAGAAAUAAAUGCAUUAUGCUCACAAGUAUUCUUAAUUGAUGAUCUAGUUGUAACACCUCGUGAGGGAUCUCCUAAAAUUACAUCUUUAGAGCGAGAAGAAACAUACCUCCACUAUUUGGGGAGUGAUUAAGAAGUACCUUCAUUUUGCUCUACAUUCAUUUCUUCAUGUUGCUCAUCUUGAUUCCUAUGAGAUGCAUUCUUUUGGUUAUCUUUUGAUGAUUCUUUUUGUAAGUCUUCAUCUACAUCAUUAUCAACAACAACUUUCUCCGUAGAGGAAGGGUUAGAUUCAUCAAAUGUAACAUGCAUCGAUUCUUCUACAACUAGAGUUCUUUUGUUAUAAACUCUAUAAGUUUUGCUUGAGUUUGAAUAUCCAAGAAAAAUACCCACAUCGGAUUUUAGAUCAAAUUUGCCAAGAUUAUCUUUUGUGUUCAAAAUAAAACAUUUGCAUCCAAAAGCUUUGAAAUAACCACUAUUGGGUUUUCUAUUUUUUCAAAGCUCAUAUGGCGUUUUGUUAAGGUUAGGUUUAAUCAACACACGAUUUAAAACAUAACAAGCAGUGUUAACGGCCUUGGCCCAAAAAUACUUAGGCAAUGAAUUUUCAUUCAAUAUAGUCCUAGCCAUUUCUUGAAUAGAUCUAUUCUUUCUCUCAACAACUCCAUUUUGUUGUGGAGUUCUAGGUGAUGAAAAUUGAUGCUCAAUACCAAAAUCAUUACAAAAAAUCUCAAAUGCAUGAUUUUUAAACUCUCCUCAAUGAUCACUCCUAAUGCAUGCAAUACCAUACCAUUUUGAAUUUUGAAUUUUGAAUUUUCUUACAAAGCACUUUAAAGGCAUCAAUAGCAUCAUCCUUAUUAGCUAAGAAUAAUACCCAUGUAUAUCUAGAAUAAUCAUCCACUAUCACAAAUGCAUAAGAUUUGCUAUUUAGACUAGCAUAUCUAGAGGGCCCAAAUAAAUCUAUGUGAAGAAGUUGAAGUGGUUUUGAGUAGAAAUAUGAUUUUUAUUUUUGAAAGAUGUUUUGAUUUGUUUUCCAAAUUGACAAGCUUCACAAAUCUUCGCUUUUUGAAAACCAAUUUUUGGAAGACCUUUAACUAAAUCAUUUUUCGAAAUUUUUGAAAUCAAAUCCAUAUUUGCAUGUCCUAACCUUCUAUUCCAUAACCAACUAUCAUCAUGCAAUGCCGAAAAGCAUUUAUCAAGAGUAGAUGCACAUUCUAUGUCAAUGAUAUAAACAUUACCAUAUCUAUUCCCAAUAAAUAAGAUCUUGUCAUCACAUAAAUUCUCAAUAACACAACUAAAUUUAUCAAAGAUAACUUUAUAACCUUCGUCACAUAAUUGACUAAUACUAAUUAAGUUGUGUUUCAAGUUCUCAACCAAACAUACAUUCUCAAUUAGAGUUGAGGAAACUUUACCAACAUUUCCAAUUCGAAGACUUUUUCCUUUUGAGUUGUCUCUAAAAGAUACGUCUCUAUCAUUUUUAAUUUUGGUGAAGCUUGAGAACCAUGCAUAGUUUCUGGUCAUGUGCCUUGAACAACCACUGUCCAAGUACCAUUUAUUUUUCUUCUUCUUCAAGCCCUACAAGGAAAAUCUCAAGUUUUAGGUAUCCAAAGCUUUUUGGGUCCUUGAGAGUUAGUAGUGAUUCCUUUUGGAACCCAAAUGCAUUUCAUACUAUAACAUACAUUUCUUUUUACUGGACAUCUAUUUUUUAUAUGACCAUCUUAAUUACAAAAAUGACAUACAAUUUGUUUGUUACUAGAUAUACUCUUCACAAAGUAGUUUUUAUAAUAUUUUUGUUUCAAGUUUGGCUUAUAACCAAUACCUCCUUUGUCAAACACACAUUUUUGUGAAUUAAGCAUGUUAUCCAACAUCUUUUGCCCAUUUGUAAAUUUCAAAACAAUCUCAUUCAACUCAUUGCUAUUUUUCUUAAGCAUUUCAUUUUCAUUUUUCAAAUCAUCUAUGUGUGAUUCUAAAUGCUGAUGCUAGGUUUCUCAUUUGAUAAAUGCAAUUUCAUCAUGCAAUGUUUUGUUCUCUACUUCUAGGCAUAUAAUUCUUGCAUUUAGAGAUUCAUUUUCAUUUUUAAGCUUUGUCAUUUCCUUUUUAAGACAUACAUUCUUUUUACCAAUUUUCAUCAACUCAUUAUGCAAUUCUUUAAAAGCAUCAUACAAUUCAUCAUAGGUGGGAUCACUUACCUCAUUGAGAUCAUCACCAUCUCCUAUUGCCAUAAGCACUAGGUUUGAUAUUUCUUGUGACCCUUCUUCAUCACUUGAAUCUUCCUCGCUAUCAUCCCAAGUUGCAACCAUGGCUUUCUUCUUAAGUUUGUUGAUAAGUGGGCACUCCGAUCUUAUAUGGCUAGGCUUCUUGCAUUCAUUGCAUGUGAUUACCUCUUUCUUCUCCCUUUGGUUCUUGAAGUUUCUGAAUUUUCUUUGCUCUCCGGUUUUCUUGAAGAAUUUUCUGAACCUCCUUGCUAGCAUGGCCAACUCUUUAUCAUCCGGUUCACUCUCCCCAUCACUCUCAUAUUUUGAAGCUUUGAGAGCAAUGCUUUUCUUCUUCUCCUCAUGCCCUUUUUCUGUUGCCAAAUCUUCUUUAUAUGAAAUUAGAGAACCAAUUAAAUCAUCAAGAGGUAAAGUAUUUAAAUCUUUGGCCUCUUCAAUAGCAGUUCUUUUAGGUCUCCAUUCUUUUAGAAGUGACCUAAUAAUUUUCUUAACUUUCUCACUAUUUGAGAAGGUCUUCCCCAAGGCACCUAGAGUGUUCACUAUGUCCGUGAAUCUAGUAUACAUAGAAUACACAUUUGUUAUCCAACAUCUUUUGCCCAUUUGUAAAUUUCAAAACAAUCUCAUUCAACUCAUUGCUAUUUUUCUUAAGCAUUUCAUUUUCAUUUUUCAAAUCAUCUAUGUGUGAUUCUAAAUGCUGAUGCUAGGUUUCUCAUUUGAUAAAUGCAAUUUCAUCAUGCAAUGUUUUGUUCUCUACUUCUAGGCAUAUAAUUCUUGCAUUUAGAGAUUCAUUUUCAUUUUUAAGCUUUGUCAUUUCCUUUUUAAGACAUACAUUCUUUUUACCAAUUUUCAUCAACUCAUUAUGCAAUUCUUUAAAAGCAUCAUACAAUUCAUCAUAGGUGGGAUCACUUACCUCAUUGAGAUCAUCACCAUCUCCUAUUGCCAUAAGCACUAGGUUUGAUAUUUCUUGUGACCCUUCUUCAUCACUUGAAUCUUCCUCGCUAUCAUCCCAAGUUGCAACCAUGGCUUUCUUCUUAAGUUUGUUGAUAAGUGGGCACUCCGAUCUUAUAUGGCUAGGCUUCUUGCAUUCAUUGCAUGUGAUUACCUCUUUCUUCUCCCUUUGGUUCUUGAAGUUUCUGAAUUUUCUUUGCUCUCCGGUUUUCUUGAAGAAUUUUCUGAACCUCCUUGCUAGCAUGGCCAACUCUUUAUCAUCCGGUUCACUCUCCCCAUCACUCUCAUAUUUUGAAGCUUUGAGAGCAAUGCUUUUCUUCUUCUCCUCAUGCCCUUUUUCUGUUGCCAAAUCUUCUUUAUAUGAAAUUAGAGAACCAAUUAAAUCAUCAAGAGGUAAAGUAUUUAAAUCUUUGGCCUCUUCAAUAGCAGUUCUUUUAGGUCUCCAUUCUUUUAGAAGUGACCUAAUGAUUUUUUUUAACUUUCUCGUUAUUUGAAAAGGUCUUUCCUAGGGCUCCUAGGGUGUUUACUAUGUCCGUAAAUCUCGUAUACAUAGAGUACACACUCUCAUUUUAUUCCAUUUGGAACAACUGAUAUUGUCGAGUGUACCUACUAAUUUUCGACUUUUUCACUUGAUUUGUGCCUUCAUAGACUACUUCAAGUUUGUGCCAAAUUUCAUUGGCACUUUAACAACUAGAUACUCGAUGAAAUUCUUUCUUAUCAAGUGCACAAAAUAAAGCAUUCAUAGCUUUGGAAUUUAGAGAAGCUUUUCUCUUUUCCAAUUCAUUCCAUUCUCUUGAAGGUUUUGGAAUAUCUUUCCCUACUUCAUUUUUAGCUAGGGGCAAAAACGAACCAUCACAUACAACUUCCCAAAUUUCAUAAUCUAGUGCUUGUAAAUAAAUUCUUAUCCUAGUUUUUCAAUAUGGGUAGUCAUUUCAGUCAAAGAACGGUAGUCUAGUUGUGGACUGUCUUUCCCUAAAGGUUGAGUCAUUUUGGGUUGCCAUGGAUAUUUUACUCUAGAUGGUUAAGUCCUAACAAGAGAACCAAGCUCCGAUACCAAAUAAAAUAUAAGUGUGUAACCCAAGAGAGGGGGUGAAUUGGGAUUCUAAAAAUUAUUUGAUUCUAUAACAAAUUAUCAUGCAAAUCUAAAAUGAAUUUAAUGGAAUAACAAUUAAAUCAAUUACAGUAUAAAAAGAUAAAGGAAGAGAGAUUUAAACACGAAGAUUUUUACGUGGAUCGGCCAACCUCACCUACGUCUACGCCUUCAAGCUUUCCGGACUUGAGGAUUUCACUAAGCAAACCUCCAAGGCUUCAAAUGCUUACACUUGACUUUCAAGGUGUCAAUGAACCUUUACAAUAAGAGAUUAUCCCCAAUCUCUUAACCCAAGUGUAUCCCGACACUUACAAUCACUCAAACUAAAAGAUUAAAAAUAAUUUUUCUCUCACACAAUAUUUAAGAUUACAAAUCAAUGCCCAAUGUGUGAAUAAAUGAAGUAAGAAUGUGUUUUAAAGCUCUAUGAAGAUUGUAUUCUCGAAUAUAAGCUCAAUGGUCGUGUUGUGAUCAACCUUGUUUGAAUUUAAAUGAGCUUAUUUAUAGUUGGAGCUGAAAAACUAGCCGUUAUAGACUGUCUGCUCGCAAACAGUUCGCUGUUAACCAUUAACGGUUAACCGUUUAGGCUGGUCAAAGUUACCGUUGGGCCAAUUUUCUAAUAAACGGUUUGCUGUUUAGGAUUAUCCUUUCGCCGUUAAAUUCCAGAGACCUGCAAGAUAAACUUCACUAAAAGAUUAAAAAUAAUUUUUCUCUCACACAAUAUUUAAGAUUACAAAUCAAUGCCCAAUGUGUGAAUAAAUGAAGUAAGAAUGUGUUUUAAAGCUCUAUGAAGAUUGUAUUCUCGAAUAUAAGCUCAAUGGUCGUGUUGUGAUCAACCUUGUUUGAAUUUAAAUGAGCUUAUUUAUAGUUGGAGCUGAAAAACUAGCCGUUAUAGACUGUCUGCUCGCAAACAGUUCGCUGUUAACCAUUAACGGUUAACCGUUUAGGCUGGUCAAAGUUACCGUUGGGCCAAUUUUCUAAUAAACGGUUUGCUGUUUAGGAUUAUCCUUUCGCCGUUAAAUUCCAGAGACCUGCAAGAUAAACUUCAGCUAUCCGUUUGCAUUAAAAGGUUAAAGAUUUGCCCGAAAUAACCUCUCUAGAAUUUAUCGGUUAACCGUUUGUAAUAAACGGUUCGCCGUUUGUUUCCAGUAACCUAUAGAACAAGUUAGCCUUAUCCGUUUCAGUUAAACUUUUACCGUUUGUUUUCAGUAACAAGAUGAACACAGUUUUCCAUUCUGGAUUUUAAUCAGUUAACCGUUUCAAUAAACAGUUCACAGUUUAAUUCCAGUUGGCUUCUCAGCAUUUUGUGUUUUCCGUUUUUGUUAACCGGUUAGAGCUUAAGCAAUUCGUUACUCUCUGGAUUUAAUCAGUUAACCGUUAAAAAUAAACGGUUCACCGUUUAUUUCCAGAAUCAUAGUUUUAGCCAGAUAUUACAGAGAAUCAUUUUCCAAUUUCAAGUUUAACAGUUAUCCAACUUUUAUAAAUAUAAUUGAAAUGAUUAUAAGGCUUUCGUUUAUUCAUGAAUAGCUCCAACACUUUAAUCAAAAACAUUUAAAGUUUGUUAUCAUCAAAAUCAAUAUUAUGAACAUAUACAUGUUAACAAAUUUCUUCUCCAUUAAUAUGAGUAGAGCAAAUAUCACUAUGAUAUUAUGUGAGGGUAGAUAUUCAGACUGUGCCAUAUUAGAUGUAUUAAAAAUAAUUCCGAUAAAUUUUUUAUUGUAAAUAUUAAUAAAAUUCUGAUGGCAAUAUAUUAACCUAUUUAAAACUUAUUAAAAAAGCCAAAAUAUAAAUAUAUACCACCCUUAAACACGCAUCAUGAAUUUUCUUUACUCAUGUCUAAUUGAUGAUUUAUCAUGACGCACUAUACAAAUAGAUAAAUUUUUUCAAUUUUUUUUUGAAAAAGCAAUCAAGAUUUUAUUCCAUCAACAUAAGAAAGUACAAACAACUUGAAAUAUUAAAUUUGAUUUUGAUUUCCUCUCACCAAUUCAAUCUAAUUAUUGACAACAAAAUAGACCGGUCUGGAUAUCAAAUUUGAUGUUCAUUAAAGCAUCAGUGAUUAAUGUACAAUUAAAAUAAUGAUUGAUUAUUAGCAAAGAUUGAGUAAAUUAAUUAACGUUUAUGUUAAAUGAAAACCAAUCAUUUUAUUGAUAAACAAAGAUGGUGACUUACUACAAUCCCAUAAUCCAAAUCACAAGCAAGAAAUCCAAAUCACAAGCAAGAAAAAGCUCAAGCCAAUUAAACAAGUGAUAAUAGCAAGGCCUAAAGAAGGUACUAACAUUGCAUACGUUCCCGUAACGAAUGCAAUCACCAUUGCUCCCAUGGCAAAUACGGUGAACCAAAUGGAAGCGUGGAGCAGACCCUGAUUGAAAUCUUUAGUUUUUUCAAUUUUAGGAGCCAUCAAGAAGUGAGUAAAGACGGCAGAAAGAGAAAAGACCAUGGCAAUGGAAUCUGCUACUAUAAAUGCUUGAAAAGCUUUAUUUCUCCUUAGGAUUGCAGUUCCAUUUUCGCUUCUGUAACCGCCAGGAAUGGUGAAAGCUGCUUCGAAGGAUACCGUUGCUAUGAGUGCAGCCACUACCAAAUGUGAUGCUCUCGUAUCCUUGUAAUCUUCUUUAGUAACAUACUUUCGUACUUUUCUUAUGCGUAUAACACCUUUUGAAUAUUGUCCUCUGCCAACAUCUUUGGAUAAUUUUUGGAUUUCUUCCUGUAAUUAAUUUACAUUUGAAUAUUAAUUAAUUGCGUAAAAAAAUAAAAUUUAAUAAUUUAGUUGAAGGAACAAAUUAAAUAAUUACCUUGAGCUCAGUAUAGCCAUAAUUAAAAACGUGUCUGACACUAACAUUUUGUUUGUUGACAGCGUCAUAGUUGGCUUGAGUACUCCUAUUCAUAACAUCAUGGAAUUCUUUUGGUCGGACUGCAGCAAGCACAUGGAGAGGAGUGUUUCCCUCGGCAUCCCCCUCAUCUAUAAGACUCCUCGCUAACGGAUUAUUUUCAAGAAGAUUUCUUAGUUGUCCAACAUGAAAACUAACCAUAGCAUAAUGGAGAAAAUUACAUCCCCUGUUAUCGACCAGCUCGUAACAUUUUGGAUUUCCAGAAAUAAUUCGCUCAACCGUUCGGGCAUCCCCUUUGCCCGCUGCCAAAUGAAGAGCUGUCAUCUUUCGAUCUUUGUCAGCAAUGUUCGAAGCGGAUUGAUCAGUUUCUAAUAACAAAUUUAUCGUCCUGUAAUUUCCAUGAUAUGCAACGUAAUGAAUUGGAGUCCACCCAUAUUGAUCUGUUUCUUUGAUCAGAUUCUUCUUUUUCUCAAGUAAUUUCGGUAAUGCAGUAUCAACUGAGAAUACAGAAGAUAAAUCAAAUAAUAAUGAAAUUUUUAAUAAAAGUAAAUAUUCAGAAAGGGCAUAAAUUUGGGGGGCUAUUUAUGUUGGAGAUAUGAGGAAAAAAAUAGAUUUUUUUUUUUUUUUUUUAAUUCCAAACCAGCCAGAGGUCUAGAACAACACCAACACCAAUCACACAAUGAGUGAUGAAUAAUGGCUUCAGAUCGGUAACUUUGUUAUUUAGCAAAAUAAAAACUUGCAAUCAUUUCCCUGAGUUUGCAUCUAGAAAUCACAAUUUUUGCAAAAUUCACUAAGACACGUUUGAAGCACUAUUCUAAAGACCAAUUUGGUAAAUCUAAUUAUCCUAAAAACCAACUUUCCCUAUCUUAGUUAUCCAAAAGACCAAUUUUCACUAUAUUUACAGUUCUAAAGAUUAAUUUUUUAGGAGCAUUUCACAGUAAAAAAAUUAAUUCCUUCAUAACAGCACUUAAUUUCUUCAUAAAUUAAGAGUAUUUUUGUCAGUAAUAAAAAAAUUAAUUCUCCUAAGAAUAUUUAGUCAUUAACUGGAUUAAGUGAAUUAAGUAAAUUAAGUGGGAGAGAGAACGUGGCGAUCGGCUCAGAGGAGAGAGGAAACAGGUCGGGUCAACCCGUUCACGAAACCUGAAUCGGUGCUUCCGAUUCUGGCCACAUCUCCGGCGAUGGAGGGUAUCAACCGAACUCCCAGACGACGCGGUCAUUCCCCUAUCAUCAUUGUUGCUGGAAAACAGCCUAUGACCAGUCCACAAGCCCGUGUUAAGUCAUGGAGGACGAAAACUCAAAUCGGCGAGUUUUUACCUGAUUUCGAUCAUGUCGUCACCUGGGAUUUGUCGUUUAUGGCAGUCACUUCAAUUUCUGACCAUCAAACAGUGGCCGAUUUGUCGCCGAUCAGCCGUUGAAGUUUCACGGCUGUCGAAACUCGAUCGGGCACCAUGGCUACGCGUCGGAGCACACCGCUGCCACCUUUGGAUUCAGAGCGAGCUGAAGUUCCUGUUUUGACUUAUUUGAUCAUCGCCGCUCGAAUUCCGGUCAUCAUUGACCAGCGAGGGCAUUUUGGUAAUUUAGAAUUUUCAAGGGUAAUUUGGUAAUUUAAAAUUUUGGGAUAUUUUAUUAACUCAUGAAUGAGGAUAUGAUGAUAUCUCAUGAGCGUUUUAUUAUUGGUUUUAGACCGAUGGUGUAAUACACUUUUGUUACUUAAUCACGAUAAAAAAUAUGUAUCUAUUUUACGUGUUUCAAAAGUUUAUUUUGAUAUGUACGGGGUAUGGAUUUAUAUGGUCUGUCCAUGUAUUUAUGCAAUGUGUUGUUAUGUGUCAAAUAUGAUUUAUACACAUAUAUAUGUAUGUGUAAAAAUUUAUUGGCAUUAACAUGAAUAUGCAUUAUGUUUUUCGGAAAAUAAGAAAGUGGAUUCGAGCAAAUUGAUUUUGAAGAAAGAAAGAAAGUUUUUCGAUUUUGCUUAGUUUCUUGAAUUCUUUACUCGCUUAGUGGACACUGUAGAUAUAAUAUUUAAGAGAUAAGUGGGUGAAGGAAGUUUACAUGAAAACCAAAGUUAUAAAUGUUAAGUGAGAGUCUUAUUGAAUAGUAAUUGAAUGAAGGUAAUUGAAGUAAGUGAUUUAAAAGGAAAUGUGAAGUUUGAUCAUGGCAAAAGAAAUUUUAAAGAAUUUGUUUUAUAAUAUUUUUAAAAGACUGGCAUGUUAUCCAUUUGCAUUAUAUAUAAACAAGUAUGUAUUUUCAUAUAUGAAAAAUAAAUUUGCUUAUUGAGAUCAUUAUAAUUUAUUGUGAUUUUCAGAAAUUAUGAUUGAUUCAUGAUGAGUGAGGAGAAAAACCGGAAUUGAGAAUAGUAGUUAAAUAAUUCUCUUUGAGGGUAUAAUUAGAUUUAGUUAAUAAUUCACUAAAUUUAAUAAUUCGCUAAUUUAAUAACUCACUAAAUCUAAUAAUUCACUGAAAGGGUAUCAUUAAACUUACCGGCAAAAGAUCUCAUUGCUGCAGCAUGUAAAGCCGUCUUUCCGUUGGGGCCUUCAUGAGAUACUGAUGUGCUGUUUUCUAACAGGGCAAGCACCAUAUCAAAGGACGCUGAUGUGCGGUUUUCCAAAAGGCCACGCAACAUAUCAGAACGGUUCUCAUACUCAGCAGCCAUGUAGAGUGGCGUUUUGCCGUAAUUAUUUGCAGAAUAUGGAUAACCAGGGUCUUCUCUUGUCAGUAUUUUCACCACGUCCACGUUGCCUUGAGACACUGCCUCGUGGAGUGCUGUAUUCUUCUCGUUAUUCACCAUCCUAAUCAUUUGCCUGAAAGGUUCAACCCCGCUCUCUGGCUCUUCAUCUCCACGUUGAGCUAAUUUUGCUCUUUCAAUAAGAACUCUCACUAUCUCAAAAUGGCCGAAUUUUGCUGCAAGGUGAAGUGGAGUAUCGCCUUUGGCAUUAACUUGUAGUAGCAGUGCUGGGCAUUUCUCAAGUAUUUCUUCUACGAACUUCGUUGACACAUUUUCUCUUUCUGAUGAUAUGAUGUUGAUAUGCAGGAUUGUGUUUUUGGCCUUUGCUGUUAACAAUCUCUCAAUUACAUCUCUUUCCAUGUCUUUGAACGGUUCUGAAUUGCCCGCAGAUGCAGCUUUGAAAAAAUUUAGGUCCAUUUGCUGCUUAAUUUCACCAUUGCUGUCCAAUAAUGGAGCUUCCUCAAUCUCAAUGGAAACAGGAUUCAUGUUGGCGAAGUUGAUCUAUUAGAUAACGGUACCCAGUAUCUCGGAGGUACUCAUAGAUCUUCUUCUAACCUGACAUGUAUGUAUAUAUGACUUGAAAAGUGUAGUAUUUUUCACACUUCUUAAAUUCUUGCUUUUUUGACAAGGUAAGUAUCGACAUUAAUUCUUACUCUUUUGACAAACCAAGAAUUAACAUUUUUAACCUUGAUUUCUUCCUCAUGCUCUUUUAGUUAAAUAAAUAAAUAAAUUGAGAUUAGUCAUUCUCGUUGGCAAACUAAUCAAUUUCUCAAUUGUGUGCUUGUAUGUGUAAUUAAUAAUUAAUUAAACUGUGGCGCAAUAUUUUUAAGAACCCAGACAAAAAUAUAUAUAUACCAAUUAAUUAUUAAAGUUGACCAUGGUUUCUUCUAUUGUUUUGUCCUUAACAUUGCAAAAGUCUGCAUAGCCAUAUCCUCAAUCUUUAAAUACUGCAGCCUUCCUUAUCACAUUUCGAUCGGAUUCCAUAUACAGUUCUGCUCUUUUUGUUUGUUGGGUAAAGAAAGUGACUCUCAAAUGACUGCAAACAAUAAAAUAAUAGGGGAAUACUCUAUGAGUACUUCAUUAAUUCUACAAAAGAAAAGUGAUUCAAUGUUGCCUCUUAGCCUUCUUGUUACUUAUUAAAUCACUUCUUAAAAUGAUACUACAUGGAAUGUGUCAUUCAUGUAUUAAUUAUCGACAUUUAUAUGUUUUAUUUGACAGAAAAAUAUCUAAGAGUAUGGUUGGUGCAUUGUAUUACGGGAUAUUAAAAUACUAUUUACAUUAAAUUAAUGAUAAGACUAUGUUUGAAAAAACGAGAAUGGGUUAAAGGGCUGUGCAUUAGCUUACUUUUUUUUUUUGUUGCUUUUGCUUUUGCUUUUGCUUUUGACUUUUCUUUUAACUUUUGCUUUUACUUUAUAAUAAUAAUAAUAAUAAUAAUAAUAAUAAUAACUACUUUUUAAUUUAAUACAAUAUCAUCUAAUUUUUAUUUUUAUUUUUAUUUUUACAUUAUAAUUAUUAAUAUAAAUUAAUAAAUAUAUAAUUUAUUAUAACUAAUAAUAAAUAUGAAUAAUAUUAAUUUAAAAUUAAUAAUAAUAUAAAAUAUUAAAACAAUUUAAAUAUAUUAAUAUAAUAUAAAAUAUUAGUAUAAUGUAAUAUUUAAUUUAAAUUAAUCACAAAACAAAUCGAUACAGUGCAGUAUGACACCAAACAUUGUACAACAUUAAUCAAUACAGUACAGUAUAACACCAAAUAUUAUACAAUAUUUUUAUAAUACGGUACUAAUACAAUACAACAUAAUACAAUACAUUAGUAUUAAAAUAAUAAAAUACAACAUAAUACAAUAUAAUGUACUAAACGCACCCUAAGUGAUUUAUUAAUUAAUUAACUAUUAUUUAUGUAUAUGGAGAUUCUUUACCUUUUUUUUAAUCAAUUAACUAUUAUUUAUGUAUAUGGAGAUUCUUUACCUUAGUUUAACAUAUGUCGUUAUUCUUCCACGAACCUUUAAUUGAUUUACACGAGUAUCACAAUGGUUCCACUGGAACAAUCUUAUUAUGCAGUUCCCAUUCGACAACUUCAAAGUGUUACAAUUGUUUAGUUUAUACAAAAUGUAUUUACACACUCAGUCUCAAGUCCACUAAGGCCGCGAGUUCAAAGUUACAUCUCUUCCUAUACCCUUGAAAGGUUCAGUAUUUUAACAUUGAAAUCAUGGUCCAUUUGUUAGAAAUAUGAGUCAAUAUAGUUUCAUUAAAAGCCUAAAUCAGCCAGAACAGCUGUACACAAUGGCGUUGAACAAUCACUUGAAUACAGUAACUUUAUUAUCUAAAUGCUACACUUUUAUGUGGAGGAGAAUAGAGUUUUUGUGCAUCUAUCUGUUGACUUUUUGCACACGACAUGUUUUUUAGUUAACGUUUGUUUACUCUUUUAAUUGGCAAGAGAAAUGUUAAAUCAAUCAUGGGGUGACAGACCGCUGAGAAAAACAAAGGCAAAACGAUGAAGUUUUUUCAAUGGGGAAAAAAUUACUAACUCAAUCCCUAGGGUCGAGUAUUAACUAGCUCCACUCGCCCGACAACGGACAAAAUACAACCCUUGAAAAUUGGAACUCCAGGAUAAACAAAAGGAAAAGAGCCUUCGGAGAAGCCUAAGAAAUCACUGACAGUAUUUUUUCGAGAAGCAGCUGCCUUGACCUGAAAAAAAAUGUUAAAUCUUCUUUUUCUCUAAGUUAAUUUUUUGGGAAAAAGACAAACACACCCCCAACGUUUAGACAAAGGGACAAAAACUCCCUUGACGUUUUGAAAAAGAUAUUUACACCCUCAUUUACUGACAGAAACAAUAACUUUUAAUGGAAAUAGUAAUUUUAAUAUAUAAUUACCGUUAUACCCUUCUAACACAUAAAAAAAUAAUUGUUAAUUGUCCAAUUUAUCCAUAUAUUAUUAAUAAAAUUAUAAAUAUACCCCCAUUGCCCAAUUCCUCUAUUUAAAUUUUUAUCAAAUUCUCUCUUUAAACCAAAUAAAUUUAAUCCAUUACUCAAGAAUAAAAAUAAAUAAAAUUAGUUAUUAAUGCCAUAAGAAUAACAAUUCUCUAGGCCAUCCUAGGUUGAAAUCAUAAUCUGAUAAUUUGGGAUAAAAUUUAUACUAAUAAACAUUUUUUUUUUUAAUUAGCUAGUGACAAGUUGAAAUUUUUUUUUAUUUUAAUUUUAAGUUGGUGUAUACUAAAGAAAUCUUAAAACAAAAAAAUGAAAUAUUAUCAAUAUGGCUUUAGCCUAAGAAUAUUUAAAAAAUUCUACUAUCCUCGAUUCCCAUCCAAGAAAACGAAGAAUCCACGGAAUGCAUUUAACAAUGAAAUUUUUAUAUUUAAUUUCUUCCAAAAUUGCAAAUUUAUUCAUUACUAACUCUCUUUUUUAAUUAAGAUUUGCUUAAAUUCAUAUAAAUUUCAAGACAUAAAGAUUGCCUUUAAGGAGGCUAACCAAAAAAAAAAAAAAGCGGUAAGUAAGAAACCGUUUAUGAAUAAUAUCUUUAUUUUAUGAAAAAAAAAACAAUUUUCUUUUUAGAAAGACCAGCUCAGCCUGAACAACAACACCCAUCAAAAACCUCAACGGUGAUGAACAAUAGCUUGACAAUAGAAUUCUUUGUUAUUUAAAAAAAAAAGUUACAAUCAUAACCUUGUGGCUGCAGCCGGAAAACCAAAUAGUUGCUUCCUACAACGAAGAAUUUGUUAUCGGACCAACAAAUACGAACUCAGAGAAAAAUCCUCAAGGCGGGUGCAAAGCAUUGUCCUAAAGGGUAAUUUUCACUAUACUACAACAUCGGACGCUGUCAUAUCUUUGUAAUCAUAUUUAGGAUCGUCAAGAUAAUCUUUUGACCAGGCAGGGUUAGAUUAUGAAUUUAUCGUAUUUAUCUGUGUGAACAUAACAAAAAAAAAAAAACAAUUCAAAAGACAUUGCAACAUCAAGAAACUUGCUCAAAAGAAAGUUGGUAAAAAGACAAAUUACUAUUUUAAUAUUGAAUUUUAAAGGGUCCAAACCAGAAUAACUUAACUAUAAAUAUAUUUAAGUUAUUUUAAUAAAGAUUGAUUUAAGGACACGAAAGAAAAAGAUUUAAAAAUAAAAAUACCAUAAAAUUUAAGGGAUAUUGAAUUAUUUUUUGGGCUAACCCGGUCGAGCCACUACUCCACGUGCCAUUGCAUUUGGAUCUGGUCUUAGCAAUUUAGCACUGUCGUCAUGAAUAUAGCACCAUCUUGAUAUUGUCCUCCGCCAACAUCUUUGGAAAAUUCUUCCUCCUGUAAAUUGAGUGUGAAUAUGAAUUAAUUGCAUAAACUAAAAAAAAAAAUAAUAAUAAAGUAAUGAAAAAGAAAGCUGGAUUUAUAAGUUGAAAGAAUUAACAAAUUAAUUACCUUGAGCUCAGGAUAGGAUAGCCAUAUUUCAAAAUGUGUCUAACACUAACAUUUUGCCUAUUGACAGUGUGAUAGUUAGUUCGAGUCUUCCUAAUCAUAUAGAGUUCUCCUUGGCAUCCCCCUCAUUUAUAAGACUCCUCGCUAACGGAUAUUUUAGUUGAGUUUUUAAAUCAUUAAAAAAAAAAUGACUAUUCCAUAAUGAAAAAAGUUCCAUCCCCUGUUAUCGACCAGUUCAUAACAUUCUGGUGUAAGGGAAAGAAUUCUUUCAACUGUUCUGGCAUGCCCUCGGCCCUUUGCCGAAUGAAGAGAUGAAGUUUUUUCAAUGGGGAAAAAAUUACUAACUCAAUCCCUAGGGUCGAGUAUUAACUAGCUCCACUCGCCCGACAACGGACAAAAUACAACCCUUGAAAAUUGGAACUCCAGGAUAAACAAAAGGAAAAGAGCCUUCGGAGAAGCCUAAGAAAUCACUGACAGUAUUUUUUCGAGAAGCAGCUGCCUUGACCUGAAAAAAAAUGUUAAAUCUUCUUUUUCUCUAAGUUAAUUUUUUGGGAAAAAGACAAACACACCCCCAACGUUUAGACAAAGGGACAAAAACUCCCUUGACGUUUUGAAAAAGAUAUUUACACCCUCAUUUACUGACAGAAACAAUAACUUUUAAUGGAAAUAGUAAUUUUAAUAUAUAAUUACCGUUAUACCCUUCUAACACAUAAAAAAAUAAUUGUUAAUUGUCCAAUUUAUCCAUAUAUUAUUAAUAAAAUUAUAAAUAUACCCCCAUUGCCCAAUUCCUCUAUUUAAAUUUUUAUCAAAUUCUCUCUUUAAACCAAAUAAAUUUAAUCCAUUACUCAAGAAUAAAAAUAAAUAAAAUUAGUUAUUAAUGCCAUAAGAAUAACAAUUCUCUAAUCUUAUCUUAAUUGUAUUAAAUAACAUAUCCUAUAGACAUAAAAAUUGAUAAAAUAAAUAAAAUUAGUUAUUAAUGCCAUAAGAAUAACAAUUCUCUACAUGUCAAUCAUUUAAACUUGUAUAAUCAACAAAAUAAAAAAAAAGGCUGGUUACAACAAUAAUUACAAAAAUCUUAUCUUAAUUGUAUUAAGUAACAUAUCCAAUAGACAUAAAAAUUGAUAAUAGAUUAAAUUUAUUUUGCUUGAAGAGAUAAUUUGAUAAAAAUUUAAAGAGAGGAAUUAGGUAAUGAAGGUAUAUUUGUAAUUUUAUUAAUAAUAUAUAAACAAAUUGGACAAUUAAUAAUUUUUUUUAUGUGCUAGAAGGGUAUAAUGGUAAUUAUAUAUUAAAAUUACUAUUUCUAUUAAAAGUAACUAUUUCCGUUAGUGAAUGAGGGUGUAAAUAUCUUUUACGAAAUGUUGGGGAAUUUUUAUCCUUUUACCUAAACAUUGAGGGUGUGUUAGUCAUUUUCUCUAAUUUUUUUAAUGUAUCAACUGAUACAAAAAAAAUAAGUCUCACAAUUAUGAAGCGUAUUCAUAUUAAUAAAUAUACAGAAAGGCACAAAUUUGUUGGGCCAUUUACGUUGGAAAUUUGAGACAAAAUAACUUUUUUGAAAGACCAGCUCAGCCUGAACAACAACACCCAUCAAAAGCCUCAACGGUGAUGAACAAUAGCUUGACAACAAUAUUCUUUCUCAUUUAAAAAAAAAAGUUACAAUCAUAACCUUGUGGCUGCAGCUUAGAUCUCGAUUUAUCAGAAUCACUCUCUAUGUUAAUGACACAUGAGGGAAUGUUAGAACAACAAGCUUUAGCUGAACUAUGGAUGCAAAUCUGGCGUUUGCUGCAAAUUUUGUUCAGUAAGGGAACAAUAAUAAGAAAGGUUUUGGAACAUACAACUCAAGAUCUGGUUUCAAUCAAGAUGCAUCAAGAUCUGAAAAUUCUGGAUACAUGAUGCAAGGAAAUUUUAGAGGGAAUCAAGGUGGAAAUUUCUAUCGAGGAAGGAAAGGUGGAAGAGGAAAUAACAUGCAUGGAGGAAGAUCUUGGAAUCAAGGUGAGAGAACUCAAAUGCCUGGUCAUGUGCCUGGUCAUUUUUCACAGCCAUAUCAACCUAGAUGCCAAGUGUGCUUCAUCAUAGGACACACUGCUGCUACCUGCAAGGAUAGGUUCAACAAGGAUUUCAUUCCAGUCAUAAGGUAUCCACAUCAGAAUCAAGUUUUCAAUCAAGGCUACGGUCAAAGAAAUAUGUCAGCUUAUAUGGCAACACCAGAAGCAGUAAUGGAUGAUGACUAGUACCUGGAUAGUGGAGCAACUCACCACCUAAUCAAUGAUCUCAAUAAUCUCAGCAUCAGUGAGCCUUAUGAAGGUAAUGAAAAGCUUUUAAUUGGUAAUGGACAUGGCCUUACUAUUUCUCAUAUAGGAAGCACUCAUUUAGCAGUUGGAAAUCAUAGAUUAUUGCUCAAAAAUCUUUUAUUUGUGCCACACAUCACCAAAAAUCUUUUAAGCAUUUCUAAGCUCACUUCUGAUAAUUCCUUGAUCAUUGAAUUUUAUGGAAAUACUUGCUUUCUCAAGGACAAGAAGAAGAGGACAGUAUUGCUGGAGGGUGUAGCUAUGAAGGGUCUGUAUAAGCUGAAACUUGAGCCUGGAAGUAAAACUCAUCAAGCUUUAUUUUCAACUGUAAAUAAAGAGUCAUGUUUUGUUCCUAUGUCUAUGGUGCCACAUUGCUCAGAUGGUUUGCAGUCUUGUUCUUUUUCAAAUAUUCAAGCUAAAGUUGUUCAACACUCCUCUCAACAGUGUCUGUUGUCUCAUUCCAGUAGAGUUUCCAGUACUUCAAUAAAUAUCCUACAUAGGCAACUUGGUCAUCCUAGUUCAAAAGUCUUGAAACAUGUACUCACCAGUUGUAAACAUUUGCAGUUAAGCAAUAAAAUUCAAAUUCCUGAUUUUUGUGAUGCCUGCCAAUAUGGCAAAGUUCAUAAACUGCAUUUUGGAGCAACUGAACACAAAACAACCUCACCUCUAGAACUCAUCCAUACUGACUUAUGGGGUCCAGCACCCAUUACUUCUCUCAAUGGUUAUAGAUACUAUAUCAGUUUCAUUGAUGAUUAUAGUAGAUAUGCCUGGGUUUAUCCUUUGAAAACCAAGUCUCAAGCUUUAUCUGUUUUUGCCAUUUUUCGAACUCAAGUUGAAAAACAAUUUGAAACAGUCAUUAAGGUCCUACAGUCAGAUUGGGGGGGGGGGGGGAAUAGUCAGAUUGGGGGGGGGGGUGAAUUCAGAUCCUUUGUGAAUUAUCUUAAAAAACAUGGCAUUUUAUUCAGACAUUCAUGUCCUCACACACAUCACCAGAAUGGGACAGCAGAGAGGAAACAUAGACAUCUUGUUGAGAUGGGUUUGACUCUUCUUGUACAAGCUAAAUUGCCUCUCAGUUUCUGGUGGGAAGCAUUCUCAACUUCUGCUUUUCUCAUCAAUCGAUUGGCAACUUCUGUUCUACCAUCAAAUAAAUCUCCCUAUGAGAUUCUUUUCAAACACAAGCAUGACUAUGAUUUUCUAAAGUGUUUUGGCUGUUCCUGUUUUCCAUACUUGAGAUUCUAUAACAAACACAAAUUCAACUAUCACACUACAAAAUGUUUGUUUAUUGGUUAUAGCUCAUAUCACAAAGGGUAUAAAUGCCUAAGCUCAAAAGGUGUUGUAUAUGUUGUUAGGCAUGUUGUGUUUAAUGAGUCAGAAUUUCCUUUCUCUACUGACUCUCUUUUCUCUAAACAACCUUCUUCCUCUGCUUCUGAAUAUAGAUAUCCUAUGUUUAAGGUAUCUUCAGUGUCAGUUCCACUUCAUGACCCUUCAGGCUCAAGUAACACCAUUAUACAACCAUUUCAGUUGCCUGCAGCUUCAGCUUCUUCCUCCUCAUCUAGUUCUUUAUCACCUUCUUCUCAACCAUUUCAACCAUCUCAAUCAAAUCAUCCACCCUCCCACACCUCUCCUUAUGUAUCCCAAAACACUUCAAAUCAACAACCAUCCUCUACUCAAGUUUCACUGCCAAAUCACCCAAUGAUUACAAGAGCCAAAGCAGGUGUAUUUAAGCCAAAAUUUCAUGCCUAUUCCUCUGUUCUUGGAGAACAAGAGCCUUCCACAGUUUCUCAAGCUCUUUCAGAUUCCAAAUGGAAAGCAGCCAUGCAGGCAGAGUAUAAUGCACUUAUGGAAAAUAAGACUUGGAUUCUUGUACCAGCUUCUCAAGCUACUAAAAUUGUUGGGUGUAAAUGGGUUUUUCGCAUUAAGUAUAAUGCAGAUGGUUCUGUUUCUAAGUAUAAAGCACGGCUGGUGGCAAAAGGGUUUCAUCAAACACCUGAUAUUGACUACUUUGAGACCUUUAGUCCAGUAGUUAAAUAGUCAACUGUGAGAAUUAUCCUUAGUCUUGCUGUGAUGAAGGGCUGGAAAAUAAGACAAAUCGACAUCAACAAUGCUUUCCUUAAUGGAGAGCUCAAUGAAGAUGUCUACAUGUUUCAACCUGAGGGUUUUGUUCAGUCUCCAUCUGGUCAUGUUUGUCAGUUGCAUAAGGCUCUUUACGGUUUGAAACAGGCUCCUAGAGCCUGGUUUGACAGGCUAAGGAAAGCACUGUUGCAGUGGGGGUUUCAGAACUCCAAAGCAGACUCAUCUUUGUUCAUCAAACAUGAACUUGGAGGUAUUGUGGCUGUGUUAGUAUAUGUAGAUGAUAUAUUAAUUACUGGUGAUAACAAUACAGUAAUUGAAACAUUUAUCCAAUACCUUGGAGAUACCUUUGCUUUAAAAGAUCUUGGUGAGUUCAGUUACUUCCUUGGUAUUGAGGUUACACAUGAUGCAAAGGGUAGCUUACAUCUUUCACAGGCAAAAUAUGUAAGAGAUUUGCUUACAAGAACUGAUAUGGAAAAUUGUAGAGAAAGUGAUACUCCAAUGAGUACAGGACAGAAACUAAGAAGAGCAGGGAAUGAUGAUAACUUGAUUUUUAAUGUCACUGAGUAUAGAAGCAUAAUAGGUGCUUUACAGUAUUUGGUACUUACAAGACCAGAACUUGCCUUUUCAGUUAAUAAGUUGAGCCAAUUUCUUGCUGCACCAACUGAGAAACACUGGGUUGCUUGUAAGAAAAUUCUAAGAUACUUAAAGGCAACUGAAGAUUAUGGAUUGAUGUUUAAAGCAGGAGAUGGAAUUAGUCUGACAGCAUAUACAGAUGCAGAUUGGGCGUGUGAUGUGGAUGACAGAAAGUCAGUUGGAGCAUAUUGUGUAUAUCUUGGGCAGAAUCUGGUUUCAUGGUCCUCCAAGAAGCAACAAACUGUAGCAAGGUCUAGCAUAGAGUCAGAGUAUAGAGCAUUGUCAACAGCUUGUGCAGAAAUUGUUUGGAUUCAAGCUUUACUUGGAGAGCUUAAACUGAAGUGUAGCCAAAUACCAAUAAUCUGGUGUGACAACAAUGGUGUAGCUGCACUAGCAACAAAUCCAGUAUAUCAUGCCAAAACCAAGCACAUAGAGUUGGAUGUGCAUUUCAUAAGGGAAAAGGUAACGGGCAAACAAGUGGAGAUCAAGUAUGUACCAAGUGAGUGGAAUAUUGCAGAUGUGCUUACAAAGCCUAUGGCUUACUCUUUUUUUAAUUACUAUAGAGACAAGCUUAAUGUUGUUCCACAACCAUUAAGCUUGAGAAGGGGUGUUGAGAUGCUUAAUCAACAGCAGCAUAUCAAUGGCUGAGAUUCACUUGACUAGGAUUGAUGAGCUGGAUAGCUGAGUUGGACAAAUUAGUUAGAUUGUUAUUGUUUAGCUUAGCUUAACCAAUAGUUAUUUGACAGCUGUUACAGAGGUUGUUACUUCUGUUAAUCAGCAAUAUAAGUUGAUGAAAGCUUGAAUGUAAGUGUGUGAUUCGAGAUUAAUAAAAUUCUCUUAUUCAGUUUGUUUUUCUUUCUUCCUUCGUCACUUUCCUGCUAGCCAAACAGAUUGUAUGCUUAAGGUUUGUGAAUUCUAACUGCUAUAUUAAAAUGGCCGAAUUUUGCCGCAACGUGAAGUGGAGUAUCACCUUUGCCAUUAACUUGUGUUUGUAGUGAUGGGCAUAUCUCAAGUAUUUCCCCUACGAACUUGAUUGACGCAUUUUCUGUUCAUUGGCAUAUGAUGUUGCUAUGCAGGAUCGUGUUCCUGGCCGGUACUGUUAAUAAGCUCUCAAAUAUUUCUCUUGCCAUAUCUUUGUAGGAUUCAGCAUUGCCAUCAGCUGGAAACUCAAGUAAAUUAUCCGUACUCAGUUACUCUUCAAAGUAGAAGCAUGACCGAUUAAGUUACCUGGAGAACUGAAAAUAAAAAAUAAAAAAAGGUAGAUAUUCUUUCCGGUUAGGUUUCAAAUAAAGCAGAGAAAAUAAUUGAAGUUAAGUUAAAAAAAAAANNNNNNNNNNNNNGAGAAUACUCAGACGAAUUCAAGUUGGUCAAGAAAGCCAAGUCGAGUAGUAAAUUGAGUCAAACAAUAAGUCGAGUAUUCAUAUAAUGCUCCUGGUGGACAAGAAAUCCUGUAAGCUGGAUUUAGAUCCAGUACUGAGCUUAGCUGUGCUCAUCUCUUCGUAAACAUCUACCACACAUGCAUGGAUAACAAUUUAAGAUGAAUAUUUAAUUAAUUUUAUAUUCUUAUCUUUCUAAAAGAUUAACAAAAACCUCAGCUCAGCGCUGAAUACAAAUUCCUGUAAACUAGGAACAUAAAACUCGAUGAUCACAUGAAAAGCUUAAAUUCAAAUUCAAUUGUAUUCAUGAUAUGAUUAUUUCAAACAACCAAAAAUACUUAAAACAAAAACCCAAUUGUGAAACUAAAAAAAAACCCAAUUCUCAUAUUCUCCGAAGAAAACACUAAAUUAAUUAAUUAAUUUUAAAAAAGGAAACAAACCUAAAUUCAGGUACCAGGCAAAAAGAUUGGGGAAGAAAAAAGAAUAGGAAAGGAAAUGAACCUUGGGAGUCCAAAGCGUGUCGCUUGAAGCAACGCCGUUCCAAGCACGGGAUACAAGGAGAGUCGGUGCUACGCUGCGUGCCUUUAGGUUUUGAAGUAUCUUCAACAUUAUGUCUCCACCAAAAGCCUCCAGUGGAUCCUGCAAUAAUUCUUCAGUUUCUUCUUCUUUGAGUUGUUCUUUUCUUUCCUCUCGAUUUCUCUUCUUUCACAGUUUCAUCUUCGUCUUCUUCUUCUUCAGUAAAACGACAUCGUUUUCCUGUUCUUCUAUUUCUCGCAGUUCCAUUCUGCGUGGUAGUAGCUAUUACUACAGAGCAAGCGAAUGAAAGGAAUCACCCGAAGCCGCAAUUGCAAUAACUCCAAAAAACAUCAAAAUAUAAAAAUAAGUUAAUGCUAAAAUGCCCAUAUUUAAUUUUUAAAAAAAAUUAUUUACUGUAUGUAGAAAUAUACAAUCGAUAAAUUUACUAUUUUUUAAAUAUAAUAAAUUUUACGUGGCUCAAACUCAUUCUCUUGUAGAUAUUAUUGAACUACAAGCCUUUAAGUUAAAAUGCUAAUACUUUUGAAUUAUUAUUUUACUCGAUUUUUUUAUAUCACUUGAUUUAUUAUUCAACUUUGUUAUGAAGAUUGGGGUCCAACUGUGUUACUACGGUCGUAACAUACCACAUUCUUUUGUCUUUUCCUAAUCCACCGUUAGAUUUAAUUCAGACCAAGGGUAAUGGCUAAGAUGUUUUUGUUGGGUUAUUAAUGUUAUACUCCCUAAUGUUUGCUACAAAAUUACAAAAGUAACAAAGUUUAAAAUAUUAACACAUAAGUCCAUAAAUUUACAAUUUAUUAUUCAAUAAUAUUAAAACAUUUUAAUUAUAUUAUUAAAUAUUAUAUAAAAAAUUAUAACAUAAUAUAAUAUUAUUUAAUUAUAUUAUAAUAAUUAAUAAAUAAAAUUGAUUAUUAUUUAAAAAUUUAAUAUAACUAACAAUAAAUACUUAAAUAAUAUAUAAAGAUCUGCUGUACGGCCAAAAUAAAAUUGAUUAUUAUUUAAAAAUUUAGUAUAACUAACAAUAAAUACUUAAAUAAUAUAUAAAGAUAAAAAUAUAAUAUAAUACUACAUUAUUUAAUUAUAUUAUAAAAAUUAGUAUAUAAAAAUUAAAUAUUUUUAAAUAUUUAAUAUAAAAAUAAUAAAUUAUUAAAUAUUAAUAAAUUUGAAUAAUAUUAAAUUAAAAUUAAUAGCAAUCUAAAUAAUGAUAUAAAUAUUACAAUUUAAUACACAUUAAUGACACACACUGUAAUAUAAUGCAUCUAAUGCAAUACAAUAUAUUGUGUCAAAUGACCCAGUUAAUUUCACUAAUAAAUUAAUUUAUUCUUAUAUUUGAAUUAAUAUGUUUAAAUUAAUAUUCUUUCUUAUUAAUUAAUUAGUUUAAUAUAUAGUAAAACCAUGUAUUAGUUACAAACAAUAUUUUAUGAUAAAUAUGAGUAUGAAUUUGAUCUCUUGUUCUUAAUUUGUAGUUAAUAUUUUUUUCAUAAUACUUAUUCAAUAUAUAGUAAAUAAUUUCAAUAUGCAAUAAAAAUAUAUUAAUCUACCAAUUAAUAAUUUUUUAUUGUUUAAUAAGAAGGUAUCAAAAAGUGUGAGGGAGGGUGGCAACUUUCUUGUCGUUUAUUCUUACAUCUACGAGCUUGAUAAAUAAGUUUAGAAUCUUUUAAAAGAAUUUGAAGGCAAAGUCAUUUUAUACUCCACAUGUAUUUGAGAACCUUUUUUCACAUCUCAUGGUCGAUAAUUUUGAGUUAGUGAUAAAAUUUAGUUGCUAAUUGCUAGAGAUAUGGAAUUGAAACUAGUGGGCAUGUAAAUAAUUCAAUCAUUUUUUAUAUCAUUUUAAUUAAUUAAUUUAGUAAAAAUAUAAAAUUAGUUUUAUCAAGGAUAUAUUUGACAUUUAAGUAGGUGUAUGGAGUAAAUUUUCUUUUUAAAACUUUGAUGAUGGUGUGUGAAUUAAUAAUUAAAAAAUACCCUCACAUUUUGAUUUAAGUUUCAAAAAAUCAAAACAAGUAGGACUAAUGAGUCAAAAUUUAAGAUUAUCGGAUUUUUUGUCUAAUUUUAGCAUAAAAUAGGGAUUCUAGUGUAAUUAAUCUAAAAGGACAAAAAAGUGCGGUAUGUUAUCUCUGUGGUAACAUAGUAGUAUCCCUGAAGAUUGAUAAUAAAGUUGAGAAUAUUUUUUUUUAUUUAGGAUAUUUUGGCCUUUUUAGAGUAUGAUUAUGUAAUAUGAGACAGUCGGGGUGUUAUUGAUCUUUUAAAAGAAAUAAAUAUAUAUUUUAUUAAAAAAAUUGUGGUGGGAGAUCACGUGGUUCAGGUACUGCUCUGUAAUGAUGAUAGUUAAUAAUAGUCCGAUAAUGCAUUCUUGCCACGCCGAGCUCCAAAACAAAAUCAUCCUUCAAUUGAAGGACGAAAAUCGGGCGUUUGGGCUCUGACUCAAAUAUGUGGCAAGAUGCUGAGUGAUUGCUUGGAAAAACAGCAAGUCGAUGACUUUGUUGUUUAUAGAGUCUGAAACGUAGCAAAUGGGGAGCAUCCACGCGUUGCAGGAGAGAGGAAAAGUUAGCUGAUACAAGAUCAAUUUGUACUGAGCUGUUACAUACAGUCUGUAACGUAGCUUGUCUGCUCCAAAUAACAUCAAAAUAUUAAAAAGUACGUUAAUACUAUAAUGCCCCUAUUUAAUUUUUAUAAAAAACUGUUUACAAUAACCAAAAAAUAUACUAUCUGAAAUUUGAAAAAUUCUAUGAUACUAUGAUUAAAAUUACGACAUUAUUAUCAUGAUAAAUAUAAGUUUUGUAAAUUACAUAUAAAAUUAUUAAAUAAAAGAUAAAAUUAGUAUAUUAAUAUAUAAGUGGUAAAUUAGUGUUUUCAAAUUACAAACAAAACAAACACUUAUAAAAUAACAUAAAACUUUGAAAUCAAUAUUAAUCUUUCAUUAAAUAAAAUUAGCUUAUUUAUUUAACUUAAUUAAAUAAAGAACAAAGUGAGUCAUCAAUUAAAAAAAAUUGUAUUGAAAACAAUUAGAAUAAGUUUUAUUGAAUUGAUUUAACUAUAAAUUCUAGAUUCAUUCUAUGACAUUCAUUAUUUUUUUUUAUUUUUUAUCAUAGUAUUGUUUACUACAGAGGUUAAUUAAACAAAUUAUUUUUCUUGAAUGCAUUAAGUCAAAACAAAAUAAAAAGAUAUAUAUAUAUAUAUAUUAUCAAUAAAAUUGUAUCUAAUUUUAUGUUUUAUAUAUAUUUUAUGUAAUUUUAAACUUUGCUUCUUACUUGUAUUUAAAGAUCAUUUGUGGUUGCUAUCAAGAAGAUUUAAAAUGAUGAAAAAUCACCUUAUCCUACGAGCAACUUUGAAAAAUAUGAAAAAGAAUAGUUUUUCAAAAUCCAAUUUUAAAAAUAAGUUUUAUCCUUAAUAAAAUUUCACUUAUAUCAUCAUAUGUAUUACAUAAACCCAAAACUAUCAUUAUUCCAUUUAGAAAAAAUAAAUCAAUAAAAAGUAAUCAUUAUUAUAAUGAGGUUGUAUAUUACAUUUUUAAAUUUUUUUAAUAAUUCUUAUAUUAAUUUACAUGUUUUACCUUACAUUUACAAGUCCUAUAUUUUAUUUAUAUAAUUUAUUUUUUAUCUUACACUUAAUGUUGAUUCAUAAGUUUUAUUUUAUAUUUAUAAGUUUUUAUUUUGUUUACCAAUAACACUCUAAUUUACCACUUAUAUAUUAACUGACUUGUUUUACAUUUCAUUUACAAGUCUUAUAUUUUAUUUACUUAAUUGAUGUUUUAUUUUAAACUUAUUAUUGAUUUACAAGUUUUUAUGUUAUAUUUAUAAGUUUUUGUUUUGUUUACCAUUGAUACACUAAUUUACCACUCAUAUAUUAAUUUUCUUAUUUUACCUUCCAUUUAUAAGUCUUAUAUUCUAUUUACAUAAUCUAUAUUUUAUUUUACAAUUAAUUUUUAUUUUUAUUUUUUAUUUAAAUUUAUAUGUCUUAUGUUUAUUUACAUAAUUUAACGUUUAAAUAUGGUAUCGAUGCUGUGAUUUUAAUCACGGCAUUAUAGAAAGACCUAAUUAGCUAAAAUUCUCGAUAUAGAUACUCGUAGUACAUUCUAAAGGUCGACUAAACAUUAAGUUCGAAAAUUUAUUCCAUUAAUACGUGGGGAGAAAUCUACUGUUAUUUAAAUAGAAUAAAUUUUAUAAGACUUAAACUCAUUCUUUCACAAGCACUAUUGAGUUAUAAGCCUACAAACCAAAAUUCGAUUUAUUAUUCAACUUUGUUAUGAAAAUUGAAAAUAAAGUAGAGAAUUUUUUUAUUUAGAAUAUUUUUACCUUUUUAGAGUAUAAUUAUGUAAAAUGAGUUAGUAGGGGGGUGAUAUUGGUAGUAUACUAGUAUGAAAGGAAUUGAAUAAAUUUUUUUCAAAAAAAGGAAAUCCGGAGCCGCAGGCAGGUCACGUGGUUCAGUUGUGCUAAGUGCUCAGUGGUGAUGACUGAUGAUAUCAUUAACUAGUUUUUUACGAAAGAAAUCGAGCCCAUACUGAUCUGAUAACACUUUCUUGCCACGUCGAGCUCCCAAAAGAAAUCACCAUUUAAUUGAUGAACCACAGACGGCCAGUUGGGUUCUGUUUCAUAUACGUGGCAGAAUCCUAAGUAAUUGCUUGGAAUAAUUAACAUAUGGAAUUAUAGAUUUCUGCACGAGCAGUUAAAUGGCAAGUUGUUGACUUGGUUGUUCAUAUUUAGAGGUGGCAAAAUCGGUGAGCGGAUUAUUAUUAAUUUAAAUCGGUUUAAACAUGAUUUAUUUAAUAAUUACGUUAAAAUAUUAAAUAUGAAAUAAAAAUAAAAAUAAAUGAGUGACAUGACAUCAUCCAUUAAAUAAUUGGACAAUCGUGUCACGAUAUCUAAUAACCUGCUUAAUACUUAUUUACACAACAUAUAUCAAAGAUUUCACACUUAUUUGACAAAAAUUCAAUUUUUAUAUAUUGAUAUUAUGAAAAUAUAUAAGUCUACUAAAAUAUUACAUAUUUAUACUACUCAUGUUGUAAUUCCAUUUAUAAUUUCAUAAAAUAAAAUACCAUAUAAAUGUUCAUCCUUCACAAAAUCAUUAUUUAAUUAACUGGGUAAAUGGUUCAAGAAUUUAAACCUAACCCAAUAGAGAAAAAAAUUAUGUUGACAUAUUUAAUAAUUAUGUUAAAUUUAAUGAUUCAAACCUAUUUUUUCAUAAUAUGUGUUUAUGUCUGUUCAGUAUAUUUCAUCAAAUUUUGUCAGUUCAAUUUAUAAUAUAUUAGAUAUUUAAAUAAGAUUUUCUUCCGAAAAAAAAAAUUAAAGUUCAGGCGUUUGUUUCAUACGUGUUCAUGUAAACCCCCGGCCGAUGCAACGUAGCUGGACUCGUCAUGUAAAUAUAUACCACCAAAUCUUUUUUUUUUUUCCUUUCUGAUACAAAGCAUUACUUUCGUUAAUUCAACGAGUGAAUACAAAUGUGCUCGGUUUUUUUUUUUUUUUUGGACAAAGGAAAUAUAAUUUCAUUCCAACAUAAUAUAAUAAUACAACAGCUAAUCCAUAACAAAUUGAAGAUCAAUCUAUAGAUAAUAUGUUAUAAUAAAUAAUUGAGCCUUGAGGAUCAAUCUAUAGAUAGUCUGUUACAAUAAAUAACGGAACAAACCAUUUACUUUCACAGUUCAUGUUGACGAAGAGGGAGAACACAACGCACCUCAAACACAAUUAAGAUGCAUAUCCACAAUACAUCAUGCAUCCAACAUGCUUGAGCUCUACCCAGAACAUCCCUAAUACUAUGUCUAAAUCAGGUUGUAUGCAUACUUUCAAGUUUAUGUCCGGAAAAUAUGCCCAUUCUGUUUUCUUUCGUUUCAUUUAUCCAUAGAUCUAGGUUUGUGGAUUUUUUGUUCCAACCUAUAUGGUGGCUGUGUUCCCACGCUCUAUGGUGGCUUGUGUUUGUGUUGCUGUGUUGGUUGUCUUUCAGAUUUCAUGUCUACAAGGAUCAGAUUUGAUAAAUAAGAGAACGUAAAAGAUUUUCUAUAGUUGAUCUGUUACAUUGCUGGUUGUAUUUUGAACCUAAAUUUAAUGUUUUUAAUUAGUCUUACGGGAGCAAAUUUAUAAUUGAACUAGCAAGAAUAAAAUUUUCCUGGCGACAUUUGAAUUGAUCGUGUACGACAUUAAAAGACUGUAUCAUUACAUGAUUCUUUAGUAUACUGAUACUAUUCGCACCACAUCAAAAUACGAAAUCAAUGAUUGUUUAUCUGUUGACUGCAAUGGAUUAUUUGUACAUUAAUCCAAAUGUUUGUGUAAUUGUCCGUGAUAGACUCACUAUUAUUUUCUUAUACGUUAAAUGGAUUAAAAGUGAGGGUUUUGUGUGUGUGUGUGUUCAUAUUUCAGCAAUAAAGGUUCUUGUUCUGUCGGUGUAAUUGGAUGGAUGGUUUUGCUUCAGUGUUCUGUCUCUCUCUUUCGUUUAUAGUUUUCACCAAUUAAUUGAGAGAAAACAAAUAUUGUUUGCUAAACGGUUGAGUAAAUCAACUAUAUAUAACUAGGAUCUGUUAAGUUACUUGGGUAUUAACGACUAAUUAUGUUUUUAAUUACUUUUGUUUAUUAAUAACUUUUAACAAAAAAAUCUAAUUGCAUUGAUAAUUUGAGUAAAUGUCAAAUAUUUUCUUUACAUUCAUAAGUGAAAAACUUUUAACAAAAAAUCUAAAUUUUCUCACUUUAAACUUUUAUCCCUCUAAAAAUUUUAUGACUAACCUGAUCGUUGAAGGGUUUACGCCACUAAAGUCGGCCCCACUAAAGCCGGCCCUUUGACUGUUUUUCUUAUGUUUAUAGCGCAUUAUCUAAUUAAGGUUAUCCCGUCACCUAAGGAAUAUAUACCUCUUACUCUUAAGAAAAAAUUCAAAUGAGUGUAAUUGAACUUCGAAAAUAAAAGGCACAACAUGAGAAGCCCACAUCAAGAGUUCAACAAAGUUUGAUCUAAUAAAGAGAAAGUUCAUGAAAUUACCAUUUAAUAAAUUGGGACAAAAUUUUUACGAGUAAAUUGGCGUCGUUUAUGAGGACUUCUAACUAAAAGUCUUGGAACUCUACUGAGAGCAUGGAUGUGAGCUAUGAGCAUUAUGACCUUGUGUUCGAAUACGGUGAGUUCUAGGGUUGAGGAAGCCCAUUCUCAAGGAAGAAGACCAUUGAUGGAUUCAUCAUUUGAUGGCCAGCUACAUGGGCAAGCUUGAUUCCAAAGUAAAGUGGAUUGAUUAGCUUAGAACUUUGAUAGAAUGUUUUAUCAAUUCCAAGCUCAAGUUGAGGAAAGGGAGGACUCAAGCGAUCCUAGUGACGAUGAAGUUGUGAUGAUGAACUUGAUUCGGGCUCCUCUAGAGCAAGGUACAUGGAAGGCUUGGAAGAAAGUGACCUUAGACACAAAGAUCUUGGAGGAUAGGGGCUAGAGAAGUCUUUCUCUCUCUAGGCUUUAUCUCUUUAAAUUUUAUUUUUUUAAAAGUCCAGUGAUUGGCCUGAUCGUUAAAGGGUAUACGUCAUUAAAACUAACUAUUUGAUUGUUUAGGUUAUGUUUGUAGGCAUUGUCUUAUCAAGAUCAUUCUCAUCACUAUUUUUUUUAAUUAGCUAUUAAAAAGUUGAAAGUUUUAUUUUAAUUUUAAUUUUAAGUUGGUGUCAGGCGUAUACUAAAAACAUCUUAAAACAAAAAAAAAAUACUAUCAAUAUGAUUUUAGCGUAAGAAUAUUUUAAAAAAUUCUACAAAAAUAUUAUCAUUUUAUCCCCAUCCAUGAAAACAAAGAAUCCACCGAAUGCAUUUAACAAUGAAAUUUUUAUAUUUAAUUUCUUCCAAAAUUGCAAAAUUAUUUGUUCACCAACUCUCUUUUUUAAUUAAGAUUUGCUUAAAUUUAUAUAAAUUUAGGACAUAAAGAUUGCCUUUAAAGAGGGGAAAAAAAGGAAAGAAAGAAAAUACGGUGACCAAUAAACCGUUUAUGAAUAGUAUGUUUAUUUUAUGAAAAGGAAGCAAUUUAUUUUUAGCGAUUUCUUACAUAUAUAUCUUUUGAUGAAGCCAAACACAUGAAAGAAUAAUCUCAACACAAUUAAACAAGUGACAGUGGGCAUGCCUAAAAAAGGAGCUAACAUAACACUUAUUAGUUCUGAUGGUUGCAAAUUUGCAACAUCCGAUAAGGAGUAGCCUCCUUUAAACUUAAGUCUAGAGUUCGAGCCUUGCUAAAAAGAUGGAGUAUAUCUUUUUCCAGUGACGAUUUCUUAACCCAUGAUUUUCUUUUUCACUGAAAUAUCUUCUGAUGACCAAAAACGCAAAGAAGAAAUAGCUCUAAGCCAAUUAAACAAGUAAUAAUGGCAAGGCCUAAAGAAGGUGCUGACAUUGCAUAUGUGCCCAUAACGAAUGCAAUCACCAUUGCUCCCAUGGAAAUGAUGGCGAACCAAAUGGAAGCAGCGAACAAAUCAUCAUCGAAUUUUUUGAUUACUUCAAGCUCAAGAGAUACUAUAAAGUGAAUAAAGAAGGCAGAAAGAGAAAGGAUCAUGGCAAUGGUAUCUGUUACCAUAAAUGCCUGAAAAGCUGUAUUUCCCCUCAGGAUUGCAGCGCCAUUUUCGCUUUUUUAACCACCAGUAAUAAUGAAAGAUGUUGCGAAGGCCUGUUGCUACGAGUGCAGCCACUACCAGAUGUGACGCUCUAGUAUCCUUGAAAUCAUCUUUAGGAUAAAUAGGCUCUUGCAAUACAUGUGGUUCUCUUAUGGAUACGAGUAUUGUCCUGUGCCAAAAUCUUUGGAUAAUUUUUGAAUUUCUUCCCGCAAUUUACAUUUGAAUAUUAAUUAAUAAAUUAAUAUACAAUUUGAAACCAAAUAAUAAUGUUUGGGGGAAAAACAGAAAAAGUAGCAGAACACCACGUGUCGAUGAACAGAAUAACUCCGGUAUAAUCUGAGGUACCCGGCAUAAUUCGAGGUACCCCACUUAAUUCGAGGUACCUCUCAUAACUCGAGAGUAACUCAAGGUACCCCGCUUAAUUCGAGAGUAACUCAAGGUACCCUGCAUAAUUCGAGGUACCCCACAUAACUCGAGAGUAACUCGAGUUACCCGGAAUAACUCCAGCAUAAUUCGAGGUACUCGGAAUAACUCCAACAUAAUUCGAGGUACCCGGAAUAACUUGAGGUACCAUGCAUAACUCCAGAGUAACUCGAGGUACCCUGCAUAAAUCGGGGUACCCCGAAUAACUCGAGGUACCCAACAGAUCAGAUGCAGAAGAACCCUCUGAAAAAGUCCGCCAUAAGAAAUGUUUCCACAUAAUUCGAGGUACCCGGAAUAACUCGAGGUACCAUGCAUAACUCCAGAGUAACUCGAGGUACCCCGCAUAAAUCGGGGUACCCCAUAUAACUCGAGGUACCCAACAGAUCAUAUGCAGAAAAACUCUCUGAAAAAGUUUGCCACAAGAAAUGUAUUCACCUCUUAAAGGAUAAUGUUUGAUUUUGUCAGAAUUAGAUAUCAAAAUGUCAUACUGAAAAGUAGCGACAGCCGCCUGCUACCUCUGCCAAAAGUGAAGGACAAUGUCCCAAGGACAGUGGUCCUCAGCCGCCUACCAGACAACCACUGCAGAGGUACCCUAGACCACUCUCCAGCGCGCGCCACGUUUCCAAAGGAUAAGAUACGCCGCGAAUGCCUUCUUGAUUCCCAAACAUGCACAUAACAGCCCAAAAAUGAUAAAAAUGUAAAAAGACGUGAAAGACCUGAAAAUGGAUAGCCCAUAGCCAAAAAGAAUAUGCCACGUGGCAACUGAGGUACUCCAUAAAUAAACGUGUCUAGGUUUUAUUCUCCAUAAAGUUCUCAUUCACUCACACUCCACAAAAUAAGUUUUCUUCAACCUUAAACCUUGAUUUAUAGAGGGCUGGCAAGCUCUCUUUACUAUUAAAAAGCUUGAGUUUUCUAACUUGAGCGUCGGAGUGUGAACGCCGGGAGUACCCCGGCUUCACCUCAAAUCUCUAUUUCACUGUUUUGCAUUGGUGAAGCUCGUUUCGAAGACCAUUUUUCUUGGUUUAAACCUUUCAUCAUUGUUACCUUCAGAAGCACUACACACAAAAGCUUGAGUUUGCUAACUUUUGAAUUCAGAAGCAUCACACACAACAAACUAGCGAGGUACCUCGUUUCCCUUAAAAAUAUAAAUUCAUUGUUCUAGAUAGAUUUGCCUUUUCCUACCCCCAAAAUCUGUCGAAAACAAAUAAUAAUAAUAAUAAUAAUAAUAAUAAUAAUUGCCUUGAACUUAGGAUAACAAUAGUCCAACAUUUUGCAACGCUAACAUUUUGCUUGUUGAUGGCCUCAUAGUGGCCUUUACUCUUCCAGAUAAAUCGUCAAAGAUUUCUUUUCGAUGAACAGCAGCAAAAAAAUGGACAGUAGUGUUCCCCUUGGCAUCCCCCUCAUCCAUAAGACUACUUGCUAACAUAUUAUCUACAAGAUUUCUUAAUUCUUCAACUUCAAACCUAAACCCAGCAUAAUGAAGAAAAUUUCAUCCCCAGUUAUCGACCAGUUCAUAACAUUCUGGAUUUCUAGAAAUAAUUGCUUCAACUACUCUGGCAUCCCUUCGGCCCGUGUACCAAAUGAAGAGCUGUCAUCUUUCGAUCUUUGUCAGCAAUCUUUGCUGCAGUUCGAUCAAUCUUUAAUAUUAGCUUAAGUAUCAAGUAAUUUCGAUGAUACGCAGCGUAAUGAAUUGGAGUCCACCAACACUGGUCUAUUCCUUUGAUCAUACUCUUCUUUCCUUCAAAUAACUGUUGAACCGCACAAUCAUUCUCUUUUGAGAGUAUUAAGACAAAAGAUGAAUAAAAUUAUAGCUCAAAUUAAAUUUUUAACAUCCAACCUCAAAUUUAAACUCCAGUGUCCAACUAGAUAUAAUUCCCCUGUGCCAACAGCAAACUUAAUUAAAACAACACUCCAAGAUUACUAGAAACAGAAUGAGCAAAGUUCUUGUAGAAAAAAGAUAUCAAUAUUGAAAUUCCUACUGAAAGGGUAUGAUUAAACUUACAUAAAUCAAUGUGCAUUGUUGCAGCAUGUAAAGCCUGUCUUUCCAUUGGGGCCUUCAUAUAUAUAUGGGACACGGAUGUGCAGCUUUUCAAAAUGGCAACCACCGUAUGAGAAGAGUGCUCAUACUCGGCAGCCAUGCAAAGUGGUAUUUUGUUGUACUUAUUUGCAUAAUAUGGAUAAUUAGGGUCGUCUCACGUCAAUAUUUUCACCACAUCGUCAUUUUAAUGAAAUACUGCCUCGUGAAGAGUUGUAUGCUUCUCUUUAUUCGUCAUCCUAAUCAUCUGCCUGGAGGCUCCUACCCCACUUUCGAGCUCUUCAUCUUCGUGUUGAACUAAUUUUGCUCUUUCAAUAAGAACACUCACUAUAUCACAAUGGUCGAAUUUUGCCGCAACGUGACGUGAUCGAGUAUCGCCUUUGGCAGUAACUUGCAGUAGCAGCCAUGGGCAUAUCUAAACUAUUUCUCCUACAAACCUGGUUGACACAUUUUCUGUCUUCUGCAAUUUGAUGUUGAUAUGCAGGAUUGUGUUCUUGAUCUUGCUGUUAACAGGCUCUCAAUUACCUCUCUUGCCAUAUCUUUGAAGGGCUCCAAAUUGCCCGCAGCUGCAACUUUGAACAAAUUUGGGUCUAUUUGUGGCUGACUGGUCUCACCAUUGUUGUCCAAUAAUGAAGCUUCCUCAAUCUCAAUGGAAACAGAAUUCAUGUCGGCGAAGUUGAUCUAUUAGGCAAGGGUGAAUAGUAUCUCGGAUGCACACAACACUUAAUUUUGAAGUGAAGAAAAAGAGAAGCCAUAAUUCUAUAAAUAGGACAAGUAGUAUAAUUUUGCUUUGGACCUUUUUUUUUUUUCUUCCUUUUGAAGAUAGGGGAUUUACAACCACUCCUUUGGAAAUUUCUGAUGAACAAAAGAUCAAUAGACUAACAAUCGAGUGAUAUUUUAUUAAUAAUAAUUAUAUUUAUGAUUUUAACAAAUUGAUCAUUUAAAAUAUGAUAAAGAAUACAAAAUUGUAUAAAGGUUUUUUUUUUUAAAUCUCAUUAAUUGAUCAAUUUACUAAGUUCAUCUAUUAGUCAAAAUUAGAAUGAUAAAAAAUCAUUAUAUAAUAAAGAUUCUUAAUUUAUCUGUUAUUGUUUAUAGCAGUUGUAGUACAUAUAUUAAUUAAAAUUUAUUAUGACUGUAAUUUUCAAUAUUUCAAAAAUCCCCCUCUCUAUUUCUUUUCUUUUAUUGUGCGUUUUGGUUAUUUUUUAGGGAGAUAGGCCCCUGAUGCAACUUACAGUUACAGUUGACAUGCCUAGUAACGAGAGAAUCUUGCUCACAAUCAGUAGAGACUAGAGAGUCUAUGGUCAAAAUUCUUUUUUUUUUUAAAGAGUAAUUUGAUUUUUCAACCACUUUCCUUUUUUGUGGUCAACUAGUCAUAACUCACAAGGCUGACAGUCACUAAAUUUAGGGUGCAUUUGGGAUUGAGGUUGGACAACUAUAGCUACAGCAGUAAAGUGUUUGGUAAACACUAGCUGUUGUAACUUGAAAGAUAUGUUAAUAUGAUUUUUCACUUAUAUAAUGGAGAAUCUAUUAUAUCUUUAAUAAUUUUGUCAAAAUUAUUAUUUAAAUUUAUAUGUACUACAUAUUAUUAAUUUUUGUUUCAUAAUUACAACUUUUUUUCACAGCAGUUGUAGCUUAAAAGUUACAAUAUCUCAAUCCAAACACACCCCAAAGUGGCUUCUUCACAACCGGCAACUAUCCACUUACCAUUGGUUGAAUGCGGGAGUGGAGUCGUGUCUUUUGAAAGUUAAAAUAAAGUUAGAAGGAAACAAAUUCUCAAUGUGGGUUCUUAGAUCAAUUUUAGGACAACCACAUGAUUUUGCUGAUGGAAUGAAUGUCAUUAACGUGCUUAUUGUUGGGAUUUAGAAAAAAAAUAAUCUGUUUAUUUUUGGGAUUUAAAAAAAAUGAGGAAUGAGCAUUAUUAAUAAUAUUUAAUUGCUAAAAAUACAAAGAAAUAUAAAUAAAUUUUGAUUGAGUCUCAUAAAUUUAGGAAUGAGAAAGAAUUUCAUUUAAUUAGAUGGAAGAGGCAGGAAUAAGAAUGGAGAAAUGAGAAUAAAGAGUAAAAAUCGUUUAUCUUUAUUAAAAAUUAAAACUUUCUUUUUACUCCAUUUUGGUAACUUACAAUCAUCUAUUCUAAUUUUAAAAACAAAGUAAACACAUCAAGUUUGGAAUAUUGUUGAUUUCGAUCUCAUUCUUGUAGUUGAAGUAGACAAUUUAUUCUUCUACAUUUUGAUUCCAAUUCAUUAUAAUUCUUGUCGAUUAGUAUUCAUUGUUAAUAAACACACUAUUAGUAUAUUUUCAAAGAGACUAUAUUUUUUAGUUUCAUUCUAAUUCAUCUCAAAUCUCUCUCAUAUUGAAUACUUUGUGGAAAUUUAUUAAAGAUAUUUCAAAAAGAAUUUAUCGACAAAUCUAGCUGCCAUCUAUAUAAAUAUAUUAGUUUUUUUUUCUAAUUAGUGCUUCUUAAAAAGAAUCUAGCUCAGCCAACCCAAAUCAAUUUUUUUCUCCCUCAGCCUCUCAUAGGAUUUGAAUUCGGGUAAUUAAUAAAAUAAAAUUAUUUAAAAAUCACUCGCCUAAGUCUUUGAGGUAGUUUAAUCUUAGAUAAACAUUAAGGACUUAGUUAUCAAUUAUCCUAUUAAAAUUAGUAUGUUUGAGCAUAUGGCUAAGGUAAGCCAAAUCAAGUACAGUUGACGUUAUAUGUGAUAGAUUAAAUGGUUUAUAGAAGUGAGUCCUCUGCGAUAUAUAUCAUACAACCUAAUGCAUUUGAAUUUGUGAAUAUUGAAUUUGAAAGUAUAUAUUUGGUAGUCUAUUUUAGAGUAAUUAAUUUUAAUUAAAAAUAACUGUUGUAGUAUUAUCUCAAAACGUCACCUAAAUUGUAAAUUUAAUUGAUAAAAUCUCACGACUAAGGUCAAGAGGUUUAGAGACUUUACCUAAAAGUAUAAUGGUAAGUAUUGGCAUUUUGCCUUUGCCCGCUUUAUCAUGGUCAAAAAUCGCCUUUUGGGCCAUGGAGUGGCUCAUGUGCUUGUUUUGCACAAUCUUUAGGAAUCCAAAGUCGAUUUUGUUUUUGGUUCACAUAUAUUUCCAUGGAAUUCAGCAGAGAGCAGAUAAUUAAGCUAAUUCGGAGUUGGGAUUCCUUUCUGUUCAGUGGUGGGACCAAAAAGGGAGGGAGAAUGGGCUGAGCUUGGACAAGCCCAGGCUCAAGUCUGAGCUCAUAAAAGCCCUUCCACGUUUGGAGGGGCUGAACAGAACCUGGCCCAUCAUGUGCCUGAGCUUCCAAAGUCUCAACCAUUUCAUUUAUUAGUUUUCGAUGGUUGUUGCAAUAAUUCCUUCAAAGUAACGUCCCCCCCUUUUGGUCUUUCUCGGUCUUAAUUCAACUCAUUUGGUGAUACAGGAUUUGACUUUAAAAUGAUAUGUCAUUAUCUCUAUUGAAUGGUAAAAUUUUUAUUUACUUAUACAAGUAAUCAUGUUCUUAGCUCAUUAGUACAACUUUUGAAUCCCAAUUAUUAUUGGACUCGAUUUCUCUUCCAAUUAAGUUGGAUAGGAGUAGAUUUCUCCUCCAUUAAUAUGAGUAGAGCAAAUAUCACUAUGGUACUUUGUGAUAAUAGAAAUUCAAACUGUGUCAUACUAGACUUAUCAAGAAUAGUUUUGAUAAAUUUUUUAUUGUAAAUAUUACUAAAAUUCUGAUGGCAAUAUGUUAACCUAUUAAAAAAAACCAAAAAAAUAAAAAGUAAAAAAUACUAUACCACCCUUAAACAUGCAUCAUGGAUUUUCUUUACUCAUGUCUAAUUGAAGAUUUAUCAUGACGCACUAUAUAAAGAGAUAAUUUUUUUCAUUUUUUUUUUUGUUGACAAAGUAAUCAAGGUUUUAUUCCAUCAAUAUAAGAAAGUACGAACAAUUUAAAAUAUUAAAUUUGAUUUUGAUUCCUCUCACCAGUUCAAUCUAAUCAUUGACAACAAAAUAGACCGGUCUGCAUCUCAAAUUUGAUUUUUAUUAAAACAUCAGUGAUUAAUGUACAAUUAAAAUAAUUAUUGAUUAUUAGCAAAGAUUGAGUAAAUUAAUUAAUGUUUAUGUUAAAUGAAAAUAAAUCAUUUUAUUGAUAAACAAUGAUAGUGACUUACUACAAUCCCAUGAUCCAAAUCACAAGCAAGAAGAAGCUCAAGCCAAUUAAACAAGUGAUAAUAGCAAGGCCUAAAGAAGGUACUAACAUUGCAUACGUUCCCGUAACGAAUGCAAUCACCAUUGCUCCCAUAGAAAAUAAGGUGAGCCAAAGGGAAGCACCAAACAGAGCCCCAUCGAAAUCUUUAGUUGCUUCAAUUUUAAGAGACAUCAAGAAGUGAGUAAAGACGGCAGAAAGAGAAAAGACCAUAGCAAUGGAAUCUGCUACUAUAAAUGCUUGAAAAGCUUUAUUUCUCCUCAGGAUUGCAGUUCCAUUUUCGCUUCUAUAACCGCCAGGAAUGGUGAAAGCUGCUGCGAAGGCUACCGUUGCUAUGAGUGCAGCCACUACCAAAUGUGAUUCUCUUGUAUCCUUGUAAUCAUCUUUGGUAUCAUCAUUUUGCCNNNNNNNNNNNNNNNNNNNNNNNNNNNNNNNNNNNNNNNNNNNNNNNNNNNNNNNNNNNNNNNNNNNNNNNNNNNNNNNNNNNNNNNNNNNNNNNNNNNNNNNNNNNNNNNNNNNNNNNNNNNNNNNNNNNNNNNNNNNNNNNNNNNNNNNNNNNNNNNNNNNNNNNNNNNNNNNNNNNNNNNNNNNNNNNNNNNNNNNNNNNNNNNNNNNNNNNNNNNNNNNNNNNNNNNNNNNNNNNNNNNNNNNNNNNNNNNNNNNNNNNNNNNNNNNNNNNNNNNNNNNNNNNNNNNNNNNNNNNNNNNNNNNNNNNNNNNNNNNNNNNNNNNNNNNNNNNNNNNNNNNNNNNNNNNNNNNNNNNNNNNNNNNNNNNNNNNNNNNNNNNNNNNNNNNNNNNNNNNNNNNNNNNNNNNNNNNNNNNNNNNNNNNNNNNNNNNNNNNNNNNNNNNNNNNNNNNNNNNNNNNNNNNNNNNNNNNNNNNNNNNNNNNNNNNNNNNNNNNNNNNNNNNNNNNNNNNNNNNNNNNNNNNNNNNNNNNNNNNNNNNNNNNNNNNNNNNNNNNNNNNNNNNNNNNNNNNNNNNNNNNNNNNNNNNNNNNNNNNNNNNNNNNNNNNNNNNNNNNNNNNNNNNNNNNNNNNNNNNNNNNNNNNNNNNNNNNNNNNNNNNNNNNNNNNNNNNNNNNNNNNNNNNNNNNNNNNNNNNNNNNNNNNNNNNNNNNNNNNNNNNNNNNNNNNNNNNNNNNNNNNNNNNNNNNNNNNNNNNNNNNNNNNNNNNNNNNNNNNNNNNNNNNNNNNNNNNNNNNNNAGAGUAGUUUAUUGUCUUAUGUUAAUAAGAGAAGAUAAAAGGGUUAGGUUAGAAGCCAUAAAAGUGAGUUAAUAUGAAAAAAAUAAAAAUUGAUGGGAUAUUCUCCCAUAAUCUAUUAAUGUAAGUUAUUAGGAAAAAACUAUUUAUUCCGACUUUAACCCCGAAUCCGCGUCCCGAAUAUUGCCAGAAACGGUGUGUUUGCUUUGCUUUUCCUUUUAAUUCCAGUUGUACGGUGCGUUUUGCUCUGGUUGCUUUCCUUUUAAUUCCAGCUGUGCAGCAUGUGAGCAUUCUCUUUGUCCUUCUUUUUGCGCCUGAACUACAACACUCCGCUCAGAACUUCCAAUCUGCAGACUACAAACUGCAAAACCCCAGAGCUUCCAAACUGCAAAAUGCCAUGGUCGUUUAAAAUGUGCAGACCUAACUACUCAAUUACGCAUGGUCUUUCCUCCCCCCGAGAAAGAGAAAUGUUAACUGCUGAAAAUUUGGAACAACAAUUUCUAGAGUUUCAAUUUCCCCCGCAAGCAUUAGUUUUGAUCUUAUUCUUCCUACAUUUAGUGAUUGUUUUUAAAAUCGUGAGCAGUUUGAUUUUAAAUUUAUAAAUCUUGAGCUAUUUCAUUUUAAUUUGUGAGCUAAAUCAUGAGCAUUUGUAAAUUUAUAUAUCAACAUCAAUUAGCUUUAAAUUUUCACAGGUAUAAAAUUGUAAAUUCUUUAGCUCAUUGCUAGAAGAAAUCUUAAUCUUUCAGGCAAACAACAGAAACUUAACAAGAGAUCCUCAAGAAAGUGUAAGUUCGAGAUAAGGUGAUAAAACUCUUCAUCAAUAAACUAUAUCGAAUUCAGCUUCACUUUUAAAAUGUGCAGACUUAACUACUCAAUUAGGCAUGGUCUUUCCUCCCCCCGGAAAGAGAAUUGUUAAUUGCUGAAAACUUAGAACAAUAAUUUCUAGAGUUUCAAUUUCCUCAACAAAUAAUCUAAUUCAUAUAACCUUGAGUUUGACAGCCCUUGAGACACACAAAUGCUUCAAGUCCCAACAAUCAUAACAAAACAAAUCUUCAAGCAAGGAGCAUUCACCAGUAAGCCAUCAGACCAUCUGAUCAUUUACACACAGUAUACACAGUAUUUUCACUUAUGACUUCAAAACCUAAAUCUUUUACCAUCUUCUCAAUGGCCAAUCCCAAUCCAUUCACCAGUCAUACGAGCUGAUACUUUAACAUCUAGAAGAGUCAGGAAUACUCUCAAUUUCGGCAAAAAAACCUUACGCUUGCAGAACUGAAGCAGGGAAUCGUCUACAUAUUCCAUAAAUUUUUCAUCUUCCUUUAUUGACCAACAAUUUCCACCAUUCAACCCACUUGACCCCCAACGAAGUAAUUCAUUUUGAAAUCCACAAUAAGAAUGGCAUAUGUAACUAAUUCCAUCUCUUUGUGAGUGUCGGCUAUCGCGUGACUGUUGGUGAUGGCAACGGAGAUCUCGAUCACGUGGCGGUGGUCCGUCGUCUGUGCCGGAUGAGUGUGUAUGAAAACAAAAACAAAAUCAGAAAUCCAAAUUGCCUAACUAAUUUGGUAGAUGGAUGUUUUCUGACCGAGUCUCCGUUUGUUCCCAUAAUGGCGGUGAGAAUCCGAUCGAGUCUCGAUGACAGCUCAUUGCUACGACUCGUGACUGUGUCCCUUGAGUCUUUAUUUGAAAAUCCAAAUGCCGACGACGACGGCUGCCUCCACGAACGGUUCUGAAAUCACACCGUGCGUUGAUGACGUGGCGGUGGCGAUUAACAACAGGAACUUCAACUCGGAGGAGAGGUUCAACGACUGUGAUUUUUUGCUGAAGCGGUCGUAUUUGUUCGGAUUCGAGCGGAGUCUUGCGUCGGAGAGGAUGGUGACGGAGGCGGUAACGGCGUCGCCAUGGAGGCACAAGAGGGGGAGUUUCUGGAGCAAACGGCUGUCUCUGUUUGGCUCAUUGACGAAGUCUAGAGCCUUCUGGAGCAAAGGAUUAUAUACGUCCUUUUUGUUUUCCUUUUACUGAGAUUGUAGCUAAAGCCGGUUACCCAUUUUCUAAGUGUUAAACCUCAGCCGUUGAUUACCUUUCUUUACGAUCUAAAGGGUCAUUUGCAAAAGGACAAAUGACUGGGGUACCAAACCUCUGACGCAAUGUAGCUGGACCCUAUUAAAAGAGAUAAAGAAAAAGUCAAUUGAUAAAACGGCAGUAAACACUACAUUGGAGUAUGUGUUUCUUCCUGUCUUUCACUUUAGUCAAGCUUUCUCAUUGGAAAGUUAUUCUAUAUUUCUAUGUCUAUUUGGCGAACCGGCAGCACUUCAUUCUAGACACAUAGAAGCAGGUGUCCUGUACCACCAACCCUGUGGCCAUCAGGAACACUGGAGUAGCAGUAGAGGAUAUUCGACAUUUCCCAGCCCCAGUCCUUCUUCCUAGAGACAAGCAUAUGCGGCCAGCAGCGGUUUAUUCUAACAUAGUGCUCCCUAAUCUUUCCUUCACCAACAACACUGGUAACUAUAGAGUAACAGCAUUCAUGCCCACCCCAUACCUUGUCACCAGGAUCUGCAGUUUGACUCCCAUCUUCAUGAAAGUAACGGUGCAUUAGAGGGCUAGUACCCUUCCAGUAGGGAUCGAGAUUAAGCCAAUACUCUGGUACCACCUGAAGGCAAAAUGGCAUUCAAAGGCAUUCAUCCGAUCAAUUGAUCAUUUCAGUUUCCAACAAAAUAGUAGAAAGCUGCACAGUAAAGUAAAGGACACACAACAAAUGCCUUGGAUGCAUGCUAAGAAAUGUUUGAAUAUAGGAUUACCAGGAUUAUCAUUUACUUGUGACCAGUCCAGGGAAUAGUUACAUGAGUGAGUGCCUGAAUUAUGAGCAAUGCCUUACAAAUAGGCAGAUUAUAAUUCAUGAGUUUCGUUCCUCAUGGUCCGAAAUUUCAUUACCAAGGCUACACAUGAUCAAACUUUUAAAGCGUCAAAACAUUAAUGUUUUAUAUGUUCACAUUUCAAACUCAUGCAAGUUCUAGUAAUUUUGGCAGCACAUCAAGGCCAGACUGAAAUCAAGAGGCGAGUCACCACUCACCAGACCUUACCAAUAAUUCAUAACGUAUAAGAAGCACUGUACUAAAUUACAUACCUCGUUAAAAUGAAACUCCCAAACAUGAUCACAAAGGUCUUCUUUCAUGAUACGAGUCUAAGAAAAUUUAAAAAAAAGAAUAGUUGGUGAUAGCUUGCUCAAACAUGCAUAUGGAGAGUGAGUGAUUCAAAAGAGAGACAGGAGAACAAAGGGAGAUUGAUCAGCACUCACGCGUUUUCCAUCCGUGACAGACAAUGAAUAUGCGGCCAGCUUUCAUAACCCCUGGACUACAGCUGAACGAGGUAUGUGCGCUUCCCCCAACCACAGUUCCUCGCACUAAAAUAGACAGGAAACUCAAGUGAAUUAUCUUUACUCAGUUACUCUUCAAAGUAGAAGCAUGACCCAUUAAGUUACCUGGAGAACUGAAAAAAAUAAAAAUAAAAAUAAAAGGUAGAUAUUCUCUUCCGGGUAGGUUUCAAAUCAAGCAGAGAAAAUAACUGAAGUUAAGUUAAAAAUAUAUUUAUCUUCACAAAUCAUGCAAUCAGAACGAAUAAGCAACUUAGGCCAUAAGGCAGUAAAAACGUGCAUUGGCAUUCACAGUUCAGUUUGGUUUUAUAUAAAAAUAUACCCCAAUCCUUUAAAUAAACCAAUAAUUUACCCAAGGUCUAGUUUCAAUCAUAAGAAAGAGCUUCCUAGGGCCCAGGAUUUUGAAAAAUAAAAUAUACCAACAAUAUACCUCAACUAAGUUACUUUACAUAGAUAUAUCCUUAAGGGGUGAACAAAGACAAAUAGAUACUAGACAAAAAAUAUUCAGCUUAAAUCAAGAAUACUCAGACGAAUUCAAGUUGGUCAAGAAAGCCAAGUCGAGUAGUAAAUUGAGUCAAAAAUAAGUUGAGUAUUCAUAUAAUGCUCCUGGCGGACAAGAAAUCCUGUAAGCUGGAUUUAGAUCCAGUACUGAGCUUGGCUGUGCUCAUCUCUUCAUAAUCAUCUACCACACAUGCAUGGAUAGCAAUUUUAGGUGAAGAUUUAAUUAAUUUUAUAUUCUUAUUGUUGAGAAGUCAAUAUUAGCCCAAAUAAGUCCACACCUAAAUUAAUUUGAUGUCAUUGCUUACAUCAAUUUAGUUAGGUGAAAAUUAGGUAUUUUUCCCAUGUUUAAUUUCAAUGGUUUAAAUUAGUUUGUGGUUAUUUUAAUGAGUGGUUUAGAUUGUUUCUUGUAAUCUAUAAAUACCUCAUUUGUAUUUGAGUUUUAUAAUUCAACAAUCAAAGCUUUAUUAUAAGCAUUUGAAAGUUUUCUUUAGAGUUCUUCUCUUUUGCAAUUUUGUGAGAUUAUUCUAAAGAGAGUUUUUCUUCUUCUUGAUCAAUUAGAGUUUUUACUCUAUUUUGAUUCAACACUUAUCUUUCUAAAAGAUUAACAAAAAUCUCAGCUCAGCGCUGAAUAAAAAUUCCUGUAAACUAGGAACAUAAAACUCAAUAAUGACAUGGAAAGCUUAUAUUCAAAUUCAAUUGUAUUCAUGAUAUGAUUAUUUCAAACAACCAACCAAAAAUACUUAAAACAAAAACCCAAUUGUGAAACUAAAAAAACCCAACUCUCAUAUUCUCCGAAGAAUGCACUAAAUUAAUUAAUUAAAUUUUUUAAAAAAGAAACAAACCUAAAUUCAGGUACGAGGCAAAAAGAUUGGGGAAAAAAAAGAAAGAAUAGGAAAGGAAAUGAACCUUGGGAGUCCAAAGCGUGUCGCUUGAAGCGACGCCGUUCCAAGCACGGGAUACAAGGAGAGUCAGUGCUACGCUGUGUGCUUUUAGGUUUUGAAGUAUCAUCAACAUUAUGUCUCUACCAAAAGCCUCCAGUGGGUCCUGCAAUAAUUCUUCAGUUUCUUCUUCUUCGAGUUUUUCUUUUCUUUCCUCUCGCUUUCUCUCCUUUAUCAGUUUCAUCUUCGUCUUCUUCUUCUUCGGUAAAACGACAUCGUUUUCCUGUUCUUCUCUUUCUCGCAGUUCCAUUCUGUGUGGUAGUAGACAGAGCAAGCGAAUCACCCGAAGCCGCGAAAACGAGGUAAUUGCAAUAAAUACGCUCCAAAUAACAUGAAAAUAUAAAAAUAUGUUAAAGCUAAAAUGCCCAUAUUUAAUUUUAAAAAAAAUUAUUUAUUGUAUGUAGAAAAAUACUGUUCGACAAAUUUACUAUUUUUUAAAUAUAAUAAAUUUUACGUGGCUCAAACUCAUUCUCUCGUAGAUAUUAUUGAACUACAGGCCUGUAGGUUAAAAAACUAGUACUUUUUGACUUAUUAUUUUACUCGAUUUUAUCGAUUAUCACUUGAUUUAUUAUUCAACUUUGUUAGUUUAUAAUGGUCCGAUAAUGCAUUCUUGCCACGCCGAGCUCCAAAACAAAAUCAUCCUUCAAUUCAAGGAUGAAAAUCGGGCGUUUGGGCUCUGACUCAAAUAUGUGGCAAGAUGCUGAGUGAUUGCUUGGAAAAACAGCAAGUCGAUGACUUUGUUGUUUAUAGAGUCUGAAACGUAGCAAAUGGGGAGCAUCCACGCGUUGCAGGAGAGAGGAAAAGUUAGCUGAUACAAGAUCAAUUUGUACUGAGCUGUUACAUACAGUCUGUAACGUAGCUUGUCUGCUCCAAAUAACAUCAAAAUAUUAAAAAGUACGUUAAUACUAUAAUGCCCCUAUUUAAUUUUUAUAAAAAACUGUUUACAAUAACCAAAAAAUAUACUAUCUGAAAUUUGAAAAAUUCUAUGAUACUAUGAUUAAAAUUACGGCAUUAUUAUCAUGAUAAAUAUAAGUUUUGUAAAUUACAUAUAAAAUUAUUAAAUAAAAGAUAAAAUUAGUAUAUUAAUAUAUGAGUGGUAAAUUAGUGUUUUCAAAUUACAAACAAAACAAACACUUAUAAAAUAACAUAAAACUUUGAAAUCAAUAUUAAUCUUUCAUUAAAUAAAAUUAGCUUAUUUAUUUAAUUUAAUUAAAUAAAGAACAAAGUGAGUCAUCAAUUAAAAAAAUUGUAUUGAAAGCAAUUAGAAUAAGUUUUAUUGAAUUGAUUUAACUAUAAAUUCUAUAUUCAUUCUAUGACAUUCAUUAUUUUUUUUUUCAUUUUUUAUCAUAGUAUUGUUUACUACAGAGGUUAAUUAAACAAAUUAUUUUUCUUGAAUGCAUUAAGUCAAAACAAAAUAAAAAGAUAUUAUGAUAUUACUAGAUAUAUAUAAUAUAUCAAUAAAAUUGUAUCUAAUUUUAUGUUUUAUAUAUAUUUUAUGUAAUUUUAAACUUUGCUUCUUACUUGUAUUUAAAGAUCAUUUGUGGUUGCUAUCAAGAAGAUUUAAAAUGAUGAAAAAUCACCUUAUCCUACGAGCAACUUUGAAAAAUAUGAAAAAGAAUAGUUUUUCAAAAUCCAAUUUUAAAAAUAAGUUUUAUCCUUAAUAAAAUUUCACUUAUAUCAUCAUAUGUAUUACAUAAACCCAAAACUAUCAUUAUUCCAUUUAGAAAAAAUAAAUCAAUAAAAAGUAAUCAUUAUUAUAAUGAGGUUGUAUAUUACAUUUUUAAAUUUUUUUAAUAAUUCUUAUUGGGGUUUGGAUAAAUCUCAUGGUUUGAAAAACCAGCCUUUAGGAAAAAUCUUUAAAAUUGCUUGAAAUGGAUCAGUAUGAUAAAAUCCGUCUUCUAUGGAUAAAAUAUUUUGGAAAUGGGUUUUAUUAAACCAAUCCGAAGUUUUCUUUGUAAGCUUUGUUUGUGAAAGAACAAUCUGAGAAGAUGAACUUUCACCAGAAAGAAUCACAUUUUGUGAAAAAGCUUUAGAAAUUUCUUUAGAAAUGGAAUUUUCUUCUUUAGGAGAAAUUUGACUUUGAGAAAAGCUUUGUAAGGCAAACAUAAGCUCAGGGGAUUUAGAAAUGGAUUUCAUGCAUUCAUUUACCUGCUCUUGGGAGCCAAGUGCUUUAGAUUGGGCUUCUUGAGCAGCUUGUUCUUCUAUUGUGUCAAUCCAAGACUUAAUUGGCAUAGCAGAAGAAAGUAAUUUUUCUUUAGGUGGAGAAGAUUGGGAGGCUUUAGAUGGUGUUUGGGACACGGGUCUGUAAGGAUCCCUUUCACUUUAUCUCUUCUUUUGGGCGGCAUUAUCUGUUUUGAAGAAAUUCCCUGGUUAGAAAAUCAGGGAGAGAAUUUGUAUCGCCUUUAAUAAACACAAUCUCAAAAUCAAAAAUAUUUAAAAUAGCUUGCCAACGUGCAAAAAUCUGUUUUGAUGUAAUGUUCUGUACAUCUUUUUCCAAAAUAUGUUUUGCAGCCUUGCAGUCAAUUUUAAGCAAAAAUUUUUUAUUUAAUAAAUCGCUUUGAAAUUUGGAAAUGCAUAGGACAAUUGAUAAAAUUUCUUUUUUAAUAGUAGAAUAGUUUUGCUGGCAUUCAUUCCAAUGUGCAUAAAUAUAUUGUACUAUUUGUUCUUUGUUACUGUCGACUUGCUUUAAUAUCCCACCAUAGCCUAAAUUGGAUGCAUCAGUUCAACAAUCUUAGGUAAUGCAGGAUUUGUAAGAAAUAAACAUGGAAUAUUUUUAACUGUGUUCUUUAUUUGUUUAACAAUUUUAGUAUGUUCUUCCGACCAUGCAACAAGGUUUUUCUUUGACCUAUCAUGCAGUGGCUUGACAAUCCUAUUGAUGUUAGGACAGAAAUCAAGAACAUAAUUUAGACUACCCAAAAAUCUCUGCAAUUGGGUUUUAUCAAGGAUUUUAUCAGGAAACUUGUCAGUAAAAGCAAGGGACCUUUCAAUGGGAGUAAUGGUUCCUUUUGAGAUGUAGUGACCAAGAAACCUGACUUUAGUUUGGAAUAAAGAAACUUUAGAACUAGAAAUGGCUAGGCCAGCUUUUCUAGUUGCCAAAUAAAAAGUCUUUAAAUGUUUGAAAUGUUGCUCAAUUGAUUGAGAAAAAAUCAGCACAUCAUCGAUAUAAACAAUGCAAAAUUCAAAAAAAGAAUUAUAAAUAUCAUUCAUAAUUCUUUGAAAUUCUGAGAGUGCAUUUUUCAAUAUUAUCAAUAAAAUUGUAUCUAAUUUUAUGUUUUAUAUAUAUUUUAUGUAAUUUUAAAAUUUGCUUCUUACUUGUAUUUAAAGAUCAUUUGUGGUUGUUAUCAAGAAUAUUUAAAAUGAUGAAAAAUCACCUUAUCCUACGAGCAACUGUCCAAAUGGAACAGUGAAAGCAUUUUUGUAACGAUCUUUAGGAUGAAUUUGGAUUUGCCAAAAAUCAGAUUUCAUAUCAAAUUUGGAAAAUAUGAAUGCAGAAUGUAGUUUUUGAAGCAAAUCUUUUUUAUUAGGUAUAGGAUACCUAAUCCAUUUUAAUGCUUUAUUAAGAGGUUUAUAAUUUAUCACCAAUCUAGGGGUUCCUUUUUCUAUUUCGGAAUUUUUAUUGACAUAGAAAGCGGCACAAGACCAAGGAGACCUAGAUUUGACAAUGAGUCCUUUAGAUUCUAAAUCUUUGAUUUCUUGUUGACAAUGUUUUUCUAGAUCCAUAUUCAUUUGAAUAGGAUGGGCUUUUAUAGGGAUUUGUCUUUCAUCAAAUCCUUCUGUAAACAAGCUAAAUCAGUUUGUUUUGUUUUGAGCAAAAUAUUUAUUUGGUUCUGGUAAAUAGAAUAGGCUUUAACAAUAUUCAAAUUCUUUGUUUUAAGUUUUUCAAUAAAAGGAAAAAUUAAUUUUUUCUUUUUUGCUUUAAAAGAUAUACUAUCGUAAUUGACAGUAUAGGGAGUAAUGAGGUUUAUGAAAGGAGUUCCUAGAAUAACAGCAUAAUGAAUAUCAUUUGUUAGAAGAAAGGAAGUCCUAAAUUCAAAACCAUCGUUAUGAAUUGAGGCAUCAACUUUGGAUUUGAUGUUCAACUUUGAAUUGUUUGCUGCAGAAAGCCUUUCAUUAGUCUUUUCAUGGAAUUUCUUUGGAACAAUAUCUGCUUUGAUACAGUUUAAAUCAGCACCAGUGUCAAAGAGAGCAAUGGUGUCAAUUUCGAAAUCUUUAGAAAAUUUUAAAGUGAUUUUAAUCAAAUAUUUUCUAGUGGUGAUUUAUUUUAAAACAAAAAGAAAAUCAUUAGGGAUUGAUUCGAUGUUUUCAAGUUGUUGUCCAUUUUCCUCACCAGAGUUUGAUUCUUGAUCAGAAUUGUCUUCGAGUUGUUUUUGUAACAAAAGCUGGAUAGUUUCUGAGUCAUUUUUCUAUUUUUCUUUUAAUUCUUUGAUUUCAAGUUUAAUUUACUUAAUUUCCUUUUAGAGAUCUUGGAUGUUUGGAGUGGCUUUCUUUGUUUUCUGUUUAUCCAAAAUUUCCGUAAGAUCAUAAGCAUUCUUUUUAAUGAUUGGAGUUUUAGAGGUUUCUGGUUUGUCUUUUAAUUCUAGAGUCUUUAAAAGUUUGUCAAGGUAUUCCUUUUGAAGGAUAGGGUCUGAAAUAUGUUUUACAAGUUCAAGAAAAGUUUCUUGUUCUUUGGUCAAAACAUUAAUCUUCUUUAAAAAGGUUUCUGAAUCAGAAUCACUUAAUACAGAUGUUUCUGAGUCAAUCAACUCAUCGACUUGUAAAGGAUCACUGUCUCCUGUCAAGGAGAAAUUUGAAUUAGAGUUAGAAGACUCAACAAGCAAAUGAGUUAUUUUGGAAAGGACGUCUUCAUCAAGAUUAAUCCAAAAACCUAAUGAUAUAGAGAAGAAUUUAGAUAGCAUUAUCCAACAGAAUAAUUUCUGCAAUGCUAAUCUAAAUACAAUCGAAAAAUAGUUGACCCGAAUAGAUAGUCAAUUCCAGAAGUCAAUCGUUAUUGUCCCUUCUACUACUCCAUCAAAGUCUGACUCCUUGAAAAAGCUUAAAGAACCUAUUUUCAAACCUUUUCAGGUUUCGAAACUUAGCCAAAAGCUUGUUCAAGAAUCCAAAUCAGAUUUUGCUAAAUCUAUUAAAGAGCAACUUGAUCGUAUAGAAGCAUCUUCUUUUGCUUCUACUUCUAAAGUCCAAAUUGCUCCUGAUAGUGCCCAAUCUAGCAAGAUUGGUGUACUAGAACAAGAUUAAUCUUCUAUAACCUCUUCUGACAUAGAAGCCUUCAAAGAUGAGUCUAUCCCUAAAGUUAAUAAAAUCCAUUGGGAACUUGCUCUCCCAACUAUAAGCUCUCCUCCAGAUCUUGCCAUCGAUAAUAGACCAAGUGCAUUAAACCAAUCUCGUUUCAAUGCAUCCUCUGUCUAUGAAUGGAAUAUUGAUGGUAUGUCUGAAUAUAAUGUCUUAGGAUUACUGCAACAGAUGACCAUGGCAGCCAAUACAUAUAAAACUCAACAAGGAACCUCUGACAAAGCCAUUGCAGAGAUUCUUAUUUCUGGUUUUACUGGUCAACUUAAAGGAUGGUGGGAUCAUCUUUUCACAAAACAGCAACAACUCGACAUUCUAAAUUCAAUCCAAACUGAAGAGGAUGGAACACCCAUCCUUGAUGAAAUCAAUAGCCCAAUUCAGGAUGUUGUUGCUACCCUGAUUCUUACCAUAUCUCUUCAUUUCAUAGGUGAUCAUUCUCUCCUAAGAGAUAAAAACGCUGAGUUACUAUAUAAUUUGAGAUGUAGGAAACUUAGUGAAUUCCAGAAUUAUAAAACCACUUUCUUUACUAGACUUUUCUUAAGGGAUGAUGCAAAUCAUAUAACUGGGAAGGAAAAAUUUCUUGCAUGUUUACCUACUCUCUUAGGAGAAAAGUCAGAAACUCCAUUAAAGCUCUUCAUGACAACCGCAUUUCUUAUGACGAACUCACCUAUGGUGAACUAGUCAGUUUUGUCAAUAAAGAAGGUUUAAAAAUCUGUCAAGAUUUGAAAUUACAGAAGCGUCUAAAAUGGGAGCUUAGGAAGUCUAAGCAAGAAUUAUGCAGUUUCUGUAAACAAUUCAAUUAUGACCCCUUUAAAACUUCCACUUCAAAAGACUGUCAUGGUAAGUGUUCCUCCAGACCUUACAAAAAACAUUACAAGUCUAAAACUCUUAGAAAGCCCUUACCAGAUUUUAGAGAACCUUUUUAUAAGAAGUCCUCGAGACCUUAUAAAAAGUCUCAUUUCUCUAAAAGAAAGGAUUUAAAACUAAACCCUCUUCCUUUUCUAAUCCAAAAACCUCUUUCAAUUAUAAAGAAGCUGCAUGUUUUAAAUGUGGCAAGAAAGGACACACUACAAAAUACUGCAGGAUAAAUAGGAGACUUCAAGAGAUUAAUCUUGAUGAAGAAGUCCUUUCCAAAAUAACUCCUUUGCUUGUUGAGUCUUCUAACUCUAAUUCAAAUUUCUCCUUGACAGGAGACAGUGAUCCUUUACAAGUCGAUGAGUUGAUUGACUCAGAAACAUCUGUAUCAAGUGAUUCUGAUUCAGAAACCUUUUUAAAGAAGAUUAAUGUUUUGACCAAAGAACAAGAAACUUUUCUUGAACUUGUAAAACAUACUUCAGACCCUAUCCUUCAAAAGGAAUACCUUGACAAACUUUUAAAGACUCUAGAAUUAAAAGACAAACCAGAAACCUCUAAAACUCCAAUCAUUAAAAAGAAUGCUUAUGAUCUUACGGAAAUUUUGGAUAAACAGAAAACAAAGAAAGCCACUCCAAACAUCCAAGAUCUCUAAAAGGAAAUUAAGUAAAUUAAACUUGAAAUCAAAGAAUUAAAAGACAAACAGAAAAAUAACUCAGAAACUAUCUAGCUUUUGUUACAAAAACAACUGGAAGACAAUUCUGAUCAAGAAUCAAACUCUGGUGAGGAAAAUGGACAACAACUUGAAAACAUCGAAUCAAUCCCCAAUGAUUUUCUUUUUGUUUUAAAACAAAUCACCACUAGAAAAUAUUUGAUUAAAAUCACUUUAAAAUUUUCUAAAGAUUUCGAAAUUGACACCAUUGCUCUCUUUGACACUGGUGCUGAUUUAAACUGUAUCAAAACAGAUAUUGUUCCAAAGAAAUUCCAUGAAAAGACUAAUGAAAGGCUUUCUGCAGCAAACAAUUCAAAGUUGAACAUCAAAUCCAAAGUUGAUGCCUCAAUUCAUAACGAUGGUUUUGAAUUUAGGACUUCCUUUCUUCUAACAAAUGAUAUUCAUUAUGCUGUUAUUCUAGGAACUCCUUUCAUAAACCUCAUUACUCCCUAUACUGUCAAUUACGAUAGUAUAUCUUUUAAAGCAAAAAAGAAAAAAUUAAUUUUUCCUUUUAUUGAAAAACCUAAAACUAGGAAUUUGAAUAUUGUUAAAGCCUGUUCUGUGUACCAGAACCAAAUAAAUGUUUUGCUCAAAACAAAACAAACUGAUUUAGCUUGUUUAUAGAAGGAUUUGAGUUUACACAGAAUUGAAAACCAAUUAAAGAAUGAGUUCAUACAAAGAAAAAUUUCUGAUUUCAAAAAUCUUAUUGAGAAAGAAAUAUGUGCUAAUUUACCAAGUGCUUUUUGGAACCGAAAACAACAUUUGGUUGAUUUGCCUUAUGAAAAUUCUUUUGAUGAAAGAAAAAUCCCUACAAAAGCCCGUCCUAUUCAAAUGAAUAUGGAUCUAGAAAAACAUUGUCAACAAGAAAUCAAAGAUUUAGAAUCUAAAGGACUCAUUGUCAAAUCUAGGUCUCCUUGGUCUUGUGCCGCUUUCUAUGUCAAUAAAAAUUCUGAAAUAGAAAGAGGAACCCUAAGAUUGGUGAUAAAUUAUAAACCUCUUAAUAAAGCAUUAAAAUGGAUUAGGUAUCUUAUACCUAAUAAAAAAGAUUUGCUUCAAAAACUAAAUUCUACAUUCAUAUUUUCCAAAUUUGAUAUGAAAUCUGGUUUUUGGCAAAUCCAAAUUCAUCCUAAAGAUCGUUACAAAACUGCUUUCACUGUUACAUUUGGACAAUACGAAUGGACAGUAAUGCCUUUUGGUUUGAAAAAUGCACCCUCCGAAUUUCAAAGAAUUAUGAAUGAUAUUUAUAAUCCUUUUUCUGAAUUUUGCAUUGUUUAUAUCGAUGAUGUGCUGAUUUUUUCUCAAUCAAUUGAGCAACAUUUCAAACAUUUAAAGACUUUUUAUUUGGCAACUAGAAAAGCUGGCCUAGCCAUUUCUAGUUCUAAAGUUUCUUUAUUCCAAACUAAAGUCAGGUUUCUUGGUCACUACAUCUCAAAAGGACCCAUUACUCCCAUUGAAAGGUCUAUUGCUUUUAUUGACAAGUUUCCUGAUAAAAUCCUUGAUGAAACUCAAUUGUAGAGUUUUUGAGUAGUCUAAAUUAUGUUCUUGAUUUCUAUCCUAACAUCAAUAGGAUUGCCAAGCCACUGCAUGAUAGGUUAAAGAAAAACCUUGUUGCAUGGUUAGAAGAACAUACUAAAAUUGUUAAACAAAUAAAGAACACAGUUAAAAACAUUCCAUGUUUAUUUCUUGCAAAUCCUGCAUUACCUAAGAUUGUUGAAACUGAUGCAUCCAAUUUAGGUUAUGGUGGGAUAUUAAAGCAAGUCGACAAUAACAAAGAACAAAUAGUACAAUAUAUUUCUGCACAUUGGAAUGAAUGCCAGCAAAACUAUUCUACUAUUAAAAAAGAUAUUUUAUCAAUUGUCCUAUGCAUUUCCAAAUUUCAAAGCGAUUUAUUAAAUCAAAAAUUUUUGCUUAGAAUUGACUGCAAGGCUGCAAAACAUGUUUUGGAAAAAGAUGGAUAGAACAUUGCAUCAAAACAGAUUUUUGCAUGUUAGCAAGCUAUUUUAAGUAUUUUUGAUUUUGAGAUUGUGUUUAUUAAAGGCGAUACAAAUUCUCUCCCUGAUUUUCUAACCAGGGAAUUUUUUCAAACCAGAUAAAGCCGCCCAAAAGAAGAGAGAAAGGGAAAAGGAUCCUCACAAACCCUGUGUCCCAAACACCAUCUAAAGCCUCCCAAUCUUCUCCACCUAAAGAAAAAUUACUUUCUUCUGCUAUGCCAAUUAAGUCUUGGAUUGACACAAUAGAAGAACAAGCUGCUCAAGAAGCCCAGUCUAAAGCACUUGCCUCCCAGGAGCAGGUAAAUGAUUGGAUGAAAUCCAUUUCUAAAUCCUCUGAGCUUAUACUUGCCUUACAAAGCUUUUCUCAAAGUCAGAUUUCUCCUAAAGAAGAAAAAUCCAUUUCUAAAGAAAUUUCUAAAGAUUCUUCACAAAAUGUGAUUCUUUCUGGUGAAAGUUCAUCUUCUCAAAUUGUUCUUUCACAAACAAAGCUUACAAAGAAAACUUCGGAUUGGUUUAAUAAAACUCAUUUCCAAAAUAUUUUAUCCAUGGAAAAUGAAUUUUAUCAUACUGAUCCAUUUCAAGUAAUUUUAAAGAUUUUCCCCAAAGGCUGGUUUUUCAAACCAUGGGAUUUAUCCAAACCCCAACCUUAUUAUCAAAGCAUUUUGGAAUUCACUGAAUCAGUAAAAUUCAAACAUUUCUUUCUCAGUGAGUCCCAUUCUGAGCCUGCCUAUUCUACGGCAACCAUUAUAAAAGUUUUGAGCCCAAAACAAUGGGGUGAUCUACUCCACAAAUCUAAAGCUUUUCCUCUAAAUUUUCAAAACAAUAUGAACCAUAGCCUAUCUUUCUCCUAUUGGGAUUACCAACAGGCUUGGUUUAAUACCUUUUUCAUACAAAACCCCAAAAAGACCCAUUCAUGGUUAUUUUUCUUCAAUUCUAAAAUAACUGUGCAAAGCCUACCAAAUUGGUUUCAACAGUGGUAGAAUUAUUUCGGGCCAUGCCCAGACAUUCUCACUUCAAAUGCCAUUCACUGUUUAAAUCUCUUCAAAGCCCAUUAUGUCCCUUCAGAAUUCGAGAAAAGGUUUCCUCCCUUUCUCUGUUUUUGUACAAAUUUCUUUCUUCCCUGGGUUUGGAUGUGGAACUUUCGAUAUCACACCCAAGAAGCCCAACUCAUCCUACAAAGAACUUUCAAAGUAAAAUGGUGGUCCAAAUUUGACGAACAGUCAAAAUUGACUGAAGCCAUCAUCCAAAAAUGGCUUUCCUCAAAAGGCCUUCUAACCCCAAGUAUUAAAGAAGUUAAAGCCCAAGGAACUUUCUUAACUAAAAAAUCUAAAGCCCAAUCUCUUUUGGCCAAUGCCAAAACAAAAGACGAGUAUUUUAAAGUCAUGCAACAGCUCCUCGCGUCCAGAUCAGAGCCUUAUGUCGCCAGCUCAUCUGAUCAUGACAGUGCCGAGCCUUUCAUUUCCCUUGGAGACGACAAUGAAGAUGACCGCUUCGGAAUCUUCCCUCCAAUAAAGCAUUAAAGCUUGUGAAAAAAAAAAGAAAAAAAAAGUCAUUUUGUUGUCAUUUCUCUGUAAUUUAUAAAUUUGUUCUAAUUACUCUGUAAUUUAUAUUUUGUAAAUUUGUUGUAAUCCUCUGUAAUUCUUAUUUACUCCUUGUAUUUUCUUUAAAGCCUUUAUUACCUCGUUCAAAAGUCAACAAAAGAAUCCUACCAGCAACUGAUCACCAUAUCUUUUGAAAACGUCUUUCGAGACACAAGUGUAGCCGCACAUGUGCCAUGUUUUCAAAAGGUAUAUCUAUUGCCCCUUAAAGCAUCCGCUCCUCGUGAUGACCUUUUGCAAAAGUCCAAGGACCCACUCACGUGAAGCAUCUUCAAAAGCAAUUUAUGCUGUCUCCGCAUGUAAAGCUAUAGAAAAAAGUGAGAGAAAAAGCCAUCCGCAUGUGAAGACCAAUUAUCGAUUUUCUUUUGUAAAGCAAUCUUGUAUAAAAGAGUGAAUGAAGACUAAGACUCAUCACUUUUUUCUUUUCCAUUCGAAGAAUUCUAUUAGCUCUCUCUCUCAAAAGGAAAAGAUGAACUGAAGACAUAGAGGAAAAAUUUCCUGUCUUCUGAUUUUCCUUUCUUCUUUUGUAAAACAUCUUCCCGUUUGUAAAGCCUUCGGAUCGAAAAAUCUCAUGUAAGCAUUCGAUAAUAUUUAUUUUAAAGAAUUUGUAAUUUAAUUUGUAGUUCAAUUUAAAGUUUCCAUUUUUAAAUUUUGUAUUUCAAAGCAUGCUCUGCAGGCUGAUCUUCUAUAUCAGAAUCCUACCAUAAAAACUGCUACGUUCUCCUCUAAGGCAUAGAGAGCGGAUCUUUGCCCUUAGUUGUAUUUGCUCUUCUCCCUCCAUUCAAUCAGAGUGCUAUUUCUGGGAUCCAUAUCUAGUACUAUCUAUGAGCCCCUGUAUGCUUGUUGGUAUAUCUAUAUUGAUCUGUUCUAAGUCAGAUCUGGUUCCAAAGGCAGAUUAAGUUCUGCAUUGAUCUGGUAGAACAACGCCACGUACCAACAGAUCUGUUUGUUUUUAAUUUGGAUUUAAUUUUAAACACGACACACACUCCACGAUCGCUGGGUCAUUCUUUUCUAAGUCAGAUCUGGUUACAAAGGCAGAUUAAGUUCUGCAUCGAUCUGGUAGAACAACGCCACGUACCAACAGAUCUGUUUGUUUUUAAUUUGGAUUUAAUUUUAAACACGACACACACUCCACGAUCGCUGGGUCAUUCUUUUCUAAGUCAGAUCUGGUUACAAAGGCAGAUUAAGUUCUGCAUCGAUCUGGUAGAACAACGCCACGUACCAACAGAUCUGUUUGUUUUUAAUUUGGAUUUAAUUUUAAACACGACACACACUCCACGAUCGCUGGGUCAUUCUUUUCUAAGUCAGAUCUGGUUACAAAGGCAGAUUAAGUUCUGCAUCGAUCUGGUAGAACAACGCCACGUACCAACAGAUCUGUUUGUUUUUAAUUUGGAUUUAAUUUUAAACACGACACACACUCCACGAUCGCUGGGUCAUUCUUUUCUAAGUCAGAUCUGGUUACAAAGGCAGAUUAAGUUCUGCAUCGAUCUGGUAGAACAACGCCACGUACCAACAGAUCUGUUUGUUUUUAAUUUGGAUUUAAUUUUAAACACGACACACACUCCACGAUCGCUGGGUCAUUCUUUUCUAAGUCAGAUCUGGUUACAAAGGCAGAUUAAGUUCUGCAUCGAUCUGGUAGAACAACGCCACGUACCAACAGAUCUGUUUGUUUUUAAUUUGGAUUUAAUUUUAAACACGACACACACUCCACGAUCGCUGGGUCAUUCUUUUCUAAGUCAGAUCUGGUUACAAAGGCAGAUUAAGUUCUGCAUCGAUCUGGUAGAACAACGCCACGUACCAACAGAUCUGUUUGUUUUUAAUUUGGAUUUAAUUUUAAACACGACACACACUCCACGAUCGCUGGGUCAUUCUUUUCUAAGUCAGAUCUGGUUACAAAGGCAGAUUAAGUUCUGCAUCGAUCUGGUAGAACAACGCCACGUACCAACAGAUCUGUUUGUUUUUAAUUUGGAUUUAAUUUUAAACACGACACACACUCCACGAUCGCUGGGUCAUUCUUUUCUAAGUCAGAUCUGGUUACAAAGGCAGAUUAAGUUCUGCAUCGAUCUGGUAGAACAACGCCACGUACCAACAGAUCUGUUUGUUUUUAAUUUGGAUUUAAUUUUAAACACGACACACACUCCACGAUCGCUGGGUCAUUCUUUUCUAAGUCAGAUCUGGUUACAAAGGCAGAUUAAGUUCUGCAUCGAUCUGGUAGAACAACGCCACGUACCAACAGAUCUGUUUGUUUUUAAUUUGGAUUUAAUUUUAAACACGACACACACUCCACGAUCGCUGGGUCAUUCUUUUCUAAGUCAGAUCUGGUUACAAAGGCAGAUUAAGUUCUGCAUCGAUCUGGUAGAACAACGCCACGUACCAACAGAUCUGUUUGUUUUUAAUUUGGAUUUAAUUUUAAACACGACACACACUCCACGAUCGCUGGGUCAUUCUUUUCUAAGUCAGAUCUGGUUACAAAGGCAGAUUAAGUUCUGCAUCGAUCUGGUAGAACAACGCCACGUACCAACAGAUCUGUUUUUGUUGACAAUAUUUUUCUAGAUCCAUAUUCAUUUGAAUAGGAUGGCUUUUGUAGGGAUUUGUCUUUCAUCAAAAGAAUUUUCAUAAGGCAGAUCAACCAAAUGUUUGAUCUGGUAGAACAACGCCACGUACCAACAGAUCUGUUUGUUUUUAAUUUGGAUUUAAUUUUAAACACGACACACACUCCACGAUCGCUGGGUCAUUCUUUUCUAAGUCAGAUCUGGUUACAAAGGCAGAUUAAGUUCUGCACCGGUUCCAAAAAUCACUUGGUAAAUCAGCACAUAUUUCUUUCUCAAUAAGAUUUUUGAAAUCGGAAAUUUUUCUUUGUAUGAACUCAUUCUUUAAUUGGUUUUCAAUUCUGUGUAAACUCAAAUCCUUCUGUAAACAAGCUAAAUCAGUUUGUUUUGUUUUGAGCAAAACAUUUAUUUGGUUCUGGUAAAUAGAACAGGCUUUAACAAUAUUCAAAUUCCUAGUUUUAGGUUUUUCAAUAAAAGGAAAAAUUAAUUUUUUCUUUUUUGCUUUAAAAGAUAUACUAUCAUAAUUGACAGUAUAAGGAGUAAUGAGGUUUAUGAAAGGCGUCCCUAGAAUAACAGCAUGCUGCUGUACCGUACAUCCGCCUUGGCCGUACAGCAGUCUUCUUUGAUACAGUUUAAAUCAGCACCAGUGUCAAAGAAAGCAAUGGUGUCAAUUUCGAAAUCUUUAGAAAAUUUUAAAGUGAUUUUAAUCAAAUAUUUUCUAGUGGUGAUUUAUUUUAAAACAAAAAGAAAAUCAUUAGGGAUUGAUUCGAUGUUUUCAAGUUGUUGUCCAUUUUCCUCACCAGAGUUUGAUUCUUGAUCAGAAUUGUCUUCGAGUUGUUUUUGUAACAAAAGCUGGAUAGUUUCUGAGUCAUUUUUCUAUUUUUCUUUUAAUUCUUUGAUUUCAAGUUUAAUUUACUUAAUUUCCUUUUAGAGAUCUUGGAUGUUUGGAGUGGCUUUCUUUGUUUUCUGUUUAUCCAAAAUUUCCGUAAGAUCAUAAGCAUUCUUUUUAAUGAUUGGAGUUUUAGAGGUUUCUGGUUUGUCUUUUAAUUCUAGAGUCUUUAAAAGUUUGUCAAGGUAUUCCUUUUGAAGGAUAGGGUCUGAAAUAUGUUUUACAAGUUCAAGAAAAGUUUCUUGUUCUUUGGUCAAAACAUUAAUCUUCUUUAAAAAGGUUUCUGAAUCAGAAUCACUUAAUACAGAUGUUUCUGAGUCAAUCAACUCAUCGACUUGUAAAGGAUCACUAUCUCCUAUCAAGGAGAAAUUUGAAUUAGAGUCAGAAGACUCAACAAGCAAAGGAGUUAUUUUGGAAAGGACUUCUUCAUCAAGAUUAAUCUCUUGAAGUCUCCUAUUUAUCCUGCAGUAUUUUACAGUGUGUCCUUUCUUGCCACAUUUAAAACAUGUAGCUUCUUUAUAAUUGAAAGAGGUUUUUGGAUUAGAAGAGGAAGAGGGUUUAGUUUUAAAAUCCUUUCUUUUAGAGAAAUGAGACUUUUUAUAAGGUCUCGAGGACUUCUUAUAAAAAGGUUAUCUAAAAUCUGAUAAGGGCUUUCUAAGAGUUUUAGACUUUAAAUGUUUUUUGUAAGGUCUGGAGGAACACUUACCAUUACAGUCUUUUGAAGUGGAAGACUAAACAUCAAAUCCAAAGUUGGUACAGAUCUGUUGGUACGCGGCGUUGUUCUACCAGAUCGAUGUAGAACUUAAUAUGCCUUUGGAACCAGAUCUGACUCAGAACAGAUCAAUAUCCCGCACGUUCUGGUUUCCAGCCUAUAUACCAACAAGCAUACAGGGGCUCAUGGAUAGUACUAGAUCUGGAUCCCAGAAAUAACACUCUGAUUGAAUGGAGGGAGAAGAGAAAUGGUGGUCCAAAUUCCCAAUUGUAAGGAAGAUCUGGUUCUAAGUCAGAUCUGGUUCCAAAGGCAGAUUAAGUUCUGCAUCGAUCUAGUAGAACAACGCCAUGUACCAACAGAUCUAUACCAACUUUGGAUUUGAUGUUUAGUCUUCCACUUCAAAAGACUGUAAUGGUAAGUGUUCCUCCAGACCUUACAAAAAACAUUUAAAGUCUAAAACUCUUAGAAAGCCCUUAUCAGAUUUUAGAUAACCUUUUUAUAAGAAGUCCUCGAGACCUUAUAAAAAGUCUCAUUUCUCUAAAAGAAAGGAUUUUAAAACUAAACCCUCUUCCUCUUCUAAUCCAAAAACCUCUUUCAAUUAUAAAGAAGCUACAUGUUUUAAAUGUGGCAAGAAAGGACACACUGUAAAAUACUGCAGGAUAAAUAGGAGACUUCAAGAGAUUAAUCUUGAUGAAGAAGUCCUUUCCAAAAUAACUCCUUUGCUUGUUGAGUCUUCUGACUCUAAUUCAAAUUUACAAAAUAUAAAUUACAGAGAAAUUAGAACAAAUUUAUAAAUUGCAGAGAAAUUACAACAAAAUGACUCUUUUUUUUCUUUUUUUUUCAUAAGCUUUAAUGCUUUAUUGGAGGGAAGAUUCCGAAGCAGUCAUCUUCGUUGUCGUCUCCAAGGGAAAUGAAAGGCUCGGCACUGUCAUGAUCAGAUGAGCUGGCGACAGAAGGCUCUGAUCUGGACACGAGGAGCUGUUGCAUGACUUUAAAAUACUCGUCUUCUGUUUUGGCAUUGGCCAAAAGAGAUUGGGCUUUGGAUUUUUGAGUUAAGAAAGUUCCUUGGGCUUUAACUUCUUUAAUACUUGGGGUUAGAAGGCCUUUUGAGGAAAGCCAUUUUUGGACGAUGGCUUCAGUCAAUUUUGACUAUUCGUCAAAUUUGGACCACCAUUUUACUUUGAAAGUUCUUUGUAGGAUGAGUUGGGCUUCUUGGGUGUGAUAUCAAAAGUUCCACAUCCAAACCCAGGGAAGAAAUAAAUUUGUACAAAAAUAGAGAAACAGAGGAAACCUUUUCUCGGAUUCUGAAGGGACAUGAUGGGCUUUGAAGAGAUUUAAACAGUGAAUGGCAUUUGAAGUGAGAAUGUCUGGGCAUGGCUCGAAAUAAUUCCACCACUGUUGAAAUCAGUUUGGUAGGCUUUGCACAGUUAUUUUAGAAUUGAAGAAAAAUAACCAUGAAUGGGUCUUUUUGGGGUUUUGUAUGAAAAAGGUAUUAAACCAAGCCUGUUGGUAAUCCCAAUAGGAGAAAGAUAGGCUAUGGUUCAUAUUGUUUUGAAAAUUUAGAGGAAAAGCUUUAGAUUUGUGGAGUAGAUCACCCCAUUGUUUUGGGCUCAAAACUUUUAUAAUGGUUGCCGUAGAAUAGGCAGGCUCAGAAUGGGACUCACUAAGGAAGAAAUGUUUGAAUUUUAGUGAUUCAGUGAAUUCCAAAAUGCUUUGAUAAUAAGGCUGGGAUUUGGAUAAAUCCCAUGGUAUGAAAAACCAACCUUUGGGGAAAAUCUUUAAAAUUGCUUGAAAUGGAUCAGUAUGAUAAAAUUAGUCUUCCAUGGAUAAAAUAUUUUAGAAAUGGGUUUUAUUAAACUAAUCCGAAGUUUUCUUUGUAAGCUUUGUUUGUGAAAGAACAAUCUGAGAAGAUGAACUUUCACCAGAAAGAAUCACAUUUUGUGAAGAAGCUUUAGAAAUUUCUUUAGAAAUGGAUUUUUCUUCUUUAGGAGAAAUCUGACUUUGAGAAAAGCUUUGUAAGGCAAGCAUAAGCUCAGGGGAUUUAGAAAUGGAUUUCAUCCAUUCAUUUAUCUGCUCCUGGGAGGCAAGUGCUUUAGACUGGGCUUCUUGAGCAGCUUGUUCUUCUAUUGUGUCAAUCCAAGACUUAAUGGGCAUAGCAGAAGAAAGCAAUUUUCCUUUAGGUGGAGAAGAUUGGGAGGCUUUAGAUGGUGUUUGGGACACAGGGUUUGUGAGGAUCCUUUUCCCUUUCUCUCUUCUUUUGGGCGGCUUUAUCUGGUUUGAAAAAAUUCCCUGGUUAGAAAAUCAGGGAGAGAAUUUGUAUCGCCUUUAAUAAACACAAUCUCAAAAUCAAAAAUACUUAAAAUAGCUUGCUAACAUGCAAAAAUCUGUUUUGAUGCAAUGUUCUAUCCAUCUUUUUCCAAAACAUGUUUUGCAGCCUUGCAGUCAAUUCUAAGCAAAAAUUUUUGAUUUAAUAAAUCGCUUUGAAAUUUGGAAAUGCAUAGGACAAUUGAUAAAAUAUCUUUUUUAAUAGUAGAAUAGUUUUGCUGGCAUUCAUUCCAAUGUGCAGAAAUAUAUUGUACUAUUUGUUCUUUGUUAUUGUCGACUUGCUUUAAUAUCCCACCAUAACCUAAAUUGGAUGCAUCAGUUUCAACAAUCUUAGGUAAUGCAGGAUUUGCAAGAAAUAAACAUGGAAUGUUUUUAACUGUGUUCUUUAUUUGUUUAACAAUUUUAGUAUGUUCUUCCGACCAUGCAACAUGAUUUUUCUUUAACCUAUCAUGCAGUGGCUUGGCAAUCCUAUUGAUGUUAGGACAGAAAUCAAGAACAUAAUUUAGACUACCCAAAAAUCUCUGCAAUUGGGUUUUAUCAAGGAUUUUAUCAGGAAACUUGUCAGUAAAAGCAAGGGACCUUUCAAUGGGAGUAAUGGUUCCUUUUGAGAUGUAGUGACCAAGAAACCUGACUUUAGUUUGGAAUAAAGAAACUUUAGAACUAGAAAUGGCUAGGCCAGCUUUUCUAGUUGCCAAAUAAAAAGUCUUUAAAUGUUUGAAAUGUUGCUCAAUUGAUUGAGAAAAAAUCAGCACAUCAUCGAUAUAAACAAUGCAAAAUUCAAAAAAAGAAUUAUAAAUAUCAUUCAUAAUUCUUUGAAAUUCUGAGAGUGCAUUUUUCAAUAUUAUCAAUAAAAUUGUAUCUAAUUUUAUGUUUUAUAUAUAUUUUAUGUAAUUUUAAAAUUUGCUUCUUACUUGUAUUUAAAGAUCAUUUGUGGUUGUUAUCAAGAAUAUUUAAAAUGAUGAAAAAUCACCUUAUCCUACGAGCAACUUUGAAAAAUAUGAAAAGAAGAGUUUUUCAAAAUCCGAUUUUAAAAUUAAGUUUUAUCCUUAAUAAAAUUUCGACAUAUAUCAUCAUAUAUAUUACAUAAACCCAAAACUAUCAUUAUUCAGUUUAAAAAAAAAUAAAUCAACAAAUGUAUAAGGUAAUCAUUAUUAAAAUGAGGUUUGAUCUUACAUUUUUUAGUUUUUAUUUUUUUCAAUAAUUCUUAUAUUAAUUUACAUGUUUACCUUCUAUUUACAGGUCCUAUAUUUUAUUUAUAUAUUUUAUUUUUAUUUUACACUUAAUAUUGAUUCAUAAGUUUUAUAUUAUAUUUGUAAGCACUAUUGAAUUAUAAGCCUACAAACCAAAAUUCGAUUUAUUAUUCAACUUUGUUAUGAAAAUUGACAAUAAAGUGGAGAAUAUUUUUACCUUUUGAGUAUAAUUAUGUAAAAUGACUUAGUGGUAUAAUUCAAUAUAUCCAUAGAUCUGUGGAUUUUUUGUUCCACGGAUAUGGCGACUGUUCCCACCACCCUCUGUGGUGGCUUGUGUUCAUUUGGCUUUGUUUGUGUUGCUGUGUUGGUUGUCUUUCAGAUUUUAUGUCUACAAGGAUCAGAUUUGGCAAAUAAGAGACCGUAAAUGAUUUUCUAUCGUUGAUCUGUUACAUUGCUGGUUGUUUUUUGAACCUAAAUUUAAUGUAUUUAAUUAGUCUUAUGGAAGCAAAUUUAUAAUUUAACUAGCAAGAAUAAAAUUUUCCUGGCGACGUUUGAAUUGAUCGUGUACGACAUUAAAAGACUGUAUCAUUACAUGAUUCUUUAGUAUACUGAUACUAUUCACAACACAUUAGAAUAAGAAAUCAAUGAUUGUUUAUCUGUUGACUGCAAUGGGUUAUCUGUACAUUAAUCCAAAUAUUUGUGUAAUUGUUCGUGAUAGACUCACUAUUAUAUUCUUAUACGUUGAAUGAAUUAAAAGUGAAGAUAUAUAUAUAUAUAUAACACUAGCAACUCACAUUUUAACAAUGAAAGGUUCUUGUUCUGUUGGUGUAAUUGGAUGGAUGGUUUUGCUUCAAUGUUCUCUGUCUCACUCUUUCAUUUAUAGUUUUACCAACUAAUUAAGAGGAAACAAAAUAAACCUUUUAGAUUCCUAGAUUAUGGGAAAAACCUCUUAAGAUAAGUCUUAUAGGUUUUAGGAGACAUGCUACCUAGAAUAAACUCUUAGGUUCUUAAGAUCCCAUGAUCAUAGGACAAUUUAUCUAGAAAAAAACCUCUUAGGACAAAUUUCCUAAAGAUAAACCUCCUUAGACAAACUUCUAGGUUGAAAACCUAUGAUAAAAACAUCUCUUCCUUUGAAAACUAAGCAUAAUGAUACCAUAUCCUCUACCAAACAAAAAGGAUGGAGAAACUUCCUCUUUUGAUAUGAGGACAAAGUUGUAUGUCCAAGUGUUACAUGGCAUGGUCGCAAGAAGACAAGUGUUGCCUGGUGUUAUAAAGACAAUGACAUUUGUCGUCAAUACAAUAAGGACUCAAGUCAAAUCAAAGUCAUUUACAAAUAUAAGUUCCCAUCUUUUUUCAAAGAUAAGCCAAAAAUCACUCAAGAGGAUAAAUAGUGACUCUCUCUAUCUAGGCAUAAUAUCUCCAAAUUUUCUCACUCUAAACUUUUCUCUCUAAAAAUUUGGUGAUCGACUUGAUCAUCAAAGGGUUUACGCUGGUGAGGCAAGCCUUUGACUAUUUUACUUAUAUUUAUAGAGCAUUAUCUAAUUAAGGUCAUCCUCGUCACAUAAGGAAGCAGGUAACUCUUAAGAGAAAAUUUAAAUGAGUACAAUUGAAUUUGAAAAUGAAAGGCACAACAUAAGAAGCCCACAUUGAGAGUUCAACAUAGUUUGAUCCAGUAAAGAGGAAGCUCAUGAAAUUGCCAUUUUAUAAAUUGGGACAAAAUUUUUAUCAACAAAAUUGGCGUUGUCUACGAGAACUCCCGACUAAAAGUCUUGGAACUGUGAGCAUGGAUUUGAGCUACGAGUAUCAUGACCCUGUGUUUGAAUCUUUGAGUUCUAGGGUUAAGGAAGCCUAUUUUCAACGAAGAAGACCACUGAUGGAUUCAUCAUUUGAAGCCAUGGUACUCGUUCAUCCUUUUCCUAAUCCACAUCAUGAUGCCUAACGACAAGGGCAAGCUUGAUCCAAAGUAAAGUGGAUUCAUUAGCUUCGAACUUUGAUAGAAUUUUUUAUUAGUUCCAAGCUCAAGUUGAGGAAAGGGAGAACUCAAGAAAUCCUAGUGACGAUGAAGUUUAUUCUGGCUCCUCUAGAGAGGUAUAGGGACUGCUUGGAAGAAAGUGACCUUAGACAAAAAGAUCUUGGGGAAGAGUGGCUAGAGAAGACUUUCUCUCUCUAGGCUUUAUUUCUCUAAAUUUUCACACUAUGAACUUUAGAUUUUUAAAAAUUCAAUGAUUAACUUGAUCGCUAGAGUGUCUACGUCCUUAAAGCUGGCCCUUUGACUGUUUUUCUUAUGUUUGUAGGGCAUUAUCUUAUCAAGAUCAUUUUCAUCACUAAAUAAGUGGACAUCUCUUUGAAGAAAUUUCAACUGAGCAAAAUUAAACUUGAAAAUGAAAGGCACAACAUGAGAAGUCCACAUCGGGAGUUCAUCCAAUAAAAAGGAAGCUCAAGCAAGUUUUAAGAGGCCAUCCUAGGUUGAAAUCAUAAUCUGAUAAUUUGGGAUAAAAUUUAUACUAAUAAACAUAAUUUUUUUUGAAUUAGCUAGUGACAAGUUGAAAUUUUUUUUAAUUUUAAUUUUAAGUUGGUGUAUACUAAAGAAAUCUUAAAACAAAAAAAUGAAAUAUUAUCAAUAUGGCUUUAGCCUAAGAAUAUUUAAAAAAUUCUACUAUCCUCGAUUCCCAUCCAAGAAAACGAAGAAUCCACGGAAUGCAUUUAACAAUGAAAUUUUUAUAUUUAAUUUCUUCCAAAAUUGCAAAUUUAUUCAUUACUAACUCUCUUUUUUAAUUAAGAUUUGCUUAAAUUCAUAUAAAUUUCAAGACAUAAAGCUGCUGUACCGUACAUCCGCCUUGGCCGUACAGCAGUUUUAAGUUUUUCAAUAAAAGGAAAAAUUAAUUUUUUCUUUUUUGCUUUAAAAGAUAUACUAUCGUAAUUGACAGUAUAGGGAGUAAUGAGGUUUAUGAAAGGCGUUCCUAGAAUAACAGCAUGAUGAAUAUCAUUUGUUAGAAGAAAGGAAGUCCUAAAUUCAAAACCAUCGUUAUGAAUUGAGGCAUCAACUUUGGAUUUGAUGUUCAACUUUGAAUUGUUUGCUGCAGAAAGCCUUUCAUUAGUCUUUUCAUGGAAUUUCUUUGGAACAAUAUCUGUUUUGAUACAGUUUAAAUCAGCACCAGUGUCAAAGAGAGCAAUGGUGUCAAUUUCGAAAUCUUUAGAAAAUUUUAAAGUGAUUUUAAUCAAAUAUUUUCUAGUGGUGAUUUGUUUUAAAUAUCUUUAUUUUAUGAAAAAAAAAACAAUUUUCUUUUUAGAAAGACCAGCUCAGCCUGAACAACAACACCCAUCAAAAACCUCAACGGUGAUGAACAAUAGCUUGACAAUAGAAUUCUUUGUUAUUUAAAAAAAAAAGUUACAAUCAUAACCUUGUGGCUGCAGCCGGAAAACCAAAUAGUUGCUUCCUACAACGAAGAAUUUGUUAUCGGACCAACAAAUACGAACUCAGAGAAAAAUCCUCAAGGCGGGUGCAAAGCAUUGUCCUAAAUGGUAAUUUUCACUAUACUACAACAUCGGACGCUGUCAUAUAUUUGUAAUCAUAUUUAGGAUCGUCAAGAUAGUCUUUUGACCAGGAAGGGUUAGAUUAUGAAUUUAUUGUAUUUAUCUGUGUGAACGUAACCAAAAAAAAAAACAAUUCAAAAGACAUUGCAACAUCAAGAAACUUGCUCAAAAGAAAGUUGGUAAAAAGACAAAUUACUAUUUUAAUAUUGAAUUUUAAAGGGUCCAAACCAGAAUAACUUAACUAUAAAUAUAUUUAAGUUAUUUUAAUAAAGAUUGAUUUAAGGACACGAAAGAAAAAGAUUUAAAAAUAAAAAUACCAUAAAAUUUAAGGGAUAUUGAAUUAUUUUUUGGGCUAACCCGGUCGAGCCACUACCCCACGUGCCACUGCAUUUGGAUCUGGUCCUAGCAAUUUAGCACUGUCGUCAUGAAUAUAGCACCAUCUUGAUAUUGUCCUCUGCCAACAUCUUUGGAAAAUUCUUCCUCCUGUAAAUUGAGUGUGAAUAUGAAUUAACAGUAAUGCUACACAUCCCAAAUUUUUUAUCUUAAAAAGUUAUCCCAAAUGAUGUGUCAUUAAUUGAGUGGUUGAUAAUUCUUUAUAAAAUUCAAGUGAAUUAAUUGUAUUAUUUCACCAACCAAUUGAUAAAUGACACAUCAUUUGGGAUAACUUAUUGGGAUAAAAAAUUUGGGAUGUGUAGCAUCACUCAUGAAUUAAUUGCAUAAACUAAAAAAAUUAAUAAUAAUAAAGUAAUGAAAAAGAAAGCUGGAUUUAUAAGUUGAAAGAAUUAACAAAUUAAUUACCUUGAGCUCAGGAUAGGAUAGCCAUAUUUCAAAAUGUGUCUAACACUAACAUUUUGCCUAUUGACAGUGUGAUAGUUAGUUCGAGUCUUCCUAAUCAUAUAGAGUUCUCCUUGGCAUCCCCCUCAUUUAUAAGACUCCUCGCUAACGGAUAUUUUAGUUGAGUUUUUAAAUCAUUAAAAAAAAAAUGACUAUUCCAUAAUGAAAAAAGUUCCAUCCCCUGUUAUCGACCAGUUCAUAACAUUCUGGUGUAAGGGAAAGAAUUCUUUCAACUGUUCUGGCAUGCCCUCGGCCCUUUGCCGAAUGAAGAGCUGUCAUCUUUCGAUCUUUGUUCAGUAAUGUUUGAAGCAGUUUGAUCAAUUUCUAAUAGCACAUGUAUCUGUUGAUAUUGAUUAUGAUAUGCAGCGUAAUGAAUUGGAGUCUACCCAUAAUGGUCUGUUUCUUUGAUCAGACUCUUCCUUUUUUCAAAUAAUUGUUGCAUCGCAUGAUAAUUCAUUUCUGAGUGUAAAGAGCCAAAAGAUAAAUAAAAUUAUAAUUCAAAUUCAAUGUUUAUCCACCACCAGUCUCUCAGGAUUUAAAUUUGGUGACCAACUAAAUAUAAUUACUUGAGAAUCAUUCUGUCAGACCCGUGGGCAUGAAAGAGCAUGAACAAAACCUGCAGGAAAAGAUCUAAAUAUUCAAAUUCGCACUGAAAGGGUAUAAUCAAACUUACGGAAAUCCAACUGCAUUACUGCAUCACGUAAAACUGUCCUUCCGUAGGGGCCUUCAUGGGACAUUGAUGUGCAGUUUUCUAAUAAGGCUAGCAUCUUAUGAGAAAAGUGCUCAUACUCAGCAGCCAUGUGGAGCGGCGUUUUGCCGCAAUUAUUUACAGAAUAUGGAUAUUCAGGUAUUUAUCUCGUCAGUAUUUUCAACACAUCCACUUUGCCAUGAAACGCUGCCUCGUGCAGACUGCAAUGCAGUAUUCUUCUUUUCAUUCGUCAUCCUAAUCAUCUGCCUGGCAGCUCCUAACCCGCUCUCUAGCUCUUCAUCUUCAUGUUGAGCUAAUUUUUCUCUUUUAAUAAGAACAUUCGCUAUAUUAAAAUGGCCGAAUUUUGCCGCAACGGGAAGUGGAGUAUCACCUUCGCCAUUAACUUGUGUUUGUAGUGAUGGGCAUAUCUCAAGUAUUUCCCCUACGAACUUGAUUGACGCAUUUUCUGUUCAUUGGCAUAUGAUGUUGCUAUGCAGGAUCGUGUUCCUGGCCGGUACUGUUAAUAAGCUCUCAAAUAUUUCUCUUGCCAUAUCUUUGUAGGAUUCAGCAUUGCCAUCAGCUGGAAACUCAAGUAAAUUAUCCGUACUCAGUUACUCUUCAAAGUAGAAGCAUGACCGAUUAAGUUACCUGGAGAACUGAAAAUAAAAAAUAAAAAAAGGUAGAUAUUCUUUCCGGUUAGGUUUCAAAUAAAGCAGAGAAAAUAAUUGAAGUUAAGUUAAAAAAAAAACUGAGAUUGUAGCUAAAGCCGGUUACCCAUUUUCUAAGUGUUAAACCUCAGCCGUUGAUUACCUUUCUUUACGAUCUAAAGGGUCAUUUGCAAAAGGACAAAUGACUGGGGUACCAAACCUCUGACGCAAUGUAGCUGGACCCUAUUAAAAGAGAUAAAGAAAAAGUCAAUUGAUAAAACGGCAGUAAACACUACAUUGGAGUAUGUGUUUCUUCCUGUCUUUCACUUUAGUCAAGCUUUCUCAUUGGAAAGUUAUUCUAUAUCUAUUUGGCGAACCCGGCAGCACUUCAUUCUAGACACAUAGAAGCAGGGGUCCUGUACCACCAACCCUGUGGCCAUCAGGAACACUGGAGUAGCAGUAGAGGAUAUUCGACAUUUCCCAGCCCCAGUCCUUCUUCCUAGAGACAAGCAUAUGCGGCCAGCAGCGGUUUAUUCUAACAUAGUGCUCCCUAAUCUUUCCUUCACCAACAACACUGGUAACUAUAGAGUAACAGCAUUCAUGCCCACCCCAUACCUUGUCACCAGGAUCUGCAGUUUGACUCCCAUCUUCAUGAAAGUAACGGUGCAUUAGAGGGCUAGUACCCUUCCAGUAGGGAUCGAGAUUAAGCCAAUACUCUGGUACCACCUGAAGGCAAAAUGGCAUUCAAAGGCAGUCAUCCGAUCAAUUGAUCAUUUCAGUUUCCAACAAAAUAGUAGAAAGCUGCAGAGUAAAGGAAAGGACACACAACAAAUGCCUUGGAUGCUUGGAUGCAUGCUAAGAAAUGUUUGAAUAUAGGAUUACCAGGAUUAUCAUUUACUUGUGACCAGUCCAGGGAAUAGUUACAUUAGUGAGUGCCUGAAUUAUGAGCAAUGCCUUACAAAUAGGCAGAUUAUAAUUCAUGAGUUUCGUUCCUCAUGGACCGAAAUUUCAUUACCAAGGCUACACAUGAUCAAACUUUUAAAGCGUCAAAACAUUAAUGUUUUAUAUGUUCACAUUUCAAACUCAUGCAAGUUCUAGUAAUUUUGGCACCACGUCAAGGCCAGACUGAAAUCAAGAGGCGAGUCACCACUCACCAGACCUUACUAAUAAUUAAUAACGUAUGAGAAGCACUGCAAUAAAAUUACAUACCUUGUUAAAAUGAAACUCCCAAACAUGAUCACAAAGGUCUUCUUUCAUGAUACGAGUCUAAGAAAAUUAAAAAAAAAAAGAACAGAAUAGUUGGUGAUAGAUUGCUCAAACGUGCAUAUGGAAAGCGAGUGAUUCAAAAGAGAGACAGGAGAACAAAGGGAGAUUGAUCAGCACUCACGCGUUUGCCAUCCGUGACAGACUACGAAUAUGCGGCCAGCUUUGGUAACCCCUGGACUACAGCUGAACGAGGUAUGUGCGCUUUCCCCAACCACAGUUCCUCGCACUAAAAUAGACAAGAAACUCAAGUAAAUUAUCCUUACUCAGUUACUCUUCAAAGUAGAAGCAUGACCCAUUAUGUUACCUGGAGAACUGAAAAAAAAAAAAAAAGGAAGAUAUUCUCUUCCGGUUAGGUUUCAAAUAAAGCAGAGAAAAUAAUUGAAGUUAAAAAAAAAAAAAUUCUUCACAUCAUGCAAUCAGAACGAAUAAGCAACUUAGGCCAUAAGGCAGUAAAAACGGCAUUCACAAUUCAGUUUGGUUUUAUAUAAAAAUAUACCCCAAUCCUUUAAAUAAACCAAUAAUUUACCCAAGGUCUAGUUUCAAUGAUAAGAAAGGGCUUCCUAGGGCCCAGGAUUUUGAAAAAUAAAAUAUACCAACAAUAUACCUCAACUAAGUUACUUUACAUAGAUACACCCUUAAGGGGUGAACAAAGACAAAUAGAUACUAGACAAGAAAUAUUCAGCUUAAAUCAAGAAUACUCAGACGAAUUCAAGUUGGUCAAGAAAGCCAAGUCGAGUAGUAAAUUGAGUCAAACAAUAAGUCGAGUAUUCAUAUAAUGCUCCUGGCGGACAAGAAAUCCUGUAAGCUGGAUUUAGAUCCAGUACUGAGCUUAGCUGUGCUCAUCUCUUCGUAAACAUCUACCACACAUGCAUGGAUAACAAUUUAAGAUGAAUAUUUAAUUAAUUUUAUAUUCUUAUCUUUCUAAAAGAUUAACAAAAACCUCAGCUCAGCGCUGAAUACAAAUUCCUGUAAACUAGGAACAUAAAACUCGAUGAUCACAUGAAAAGCUUAAAUUCAAAUUCAAUUGUAUUCAUGAUAUGAUUAUUUCAAACAACCAAAAAUACUUAAAACAAAAACCCAAUUGUGAAACUAAAAAAACCCAAUUCUCAUGUUCUCCGAAGAAAGCACUAAAUUAAUUAAUUAAUUUUAAAAAAGGAAACAAACCUAAAUUCAGGUACCAGGCAAAAAGAUUGGGGAAGAAAAAAGAAUAGGAAAGGAAAUGAACCUUGGGAGUCCAAAGCGUGUCGCUUGAAGCAACGCCGUUCCAAGCACGGGAUACAAGGAGAGUCGGUGCUACGCUGCGUGCCUUUAGGUUUUGAAGUAUCUUCAACAUUAUGUCUCCACCAAAAGCCUCCAGUGGAUCCUGCAAUAAUUCUUCAGUUUCUUCUUCUUUGAGUUGUUCUUUUCUUUCCUCUCGAUUUCUCUUCUUUCUCAGUUUCAUCUUCGUCUUCUUCUUCUUCGGUAAAACGACAUCGUUUUCCUGUUCUUCUAUUUCUCGCAGUUCCAUUCUGCAUGGUAGUAGCUAUUACUACAGAGCAAGCGAAUGAAAGGAAUCACCCGAAGCCGCAAUUGCAAUAACUCCAAAAAACAUCAAAAUAUAAAAAUAAGUUAAUGCUAAAAUGCCCAUAUUUAAUUUUUAAAAAAAAUUAUUUACUGUAUGUAGAAAUAUACAAUCGACAAAUUUACUAUUUUUUAAAUAUAAUAAAUUUUACGUGGCUCAAACUCAUUCUCUUGUAGAUAUUAUUGAACUACAAGCCUAUAAGUUAAAAUGCUAAUACUUUUGAAUUAUUAUUUUACUCGAUUUUUUUAUAUCACUUGAUUUAUUAUUCAACUUUGUUAUUAAGAUUGGGGUCCAACUAUCUUACUACAGUCGUAACAUACCACAUUCUUUUGUCUUUUCCUAAUCCACCGUUAGAUUUUAUUCAGAACAAGGGUAAUGGCUAAGAUGUUUUUGUUGGGUUAUUAACGUUAUACUCCCCAAUGUUUGCUACAAAAUUACAAAAGUAAUAAAGUUUAAAAUAUUAACACAUAAGUCCAUAAAUUUACAAUUUAUUAUUCAAUAAUAUUAAAAUAUUUUAAUUAUAUUAUAAUUUUAAUUAAAUAAUGUAUUACUUAAUUAUAUUAUAACAUUUAAUAAGUAAAAAUUAUGGCCAUGUAAGAACACAGACCUGCCCAUAACAAGAAGUGCCAAAGAGCCUUCGAUCCGCAUCCAAACCCGGACCAGAUGCAUGAAACUAUCUUCAAGGUUGGUUGCACUUUUCACUAUGUGAUAGAUGAGAACUCCAAUUGGGGUCAUUAUGUCAUUUGCGACAUAACCCCUCAAGCUUACUACAUCACAUGGUACUGGCUCAACAUAUACCCCGUGGCAAUACUGUUCGAACCAAACCUGAUCCAUACCAGCCGAAGAUACGGUAAAGGAAGAUGGUUCGAUCGAAUGUUCGCCCCCAUCUUUGAAGAUGUCCUCACACUAAAGCUCAUCAACGGUUAUCACAUCACCCACUCUACAAUAGUGAUCGUGAAACUCACAGAUAUUUGGGGACGGUACAAAGAGCCUUUCAUACAGGUAGUCCAACAUGACCACUCCCAUGAAGAAAUCGAUUCCAUGUGGACUGGUUGCUGGAACGCUAGGCAGGCCUUAGCAGAGGUAUACAAAGUAAAGGAGUGAGUUGUAAAGUAGAUUCCUUUGUGAUAAGGUUUAGUGUGAGUGUGAUAUAAAGUAAAGGAGUGAGUUGUAAAGUAGAUUCCUUUGUGAUAAGGUUUAGUGUGAGUGUGAUAUAAAGUAAAGGAGUGAGUUGUAAAGUAGAUUCCUUUGUGAUAAGGUUUAGUGUGAGUGUGAUAUAAAGUAAAGGAGUGAGUUGUAAAGUAGAUUCCUUUGUGAUAAGGUUUAGUGUGAGUGUGAUAUAAAGUAAAGGAGUGAGUUGUAAAGUAGAUUCCUUUGUGAUAAGGUUUAAUAAUGUCUACAGUAUGUAAUAGUGGUUCCCUUGUGCCUAUAAAAGGGAACCCUUGGUUUGUUGAUAGGCAUCGAGUCUUGGAGUGCAAUAUUGUAUUUUAAAUCUCUCAUUCCUCUUAAUGAAAGUAACCUUCCUCUGUUUGCUCCAAAACAGAUUUAUUGGUAUCAGAGCCAUAUUUCCCAAAAGGAAACCCCUGGGUGUGCAACAAUACUAUGCUCUGUGGUUGCCGAAAUAGUUCGGAUCCUCCACAUCAGAAAGUUGUUGGAUACUAGUCUGCCUGUCUAAACUUUCCAUACUAAAACACUACAGAGUAAAUUCUGUAAGGUGUGGCGCCCCCUUGAGAAGGCCAAGAAGUGCCGUGUUUUAGGGCUUAUCACCCCAAAGAAAACCCUCUGAUUUCUUUUAGCCAUGGAAACCCAAAACAGUAACAGAUCCAGUAACCAAUCAAUUUCUGACCAACCAUCUACUUCGGCCAUCAGAGUACCAACAGAUAGUUCACCCUCUGUAAACUUCCAUUAUGAAACCCAAGAGGAUGAAAACAGUGAGAGAGCGGUUCAGUCCUUCAGACUUGAUCCGUUAGAUCCUUACAGAUACUACCAUAUUAGCCCUACUCUUAACCACCUAAGAGCCAUAAUCCCCAUAAGACAACCUAAGCUUAAAACCAUCUACAAAUCCUCUGAAAUCACUGUCCAGUCAAUCUCCUCAAGCUCAAAAGAAACAUACCUUCCCAUAAUCUCUUCUAGCGAGAUUACAAGGUAUAAACUUCAGGGAUACAAGGGAUUACACCUUGGAGCAAUCCAGAUAGGGAUACAACCUUUAUUCCUAGCUGGAAAAGAUAUCACAUGUUUCAUUGUCAUUUUAGACACUAGAUGGCAAACUUUUGAAAAGGCUUUAAUUACUGCUGUUGAAGCAGGACUCAACCAAGGCCAUGUUGUUCUCCAAGUUGAGCCAAAUUUUACCCUUGAUAUACACAAGCCAUCCCUCACAGAUGCCAUUAAGGUAUUAAUUCAGGUCAAUGGUCUAACCAUGAAACCUGAUGAAUCUGCCUUGGCAAUCCACCACACUAUGACCUAUAAAGUCCAAACCCAUCUGUUCUCUAUGAGUAGCUCUGGCAGGCCUAUUACCAGAUUUCUUGCUGGUGAUGGCAGAGUCUUUCAACCUAGGACUUAUAGGCAAAAUCAACUCAUGUUUCCUCCUCAAUGGAUUAAUGAGUAUGAGAAAAACAACAGGCCUCAACAAAUCCAUGAGGUCCCAAAAAUAAGCAGGCUACAAGAAGGAAGAGUAUCAAUCUCUUUCCCCACAGAGACUAAAGCUCUAUAUCCAUGUGAAAAAUGCCAGCUUGAAGGAAAGCAUCUCUCCUUGUGCACACAUAUGCCAAGAAGAACUACCUCCUGCAGAAUCAUGGGUCCAGUAAACAUGAUUACCACUCCGGAUCUUGAUAAUGAGUUCAUUAAAGAUAUCCCCGGAGGAAUGUAUGCUGCCAAAUGGGUAAUACAGAAAACUAACCCAACAGAGUUCGGCCCAAUUGAGAAGGCAAUCAACUGGUCAAACAUCAAUGCUGUGGAACAAAACCAAGCCUUGGGAGACAUCAUGGUCACUCAACAACAGAUUCUUGCUGACUUAGCUGUAAUCAGAAAACAGCUAAAGAAAAACAAGAAACAACAUAAGAUGACCACCCAACAGUUCUCUCAACUACAUGAUAGUGCCUCCAGGUCAGUCAACAUGAUUGUGAUGACUGGAGCAGCAGACGAAGAUGAAAUGAGAAGGACAAAGGAGAGUUAUCAACGACCAAAGGUGUCCAGGCACUGGAAAAGCAAGCCUACAAAACCAGGGCACAUCUAGGAGGAAAAUGCAUAUGGGAAUUGCCAGAAAGCAUUUUGGAGAAGCUAUGCUCCUCCUCCUCAAUACCCAUGGCCCCAGAAGGCUACUGGGUGGGACGAGGAAACAGAAACUGAUGAUAGCUCAAGCAUCUCUUCUAUGGAGAACCCUCCAAUUCCUAUUCUAAUGCAGAGAGCUAAUCCUACAAAUCCAUUUUAUGUGGAUACACGUACCAGAUUUGCAGCUUCAACAACAACACCUGGCCAAACCUCUGAUCCUACAAGGCAAACUCAAAACCCAUCAGGGACAACACAAUUCACUGCCCCUGAAUUCACAGAACCAGCAGCUACAGAAGCCUCCUCCAAUCCGGCGUGCACCUACUGAUCGUGCCCCGCCAAACCUCUGAUCCUACAAGGCAAACUCAAAACCCAUCAGGGACAACACAAUUCACUGCCCCUGAAUUCACAGAACCAGCAGCUACAGAAGCCUCCUCCAAUCCGGCUGGUGCACCUACUGAUCGUGCCCCUCAUAUAGAUGAAGUCAGUCAAGGAGAAGAAUGGGAAACCCGAGUACAACUCGGACAUUCCACAACCGGAAAGAUGUUCUGGAACAUUGAUGGAAUGAAGCCUAAAGAAAGGCUGGCUUAUUUUGAAAAAAUGGUAGCUUGGUACGAAGGAGAAUGUCAAAGAGCCCCCCAGUUGAGUAGAAGAUCAGCCGCAUUACGGCUGGUAGCAGGAUUUGUUAGAUCGCUAAGACGAUGGUGGGGACGAAAGCUUACUAGUGAGCAACGACAAUUCAUUUUCAGCAGAGAAGAUCCUUGUGGAAGCCUAGUUGAAAAUCUAUCCUUGGAUUUUCUAGGCCAUUUCACAAGAGAAGAAGAGGUUGCUGAAAAGCAAUUUCUCCAAAACAAGUGUUGUGAUGUUCGGAAAAUGGAAGAGUACUACCUGGAGCAGGAAAGGUUGUACUACAUCUUUGACAAACAAUCCGAUACCAUACACAGGACAUUUGUGCUAAACAUGCCAGGCCCAGUUGCAGAAAUGAUGGAGGCUAAAUUCAAAGCUGAUGCAAUUACUGAUUUAGCACAGCUCAGCCUUGCCCAGCUCUACCAGAUUGCAAUGGAGCUUAUUCAAAGCCACUGCAGAUCUCAAGAUUUACGAAGACACAUGAAGCAGAUUGAGAAAUCCUCUCUGCAAAAAUUCUGUAAUGAGGAACCAAACAAAUUUGGUUGCCAACAUACAGACAAAAUGUGCUCUUGUAAUCCUGGCAGACAAAAGAAAGCAAAACGCCCCUGGAAACCAUACAAAGGGAAAAAAUACCGUUUCAUCAAAAAACGAAAACACAAGAAAGGCUCUGGCAGAUGUUUCAUCUGUGGCAAGAAAGGCCACUAUGCUAAACAAUGUAAAUCCAAAAAGAAACUCCCAGCCAAACUCAUCCAGCUGAUCCAGCAAGAUGAUUUUGAUGACGACAUUUAUACCUGGUCCGAUAGCCCCUUUGGUGCUGUCUAUACUCUUGAUGAAUACUGCUGUACGGCCAAGGCGGAUGUACGGUACAGCAGCAGUACUCUCACACUCUUGAAGAAAUUUUUUUACCUAAGACACAUAUUCUCUCACAUCUCUAUAAAUAGUACAGAACCCGGUUACGCACCUCAGGAGACGCUCUCCCAAACUUUCUAAGGGCUCACUUGUAGAAACCCUCAUUUUUUGGACCAUCUCAUAGAGACUCUUUUUGAACUUCUUCAAAGAGCUCUUCAUAUGAGCUUUCUGCAGUUUGUGAUGUAUUCAAAUAAAUGAGGUGCCUUCAAUUUAUAGGCAAAAAUAGUUGUAUUAUUGCACCAAAUCUAAGCAAUUUGUCAAUUAAUUCAAUGUUUAACCUUAUCAAUUUGUCCAAUUUAGCCAACAUUUGCCAAUUUGUCAAAAGCUUGUUGUGCUCUGAAUUCGGUGCACAAUAACUUUGACUUUUCAAAAAAUGUAGCUUCCACACACUAAACAUUUUCAGUAAUGGUUUCGCGGAGAUUGAUGUAAUAAAAAUAUAUUAAGUUUUGUCCCACAUCUCUAGUGGUCGAGCAUUAUAGCUUUAAAGCUAAUGACAGAGAAUGUAAGCCACAACCACAUAAGACAUUCCUCAAGAUUUUCAUUAAACAAUAUUUUAGAAGAUCGUCUACCUAGUUCGGCGGCAACAUAAGAAAAUUUAGAGGUUCAGUCGCCUCGUUGUCUAGUAAUGAUUCAAUUAUCUUGCAAAAUGUUGAUGAAUUAUAAUUUUUUUAAAGGGAAAAACUAUGAUGUGAUUUGAAUGGUAAGAGGUGACUAUCAACCUUUUUAAGGUGAGAAAGUUACUAUUUACCCCUUACAAAAUGCAUAUUAUAGUUUUAUUGUGUAGGUUGUUAGGUAGAGAUUUUUUUGAAAAAUUUGAGUUUAUAUGCACCCUUGGUUUUAACUUAAGCUAAUAUUUCAUUUUUCCUAUUUAUUGGCAUUUAAUAAUAGUAAUCUCUCAAUUUUGAUAAGUACAACGGUCUUCCCACUUCCGGCCACACAUCAAAGUCAUCCUCAAUCCCUCUGAAGAUAGCCAGGUAGCUCUUACUGCUCUCAUUGACACAGGAGCUAUGUGCUCAUUUAUCCGAGAAGCCUGUGUUCCCCGACAGUUCUAUGUUCCUACUAAGGUUUCUUUCGGAUCCGCCAGCGGCAGGGACUUCUACAGCAAAAAGGUUACUCGUCCUAUCGAGAUCCAACCUUUUAUGAUCCAUCAAAACCCAUCAGGGACAACACAAUUCACUGCCCCUGAAUUCACAGAACCAGCAGCUACAGAAGCCUCCUCCAAUCCGGCUGGUGCACCUACUGAUCGUGCCCCUCAUAUAGAUGAAGUCAGUCAAGGAGAAGAAUGGGAAACCCGAGUACAACUCGGACAUUCCACAACCGGAAAGAUGUUCUGGAACAUUGAUGGAAUGAAGCCUAAAGAAAGGCUGGCUUAUUUUGAAAAAAUGGUAGCAUGGUACGAAGGAGAAUGUCAACGAGCCCCCCAGUUGAGCAGAAGAUCAGCCGCAUUACGGCUGGUAGCAGGAUUUGUUGGAUCGCUAAGACGAUGGUGGGGACGAAAGCUUACUAGUGAGCAACGACAAUUCAUUCUCAGCAGAGAAGAUCCUUGUGGAAGCCUAGUUGAAAAUCUAUCCUUGGAUUUUCUAGGCCAUUUCACAAGAGAAGAAGAGGUUGCUGAAAAGCAAUUUCUCCAAAACAAGUGUUGUGAUGUUCGGAAAAUGGAAGAGUACUACCUGGAGCAGGAAAGGUUGUACUACAUCUUUGACAAACAAUCCGAUACCAUACACAGGACAUUUGUGCUAAACAUGCCAGGCCCAGUUGCAGAAAUGAUGGAGGCCAAAUUCAAAGCUGAUGCAAUUACUGAUUUAGCACAGCUCAGCCUUGCACAGCUCUACCAGAUUGCAAUAGAGCUUAUUCAAAGUCACUGCAGAUCUCAAGAUUUACGAAGACACGUGAAGCAGAUUGAGAAAUCCUCUCUGCAAAAAUUCUGUAAUGAGGAACCAAACAAAUUUGGUUGCCAACAUACAGACAAAAUGUGCUCUUGUAAUCCUGGCAGACAAAAGAAAGCAAAACGCCCCUGGAAACCAUACAAAGGGAAAAAAUACCGUUUCAUCAAAAAACGAAAACACAAGAAAGGCUCUGGCAGAUGUUUCAUCUGUGGCAAGAAAGGCCACUAUGCUAAACAAUGUAAAUCCAAAAAGAAACUCCCAGCCAAACUCAUCCAGCUGAUCCAGCAAGAUGAUUUUGAUGACGACAUUUAUACCUGGUCCGAUAGCCCCUUUGGUGCUGUCUAUACUCUUGAUGAAUAUCCUCUUUCUGAUUCUGAGGAUACUGCUUCUACAACAGACGGUGAUUCCCCCGAUGAUGAUGAUGAUGACACUGUUCUCACUGUUCGAGAACCUCUACAAGUUACUUCUGCCAUACAACGGUCUUCCCACUUCCGACCACACAUCAAAGUCAUCCUCAAUCCCUCUGAAGAUAGCCAGGUAGCUCUUACUGCUCUCAUCGACACAGGAGCUAUGUGCUCAUUUAUCCGAGAAGUCUGUGUUCCCCGACAAUUCUAUGUUCCUACUAAGGUUUCUUUCGGAUCCGCCAGUGGCAGGGACUUCUACAGCAAAAAGGUUACUCGUCCUAUCGAGAUCCAACCUUUUAUGAUCCAGCAUGGAUUCUUUGCCUUUGAUUACUCCGGCGAAGAUAUCCUCCUUGGCACCGACUUUCUCCGUCUGGUUGCCCCUUAUCACACUUUCUCAAAGAUCUCAAUACUUUUAUUGCAUGGCUUCAAUGGACCAUGCCUCACCAGACAACCUCUCAUCCAGGCAUGCCCCAUGACGAAGAAUUGUGCAAAUCAGAGAUCCAGGCCCUUAUGGAUCUAAAGCUCAUCAGGCCCUCUAAGUCUCAUUGGGCCAGCCCAGCAUUCUAUGUCAACAAGCAUUCAGAACAAAUACGUGGAAAGAAGCGAUUGGUGAUAGACUAAGAAAAUCAUCUCUCACAAGAGAGAUCCGGAAGAUCAGGCUCUGCAAGAACACAGACCUGCCCAUAACAAGAAGUGCCAAAGAGCCUUCGAUCCGCAUCCAAACCCGGACCAGAUGCAUGAAACUAUCUUCAAGGUUGGUUGCACUUUUCACUAUGUGAUAGAUGAGAACUCCAAUUGGGGUCAUUAUGUCAUUUGCGACAUAACCCCUCAAGCUUACUACAUCACAUGGUACUGGCUCAACAUAUACCCCGUGGCAAUACUAUUCGAACCAAACCUGAUCCAUACCAGCCGAAGAUACGGUAAAGGAAGAUGGUUCGAUCGAAUGUUCGCCCCCAUCUUUGAAGAUGUCCUCACACUAAAGCUCAUCAACGGUUAUCACAUCACCCACUCUACAAUAGUGAUCGUGAAACUCACAGAUAUUUGGGGACGGUACAAAGAGCCUUUCAUACAGGUAGUCCAACAUGACCACUCCCAUGAAGAAAUCGAUUCCAUGUGGACUGGUUGCUGGAACGCUAGGCAAGCCUUAGCAGAGGUAUACGGGACUGUUCCCAUGUACAACACCCACAGUCCAGUAUCCCCACAAGUCUGCAGUACUCCAGACCUUUACUACAGAGAGGAGAUACGAAAUCUCAAACUACAUGGAGACGAAGACGAGGCAGCCGACAUGCAGCAUAAGUAUAAUGACUACCUUUCCCGACAUGGUAGGCCACAAGACAUCACCUAUCUGGAUACCCCAGAUAUUGACAGAUGGAGGAACGAACUUGAAGAUAUGGCCAACUGGCUAGACCUCCAAGAAUGGCCCCAGCCAGAACUAAACCCACAGCCAGACCCGAUUUGGCCCAAUAUGGGAGAAGACAUGGACGCCGCAUCUGAAGAACGAUGGAACCAUCGGUCAGGACGUAGCACGCCAACCAGUGGCAACUCUGGACUGUAGCGGAAGCUUAGUGGACCCUACAGUGGAAGCAUUGGUGAUAAUAAUAUAGUGUAUUUGUAUUCGUAUGUAUUAUGUACCAUCCUUAGAGAUAAGGAUAAGAGUGUGAGUGUGACAUAAAGUAAAGGAGUGAGUUGUAAAGUAGAUUCCUUUGUGAUAAGGUUUAAUAAUGUCUACAGUAUGUAAUAGUGGUUCCCUUGUGCCUAUAAAAGGGAACCCUUGGUUUGUUAAUAGGCAUCGAGUCUUGGAGUGCAAUAUUGUAUUUUAAAUCUCUCAUUCCUCUUAAUGAAAGUAACCUUCCUCUGUUUGCUCCAAAACAGACUGACAGAUGGAGGAACGAACUUGAAGAUAUGGCCAACUGCCAAAUGGGUAAUACAGAAAACUAACCCAACAGUAACCUUCCUCUGUUUGCUCUAAAACAGAUUAUUACAUUAAUGUAUAACAUUUAAUAAGCUAAUAUAACUAAUAAUAAGUACUUAAAUGUUAUAUAAAAAAUUAUAACAUAAUAUUAUAUUAUUUAAUUAUAUUAUAAUAAUUAAUAAAUAAAAUUGAUUAUUAUUUAAAAUUUUAGUAUAACUAACAAUAAAUACUUAAAUAAUAUAUAAAGAUCUGCUGUACGGCCAUUAAUUAAACAAAUUAUUUUUCUUGAAUGCAUUAAGUCAAAACAAAAUAAAAAGAUAUAUAUAUAUAUAUAUUAUCAAUAAAAUUGUAUCUAAUUUUAUGUUUUAUAUAUAUUUUAUGUAAUUUUAAAAUUUGCUUCUUACUUGUAUUUAAAGAUCAUUUGUGGUUGCUAUCAAGAAGAUUUAAAAUGAUGAAAAAUCACCUUAUCCUACGAGCAACUUUGAAAAAUAUGAAAAGAAGAGUUUUUCAAAAUCCGAUUUUAAAAUUAAGUUUUAUCCUUAAUAAAAUUUCUACAUAUAUCAUCAUAUAUAUUACAUAAACCCAAAACUAUCAUUCUUCAGUUUAGAAAAAAAAAUAAAUCAACAAAUGUAUAAGGUAAUCAUUAUUAAAAUGAGGUUUGAUCUUACAUUUUUUAGUUUUUAUUUUUUUCAAUAAUUCUUAUAUUAAUUCUGCUGUACGGCCAAGGCGGAUGUACGGUACAGCAGCUUUCUUAUUAAUUAAUUAGUUUAAUAUAUAGUAAAACCAUGUAUUAAUUACAAACAAUAUUUUAUGAUAAAUAUAGUAUGAAUUUGAUCUCUUGUUCUUAAUUUGUAGUUAAUAUUUUUUUCAUAAUACUUAUUCAAUAUAUAGUAAAUAAUUUCAAUAUGCAAUAAAAAUAUAUUAAUUUACCAAUUAAUAAUUUUUUAUUGUUUAAUAAGAAGGUAUCAAAAAGUGUGAGGGAGGGUGGCAACUUUCUCGUCGUUUAUUCUUACAUCUACGAGCUUAAUAAAUAAGUUUAGAAUCUUUUAAAAGAAUUUGAAGGCAAAGUUAUUUUAUACUCCACAUUUAUUUGAGAACCUUUUUUUCACAUCUCAUGGUUGAUAAUCUUGAGUUAGUGAUAAAAUUUAGUUGCUAAUUGCUAGAGAUAUGGAAUUGAAACUAGUGGGCAUGUAAAUAAUUCAAUCAUUUUUUUAUAUCAUUUUAAUUAAUUAAUUUAGUAAAAAUAUGAAAUUAGUUUUAACAAGGAUAUAUUUGACAUUUAAGUAGGUGUAUGGAGUAAAUUUUCUUUUUACAACUUUGAUGAUGGGUGUGUGAAUUAAUAAUUAAAAAAUACCCUCACAUUUUGAUUUAAGUUUCAAAAAAUCAAAACAAGUAGGGCUAAUGAGUCAAAAUUUAAGAUUAUCGAUUUUUUUUCUAAUUUUAGCAUAAAACAGGGAUUGUAGUGUAAUUAAUUUAAAAGAACAAAAAAGUGCGGUAUGUUACCGCUGUGGUAACAUAGCAUGAUCGCUGAAGAUUGAUAAUAAAGUUGAGAAUAUUUUUUUAUUUAGUGAGAAUAUUUUUUUAUUUAGGAUAUUUUGGCCUUUUUAGAGUAUGAUUAUGUAAUAUGAGACAGUCCGGGUGUUAUUGGUCUUUUAAAAGAAAUAAAUAUAUAUUUUAUUAAAAAAAUUGCGGUGGGAGAUCACGUGGUUCAGGUACUGCUCUGUAAUGAUGAUAUGUAAUAAUGGUUCGAUAAUGCAUUCUUGCCACGCCGAGCUCCAAAACAAAAUCAUCCUUCAAUUCAAGGAUGAAAAUCGGGCGUUUGGGCUCUGACUCAAAUAUGCGGCAAGAUGCUGAGUGAUUGCUUGGAAAAACAGCAAGUCGAUGACUUUGUUGUUUAUAGAGUCUGAAACGUAGCAAAUGGGGAGCAUCCACGUGUUGCAGGAGAGGGAAAAGUUAGCUGAUACAAGAUCAAUUUGUACUGAGCUGUUACAUACAGUCUGUAACGUAGCUUGUUUGCUCCAAAUAACAUCAAAAUAUAAAAAAGUACGUUAAUACUAUAAUGCCCCUAUUUAAUUUUUAUAAAAAAUUGUUUACAAUAACCAAAAAAUAUACUAUCUGAAAUUUGAAAAAUUCUAUGAUACUAUGAUUAAAAUUACGGCAUUAUUAUCAUGAUAAAUAUAAGUUUUGUAAAUUACAUAUAAAAUUAUUAAAUAAAAGAUAAAAUUAGUAUAUUAAUAUAUGAGUGGUAAAUUAGUGUUUUCAAAUUACAAACAAAACAAACACUUAUAAAAUAACAUAAAACUUUGAAAUCAAUAUUAAUCUUUCAUUAAAUAAAAUUAGCUUAUUUAUUUAACUUAAUUAAAUAAAGAACAAAGUGAGUCAUCAAUUAAAAAAAAUUGUAUUGAAAACAAUUAGAAUAAGUUUUAUUGAAUUGAUUUAACUAUAAAUUCUAGAUUCAUUCUAUGACAUUCAUUAUUUUUUUUUAUUUUUUAUCAUAGUAUUGUUUACUACAGAGGUUAAUUAAACAAAUUAUUUUUCUUGAAUGCAUUAAGUCAAAACAAAAUAAAAAGAUAUAUAUAUAUAUAUAUUAUCAAUAAAAUUGUAUCUAAUUUUAUGUUUUAUAUAUAUUUUAUGUAAUUUUAAACUUUGCUUCUUACUUGUAUUUAAAGAUCAUUUGUGGUUGCUAUCAAGAAGAUUUAAAAUGAUGAAAAAUCACCUUAUCCUACGAGCAACUUUGAAAAAUAUGAAAAGAAGAGUUUUUCAAAAUCCGAUUUUAAAAUUAAGUUUUAUCCUUAAUAAAAUUUCUACAUAUAUCAUCAUAUAUAUUACAUAAACCCAAAACUAUCAUUCUUCAGUUUAGAAAAAAAAAUAAAUCAACAAAUGUAUAAGGUAAUCAUUAUUAAAAUGAGGUUUGAUCUUACAUUUUUUAGUUUUUAUUUUUUUCAAUAAUUCUUAUAUUAAUUUACAUGUUUUACCUUCUAUUUACAAGUCCUAUAUUUUAUUUUUAUUUUACACUUAAUAUUGAUUCAUAAGUUUUAUAUUAUAUUUGCAAGCACUAUUGAAUUAUAAGCCUACAAACUUAAAUUCGAUUUAUUAUUCAACUUUGUUAUGAAAAUUGACAAUAAAGUGGAGAAUAUUUUUACCUUUUGAGUAUAAUUAUGUAAAAUGACUUAGGGCCAGUUUGGGAAUGCUGUAGCUUUUAAAAUAAUUGCUGUUAGCUGUGCUGUAGAAAUAAUCAACUGUGAAGAGAAUCAGUUAAGUGUUUGGUAAAUUUUGUUUUAAAAAGUACUGUGAGUUUUGAAAGCAAUUAUGGACGUUUGGUAAAUUUUACUGUUAAACUGUUACGAGAAAAUAAAUGACUAAAAUAUACAUAAUAUAAGAUAAAAUUUAUUUAUAUAUAUAAAAUAUGUACAUAUAAUAUUUUUAAUUGUGUAUUAUAAUAAUUUUUAUUAAAAAUAAAAUUUAUAAUAUAUUGAUUUUACUUUUUUAUUUUUUAUCUUAAAACAAUUGAUAAUUAAAUUAAUAAUAUAGUGAAACAAAUUCAAUAAUAAUUCGACCAACAAAUUGAUAGUAAUAAAUUUAUAUUGAUGAAUUAUAAUACAAAUUUAUUAAAAUAUUUAUUUUGUUUCCAAUUUGAAUAAGGAUAAUUUUGGGUUUAGGUAAUAAUUUUAAGGAUAUUUAUGGAAUUGUAUUUAGUGGUAUAAUUCAAUAUAUCCAUAGAUCUAGGUCUGUGGAUUUUUGGUUCCACGGAUAUGGCGACUGUGUUCCCACCACCCUCUGUGGUGACUUGUGUUCAUUUGGCUUUGUUUGUGUUGCUGUGUUGGUUGUCUUUCAGAUUUUAUGUCUACAAGGAUCAGAUUUGACAAUAAGAGAUUGUAAAUGAUUUUCUAUCAUUGAUCUGUUACAUUGUUGGUUGUUUUUUGGACCUAAAUUUAAUGUAUUUAAUUAGUCUUAUGGAAACAAAUUUAUAAUUUAACUAGCAAGAAUAAAAUUUUCCUGGCGACGUUUGAAUUGAUCGUGUACGACAUUAAAAGACUGUAUCAUUACAUGAUUCUUUAGUAUAUUGAUACUAUUCACAACACAUUAGAAUAAGAAAUCAAUGAUUGUUUAUCUGUUGACUGCAAUGGGUUAUCUGUACAUUAAUCCAAAUAUUUGUGUAAUUGUUCGUGAUAGACUCACUAUUAUAUUCUUAUACGUUGAAUGAAUUAAAAGUGAAGAUAUAUAUAUAUAUAUAACACUAGCAACUCACAUUUUAACAAUGAAAGGUUCUUGUUCUGUUGGUGUAAUUGGAUGGAUGGUUUUGCUUCAAUGUUCUCUGUCUCACUCUUUCAUUUAUAGUUUUACCAACUAAUUAAGAGGAAACAAAAUAAACCUUUUAGAUUCCUAGAUUAUGGGAAAAACCUCUUAAGAUAAGUCUUAUAGGUUUUAGGAGACAUGCUACCUAGAAUAAACUCUUAGGUUCUUAAGAUCCCAUGAUCAUAGGACAAUUUAUCUAGAAAAAAACUUCUUAGGACAAAUUUCCUAAAGAUAAACCUCCUUAGACAAACUUCUAGGUUGAAAACCUAUGAUAAAAACAUAUCUUCCUUUGAAAACUAAGCAUAAUGAUACUAUAUCCUCUACCAAACAAAAAGGAUGGAGAAACUUCCUCUUUUGAUCUGAGGACAAAGUUGUAUGUCCAAGUGUUACUUGGCAUGGUCGCAAGAAGACAAGUGUUGCCCGGUGUUAUAAAGACAAUGACGUUUGUCGUCAAUACAAUAAGGACUCAAGUCAAAUCAAAGUCAUUUACAAAUAUAAGUUCCCAUCUUUUUUCAAAGAUAAGCCAAAAAUCACUCAAGAGGAUAAAUAGUGACUCUCUCUAUCUAGGCUUUAUAUCUCCAAAUUUUCUCACUCUAAACUUUUCUCUCUAAAAAUUUGGUGAUCGACUUGAUCAUCAAAGGGUUUACGCUGGUGAGGCAAGCCUUUGACUAUUUUACUUAUAUUUAUAGAGCAUUAUCUAAUUAAGGUCAUCCUCGUCACAUAAGGAAGCAGGUAACUCUUAAGAGAAAAUUUAAAUGAGUACAAUUGAAUUUGAAAAUGAAAGGCACAACAUAAGAAGCCCACAUUGAGAGUUCAACAUAGUUUGAUCCAAUAAAGAGGAAGCUCAUGAAAUUAUCAUUUUAUAAAUUGGGACAAAAUUUUUACCAACAAAAUUGGCGUUGUCUACGAGAACUCCCGACUAAAAGUCUUGGAACUGUGAGCAUGGAUUUGAGCUACGAGUAUCAUGACCCUGUGUUUGAAUCUUUGAGUUCUAGGGUUAAGGAAGCCUAUUUUCAACGAAGAAGACCACUGAUGGAUUCAUCAUUUGAAGCCAUGGUACUCGUUUAUCCUUUUCCUAAUCCACAUCAUGAUGCCUAACGACAAGGGCAAGCUUGAUCCAAAGUAAAGUGGAUUCAUUAGCUUCGAACUUUGAUAGAAUUUUUUAUUAGUUCCAAGCUCAAGUUGAGGAAAGGGAGAACUCAAGCGAUCCUAGUGACGAUGAAGUUGAUCCUAGUGACGAUGAAGUUGAUUCUGGCUCCUCUAGAGAGGUAUAGGGACUGCUUGGAAGAAAAUGACCUUAGACAAAAAGAUCUUGGGGGAGAGUGGCUAGAGAAGACUUUCUCUCUCUAGGCUUUAUUUCUCUAAAUUUUCACACUCUGAACAUUAGAUUUUUAAAAAUUCGAUGAUUAACUUGAUCGCUAGAGUGUCCACGUCGUUAAAGCUGGCCCUUUGACUGUUUUUCUUAUGUUUGUAGGGCAUUAUCUUAUCAAGAUCAUUUUCAUCACUAAAUAAGUGGACAUCUCUUUGAAGAAAUUUCAACUGAGCAAAAUUAAACUUGAAAAUGAAAGGCACAACAUGAGAAGUCCACAUCGGGAGUUCAUCCAAUAAAAAGGAAGCUCAAGCAAGUUUUAAGAGGCCAUCCUAGGUUGAAAUCAUAAUCUGAUAAUUUGGGAUAAAAUUUAUACUAAUAAACAUAAUUUUUUUUGAAUUAGCUAGUGACAAGUUGAAAUUUUUUUUAAUUUUAAUUUUAAGUUGGUGUAUACUAAAGAAAUCUUAAAACAAAAAAAUGAAAUAUUAUCAAUAUGGCUUUAGCCUAAGAAUAUUUAAAAAAUUCUACUAUCCUCGAUUCCCAUCCAAGAAAACGAAGAAUCCACGGAAUGCAUUUAACAAUGAAAUUUUUAUAUUUAAUUUCUUCCAAAAUUGCAAAUUUAUUCAUUACUAACUCUCUUUUUUAAUUAAGAUUUGCUUAAAUUCAUAUAAAUUUCAAGACAUAAAGCUGCUGUACCGUACAUCCGCCUUGGCCGUACAGCUAAUAUCUUUAUUUUAUGAAAAAGAAGCAAUUUUCUUUUUAGCGAUUUCUUACAGAUAUAUCUUCUGAUAAAGCAAAACACAAGGAAGAAUAAUCUCAACACAAUUAAACAAGUGAUAAUGGGAAAUUGGGAAGGCCUAAGGAAGGUGCUAACAUUAGUAAGUUUAUUAUUCCACCAAAGCAACAUCCGAUGAGGAGUAGCCUCCCUAAAACUUAGGUCCCGACUUCAAACCUUACUAAAAAGACGGUGUAAAUCUUCUUUCAGCAACAGUUUCCUACCCAUGAUUUUUCACUGAAAUAUCUUUGAUGACCAAAAACGCAAGGACGAAAUAGUUUAAGCCAAUUAAACAAGUAAUAAUGGCAAGGGCUAGAGAAGGUGCCAACAUCGCAUAUGUGCCCGUAACAAAUGCAAUCACCAUUGCUGCCAUGGACAAUAAGGCGAACCAAACGGAAACGCUGAACAGAACCUCAUCGAAAUCUUUAGUUAGUUCAGUCAUACGAGACAACCAGAAGUGAGUAAAGACGGCAGAAAGAGAAAGGAUCAUGGCAAUGGUAUCUGUUACCAUAAAUUCUUGAAAAGCUGUAUUUCUCCUCAGGAUUGCAGUGCCAUUUUCGCUUUUGUAACCACCAGGAAUAGUGAAAGCUGCUGCGAAGGCUACCAUUGCUAUGAGUGUAGCCACUGCCAGAUGUGACGCUCUGGCAUCAUUGAAAUCAUCUUCAGGAAACACAGGCUCUUGAAAUACAUGUGGUUUUCUUAUCGAUACAACAGCAUCUGAGUAUUGUCCUCUGCCAACAUCUUUGCAUAAUUUUUGAAUUUCUUGUUGGGUGCAAGCGGAAGUGCAGAGAAUUUUUUAUUUAAGAACAGAGUAUUUUGCUGGAAAUUACUGAAACUUUAUUGCUUAAUUCAUUUUUUCGUUUCUCUCUUUCUUUUCAUACAACCAGAGUUCUAUAUUUAUAUGCAUUAUAGACAACUCUAGAGAUUACAUUAAUCAUGCUUUACAUUUCCAAAGCCACAUUGCAAACAUCAAUUCUACCCUUUACUUCACGUUGAAAAACAAACCAAAUAACCCUUCAAACUUCUUGCUUAAUUUACGAGAUUACUAAUUAUAUCUCAACACCCCCUCUUAAUUAGUAAUCUUCAAUUGCUUCUUGAAUUUUUCAAACUUCUCAAUGAUGAUUGCUUUGGUCAGAAAAUCUGCUGGCUGCUCAUUAGUGCUGAUAAACUCCAUAUUAACUUCUCCUUUGCUUACUAAGUCACGGAUGUAGUGAAAGACGGGGUUUUUUGUUAGAGCUAUGGCUGACAUGUUGUCACAAUAAAUUGUUGUUGCAGCAUCUUGAUUGAACUGCAAAUCCUUGAGAAUUCUUCUAAGCCAAACGGCUUCACAAGCUGAUUCAGUUGCUGCAAUAUACUCUGCCUCGGUUGAGGAUAAAGCUACUGACUUCUGCUUCCUUGAGCUCCAUGAAAUCACAUUUGUAGGGCAAAACAAAACGGGGGUGUGAAACCCCAAUACAAUCAUGACGAAUCCAAAACCCAGCCCCUAAAGGAAGAGAAUUGAAAAGGUGCAAUUCAACAGGUAGUGAAAGAGCAGAGUUUGCAGGAAAGUCAGCUGCAAAAUUUGAUUCUCUGUAAACAUGCUUGACCUGCACUUGCCAGGUUCUGUUAAGCAAUUCCUUAAUACCCCUGACAAGAGAAGCAUGUGCAUUUGGCCUCUGCUGUACGGCCAAGGCGGAUGUACGGUACAGCAGCAAAUCUUCUACGUAUUUUUCUUGACAAAAGAAGAUUUUUCCUCUGGCUUGCUUCACUUGAAUGCCAAGAAAAUACUUCAUUAAGCCCAAGUCAGUCAUCUCAAAUUCAUCUAGCAUGCUUUUUUUAAACUCUUCCACCAUUUUCAGAUUAGUGCCACAAUAAAUUAGAUCAUCAACAUAAAGGCAAACAAUAAGGAAAUCAGUACCUUCCUUUUUGACAUAAAGAGAAGGUUCACUUGAGCUUCUGUCAAAUCCAUUUUUAACGAAAUAUCUAUCAAUUCUGCUAUUCCAUGCUCGAGGGGCUUGCUUCAAGCCAUACAAGGCUUUUCGGAGUCGAUAAACUUUGUUUUCUUCACCUUUCACUUCAUAUCCUUUAGGCUGCUCAACAUAAACCUCUUCUUCAAUUUCACCAUUUAGAAAUGCCGAUUUUACAUCUAGCUGAAACACAUUUAAUUCCAUUUGGGCUGCCAAGGCAAGAACAGUUCGAAUAGUCUCCAUUCGAGCUACGGGAGCAAACGUUUCUGUAAAAUCAACUCCAGGCAUUUGAGAGUAUCCUUUGGCAACGAGCCGCGCCUUAUAUUUUUGAACUGAACCAUCUUCAUUGUACUUGAUUUUGAAGAUCCAUUUCAGCCCAAUUGUUUCUUUUCCAUUUGGCAAAUUAACCAUCUCCCAAGUUUUAUUUUUCACAAUGGUGGCCAUUUCCUCGUUCAUUGCUUUGAUCCAAUCUUCAUUUCUUGAGGCCUCCUCAAAGUCUUGAGGCUCACAAGAAAAUAAAGCAAGUUCACAUGACUCAUAAAUUUCUCUCAUUGACUUUAUCUUCCUUGGAGGGCUUUCAUCAUCCGAAGAACUUUCUGCUGCUGAAUUUGGAGAAUUUUGUGGAGAUACAGGAGCUUCAAAAAAGCUAGAUGCCUGAGAUUGAUUGUUUUCCCACUGCCAAGCUGAUGCCUCAUCAAAUACAACAUCUCUUGAGAUAACAAGCUUAUUUGUUGUAGGAUUCAACAACCGAUACCCUUUAGACUCAUCACUAUAGCCAAUAAACAAAUAUUUUUCACCUUUUUCAUCAAACUUCUCCCUGUUUUGAGCUGGAAUAAGAGCAUAAGCAAUACUCCCAAAAAUCUUCAAGUGAUCAACAGUUGGCUUUCGGUUGUGCCAAGCUUCAAAUGGAGUUUUGUCUCUAACAGCUUUUGUAGGAGACCUGUUGAGGAUGUACACAGCUGUAUGACAUGCUUCUGCCCAUAAGUUGUUAGGAAUGCCUUUGCCUUUUAACAUGCUUCUUGCCAUUUCUACAAUGGUACGAUUCUUCCGUUCUACGACUCCGUUUUGUUGUGGACUUCAGCUGACAGUAAGUUGUCUUUGAAUUCCAUUAUCCCUGCAAUAAUUCAUGAAUGGAGUGUAGAUAAAUUCACCACCACGAUCAGUUCUCAAGGUCUUCAUUUUGCAUCCACUUUGCCUUUCUGCAAGAGCUUUAAACUGAAGAAAAGUUGAGAAAGCUUCUGAUUUUUCAUUCAAAAAAUAAAUCCACAUCAUCCUUGUAUAGUCAUCAACAAAAAGAAUGAAAUAUCUCCUGUUAUUGAGAGAGAGAGUCCUUGUAGGACCACAAAUAUCAGCAUACACCAACUCCAACGGGGCUUUGGCUCUCCAUGAAUUUUUAGGAAAUGGAAGUCUAUGCAUUUUUCCAUAUAUACAGCCCUCGCAAACUUUUUCAUAUCUUCCAACAUCAGGUAAGCCAAUCACCAUGUUCUUUUGCUUGAGCAAAUUCAGCCCUUUAUAGUUUAAAUGGCCAUAUCUAAGAUGCCAUAAAUUUGACAAAUCUGAAUUUUCAGUUUUGAGAGCAACAUUCUCAUCAAGUGGCAUAACAAGAGGAAAAACUUUGUUCUUUGACAUUUCAACAACGGCCACUGUGUGAUUAUUAGUUUUAUCAAUAAUUUUGCAUUUUUCAUCAUCAAAAUAAAUUGAAAAACCCUUUUGAAUUAGCUGCCCCACACUCAAGAGGUUUUGAGUUAAAUUUGGAACAUAAAGAACGUCAGAAAUGAGCUUUUUGUUACCUCCCUUUGUAUGGACAGCAAUAGUGCCUUUUCCCACAGCUUUCUGCAUCUUUCCAUCUCCAAGCUUCACUUGCGAAUUAAAACUUUGGUCAAGGCUGAUGAAAAUUUCACGUUCUCCAGUCAUGUGGUUGCUGCAGCCGCUAUCCAAGUACCACAAAUUAUAUGAUUCACGUUCAGCACCUUUACUUGAAUAAAACAAGUAAUCUCCAUCACCUUCUUUUGUAAAAUUUGCCUCAUUUUUGCCUGUCUUAUUUUGAUACCAGCAAUCCCUUUGCGAAUGGUUAGGAAUGCGACACCUUGUGCAUUUAUAACGACAAUCUUUUUAUUCAUGAUUAGACCGAUUACAAAUGAUGCACUGAGAAUCUGAAUUUUUCUGUGAAUUCCCGCUGUCAUUUUUCCACUUGUUGGGGUUGUCGUUCUGUUCUCUUUGCCCUUUGCCACGCUGUCCAUUUCUUUGAGACGAGCCUCCAUUCUUCUGGUCUUUCUUGCUGCUUUUAUUCUGAUCUGAAUUAUUAAUCUUUGACUGAAAAGCUUGCUCUGUAGGCUGACUUGAAGGUCGAUUGAUUCUUUGCUCAUGAGACCGUAAUGAUCCUGACAAAUCUGAAAAAGUCAUCUUGGACAAAUCCCUUGAUUCUUCAAUGGCUGCUGCUACAUGAUCAAACUUUGAAGGAAGACAUCUCAGCACCUUUUCAUUCACCUUCUUGUCUUCAAUGGAGUCCCCGCAACCUUUAAUCUGGUUCACAAUCUCAGUAACUCUACUGCAAAAAUCUUGAACUCCUUCACUGUCUUUCAUUGAUAAAUUAUCGAACUCUUUCCACAAAGUCUGUAACUUGAUGGUGACUGCCUUUUCGGUGCCGUGGCAUUUCUCUGUAUGUUUUCUUUGUACUGCUGUUGAUGUGCUGGAGUCCAAUCUGAAGAACUUGCAGAUUCUGGUGGUUCAGCAUAUCCAUCUUCAACAACAUCCCAUAAAUUUUGAGAGAGGAAAAAUGUUUCCAUUUGAUUACUCCAAUAUUCAUAAUGUACCCCUUCAAAUAUUGGAACUUGACUGGGAGCAUAUGAAAAUAAUGUGGGUAGGGUAUUUGAUGUCAUUUUGAGGGUGUUUUGGAAAAGCUCUGAUACCAAAUUUGUUGGGUGCAAGCGGAAGUGCAGAGAAUUUUUUAUUUAAGAACAGAGUAUUUUGCUGGAAAUUACCUGAAACUUUAUUGCUUAAUUCAUUUUUUCUUUUCUCUCUUUCUUUUCAUACAACCAGAGUUCUAUAUUUAUAUGCAUUAUAGACAACUCUAGAGAUUACAUUAAUCAUGCUUUACAUUUCCAAAGCCACAUUGCAAACAUCAAUUCUACCCUUUACUUCACGUUGAAAAACAAACCAAAUAACCCUUCAAACUUCUUGCUCAAUUUACUAGAUUACUAAUUAUAUCUCAACAUUUCUUCCUGCAAUUUACAUUUGAAUAUUAAUUAAUAAAUCAAUAUAUACAAUUUGAAACCAAAAAUAAUAAUAAUAAUAAUUACCUUGAGCUCAAGAUAGCCAUGGUGCAACAUUUUGCAACGCUAACAUUUUGCUUGUUGAUGGCCUCAUAGUUGGCUUUACUCUUCCAGAUAAAUCGUCAAAGAAUUAUUUUCGACGGACAGCAGCAAAAAAAUGGACAUUAGAUUUCCCCUUGGCAUCCCCCUCAUUCAUAAGACUACUUGCUAACAUAUUAUCUACAAGAUUUCUUAAUUCUUCAACUUCAAAACUAAACACAGCAUAAUGAAGAAAAUUCCAUCCCCAGUUAUCGACCAGUUCAUAACAUUCUGGAUUUCUGGAAAUAAUUGCUUCAACUACUCUGGCAUCCCUUCGGCCCGCUGCCAAAUGAAGAGCUCUCAUCUUUCGAUCUUUGUCAGCAAUCUUUGCUUAUACUCAGCAGCCAUGCAAAGUGGCGUUUUGCUGUAAUUAUUUGCAGAAUAUGGAUAAUCAGGGUCUUCUCUCGUCAGUAUUUUCACCACAUCGACAGUUAUAUGAAAUACUGCCUGGUGAAGAGCCGUAUGCUUCACUUGAUUCGUCAUCCUAAUCGUCUGCCUGGAGGCUCCUACCCCGCUCUCGAGCUCUUCAUCUUCAUGCUCAACUAAUUUUGCUCUUUCAAUAAGAACACUCGCUAUAUCACAAUGGCCGAAUUUUGUCGCAUUGAGAAGUGAUCGAGAAUCGCCUUUGGCAUUAACUUGCAGUAGCAGCGAUGGGCAUAUCUCAAGUAUUUCUCCUACAAACUUGGUUGACACAUUUUCUUUCUUCUGCAAUUUGAUGUUGAUAUGCCGGAUUGUGUUCUUGGUCUUGCUGUUAAUAGGCUCUUAAUUACCUCUCUUGCCAUAUCUUUGAAGGGCUCCGAAUUGCCCGCAGCUGUGGCUUUGAACAAAUUUGGGUCUAUUUGCGACUGACUGAUCUCGCCAUUGUUGUCUAAUAAUGAAGCUUCCUCAGUCUCAAUGGAAACAUAAUUCAUGUUGGCGAAGUUGAUCCAUUAGGCAAGGGUGAAUAGUAUCUCGGAUGCACAGUACGCUUAAUUUUGAAGUGACGAAAAAGAGAAGCAAUAAUUCUAUGAAUGGGACGUACGAGUAGUAUAAUUUUGCUUUGGACCUUUUUUUUUUCCCUUUUGAAGAUGGGGAUUUACAACCACUCCUUUGGAAUUUUCUGAUGAACAAAAGAUCAGUAGACUAACAAUGGAGUGAUAUUUUAUUAAUAAUAAUUAUAUUUAUAAUUUCAAUAAAUUGUUCAUUUAAAAUAUGAAUGAGAAUACAAAGUUGUAUAAUGGUUUUUUUUAAAUAUCUCAUUAAUUUAUUAAAAUCACUAAAUUCGUCUAUUAGUCAAAAUUAGAAUGAUAAAAAAAUCAUUAUCUAAUAAAAAUUCUUAAUUUAUCUGUUAUUGUUUAUAGCAGUUGUGGUACAUAUAUUAAUUAAAAUUUAUUAUCACCGUAAUUUUCAGUAUUUCACGAAUCCCCCUCUCUAUUUCUUUUCUUUUAUUGUGGGUUUUGGUUAUUUUUUAGGGAGAUAGGCCCCUUGAUGCGACUUACAGUUACAUGUCUUUCUUUUCUUUUAUUGUGCGUUUUGGUUAUUUGCUAGGGAGAUUGGCUCCCCUUAUACAACUUACAGUUACAGGUGACAUUUCUAAUAAUGAGAGAAUCUAACUCACAAUGAGUAGAUACAAGAGAGUCUACAGUCAAAAUUCUUUUUUUUUUUUUUUUGUCUGAACCACGAGGUGGUCCUGAGUGGACCCCAACUGUGGAAGGCACCUUUAAGCUCGUACCACAACUUAGACUAAUCCCCGCUCGCACCGGAUCGGCCCGUAAGAGGUAAAGUGCUAGCCAAAGUGGUGACUACAUACGAGAGCAGGGAUUGAACCCCUAACCUCUCUUAAGGAGUGAGAGUGUCAAAUCACUCACACUAACCAACUUUGGUUUUUUUUUUUUUUAAGAAAGAGUAAUUUGCUUUUUAAGCCACUUCCCAUUUUGGUGGUCAUAACUAAUAAGGGUGACUAUCACCAAAUCCAAAGUGGCUUCCUCACAACCAGCAACUAUCCACUUUUCAUUGGUUGAAUGCGGGAGUGAAGUCGUGUCUUUUGAAAGUCAAAAUAAAGUUAGAAGGAAACAAAUUCUCAAUGUGGGUUCUUAGAUCAAUUUUAGGAUAGCCACGUGAUUUUUUCGAUGCAAUGAAUGUCAUUAAUAUGUUUAUUUUUAGGAUUUAGAAAAAAAAUGAGGAAUGAGAAUUACUAAUAAUAUUUAUUUGUUAAAAAUACAAAGAAAUAUAAAUAAAAUUUGAGUGAAUCUCAUAAAUUUGGGAAUGAGUAGGAAUUUCAUUUAGAUAGAAGAGACGUGAAUAAGAAUGGAGAAAUGAGAAUAAAGAGUAAAAUUAUUUAUCUUUAUUGAAAAUUAAUUUUUUUAACUCUAUUUUUGUAACUUACAAUCAUCUAUUCUAAUUUUAAGAUAAAAUAAACACAUCAAAUUUGAAAAUACUAUUGUUUUUUAUCUCGAUUCUUGUAGUUGAAGUAGACAAUUUAUUAUUCUACAUUUUGAUUCCAACCCAUUAUGAUCCUUGCCUAUUAGGAUUCAUAGUUAAUAAACGCACUAUUAAUAUAUUGUCAAAGAGACUCUGUUUUUUAGUUUCAAUCUAAUUCAUCUCAAACCUCUCACAUAUUGAAUACCUUGUUGAAAUUUAUUAAAGAUAUUUCAAUAAGAAUUUACCGACAAAACUAGCUGCAAUCUACAUAAAUAUAUUAAAUUUUUUUUUCUAAUUAGAGCUUCUUAAAAAGAAUCUACCUCAGCUAGCCCAAUUCAAUUUUUUCUUCCUCAACCUCCUAUUGGAUUUGAAUUCGGGUAAUUAAUAAAGUAAAAUUAUUUAAAAAUUACUCAGCUAAGUCUUUGAGGUAGUUUAAUUAAAUAAACAUUGAGGAUUUAGUGAUCGAUUAUCCUAUUAAAAUUAGUAUGUAUAAGCAGAUGGCAAAGGCAAACCAAAUCAAGUGCAAUUGACACGAUAUGUGAUAGAUUAAAUGGUUUAUAGAAAUGAUUUGUUUGUGAUAUAUAUCAUACAACCUAAUUCAUUUGAAUUUGUGAAUAUUGAAUUUGUAAGCAUAUAUUUGGUAGUUUUUGAGAAUAAUUAAUUUCAAUUAAAAAUAACUGUUGUAAUAUUAUCUCAAAAUGUCACCUAAAUUAUAAUUUUAAUUGAUCAAAUCUCACGACCAAGGUCGAGACAUACUGAGACUUUACCUCAAUUCUACUGAUAAGAAUUGGCAUUUUGCCUUGCCCGCUUUAUCAUCGUCCAAAAAUCGCCUUUUGGGCCAUGGAUCGGCUCACGUGCGUGUUUUGCACAGUCUUUAGGAAUCCAAAGUCGAUUUUGUUUUUGGUUCACACAUAUUUCCACGGAAUUCAGCAGAUAGCAGAUGAUUAGGCUAAUUCGGAGUUGGGAUUCCUUUCUGUUCAGUGGUGGGACCAAAAGGGGAUGGAAAAUGGGCUGAACUUGGACAAGUCCAGGCUCCAGCCUAAUCUCAUAAAAGCCCUUCCAAGUAUGGACGGGCUGAACAGAACCUAGCCCAUCAUGUGCCUGAGCUUCCGAAGCCUCAAUCAUUUCAUUUAUUAGUUUUCAAUGGUUGCAAUAAUUCCUUCAAAGUAACGUCCCCCUGUCUUUCUCGGUCUUGAUUCAACUCAUUUGGUGAUAUAGGAUUUAGGAUAGAAUCUGUAAGCUACAGACUGCAGCAUCAGCCGUUGGAUGUAGUUGGAUGUGGAGUGAGAAACUAAACAAUAGAAGAUCGGAUGGUGGGAUGACGGGAGAUGUUUGUUACAGAAUUUGUACCAUAGACAGGUCCUAGGAUUUAACUUUAAAGUGAUGUGUCAUUAUCUCUGUUGAAUGGUAAAAUUUUAUUUACCUAUAUAAGUAAUCAUGAGCCCAUUAGUACAACCUUUGAGUCUUAACUAUUAUUGGACUUGGUUUCCUUCUAAUUAAAUUAGAUAGGAGUAGAUUUUUCCUCUAUUAAUAUUAGUAGAGCAAAUAUCCCUUUGAUAUUAUGUGAGGGUAGAAAUUCAAAUUGUGCCGUACUAGACUUAUUAAGAAUAAUUUCGAUAGAUUUUUUAUUGUAAAUAUUAAUAAAAUUCCGAUGGCAAUAUAUUAACCUAUAAAAAAAACAAAUAUAUACUCUUAAACAUGCAUCAUGGAUUUUCUUUACUCAUGUCUAAUUGAAGAUUUCUAAUGACGCAUUAUACAAAGAGAUAAAUUUUUUCAAUUUUUUUUGACAAAGUAAUCAAGAUUUUAUUCCAUCAACAUAAGAAAAUACAAACAAUUUGAAAUAUUAAAUUUGAUUUUGACUCCCUCUCACCAAUUCAAUCUAAUCAUUAACAAUAAAGUAGAUCGGCCUGGAUCUCAAAUUUUAUUUUCAUUAAAAACAUCAGUGAUCAAUGUACAAUUAAAGUAAUUAUUCAUUAUUAGCAAAGAUUGAGUAAAUUAAUUAAUGUUUAUGUUAAACUGAAAAUCAAUCAUUUUAUUGAUAAACAAAGAUGGUGACUUACUACAAUCAAUUACUUUUGUCCUACUUAAAAAAAUAGACAAUUUGAUGAGCCAAAACGCAAGGAAGAAAAAGCUCAAGCCAAUUAAACAAGUGAUAAUAGCAAGGCCUAAAGAAGGUACUAACAUUGCAAACGUUCCCGUAACGAAUGCAAUCACCAUUGCUCCCAUGGAAAAUAAGGUGAACCAAAUGGAAGCAGCAAACAGAGCCUCAUCGAAAUCUUUAGUUGCUUCAAUUUUAAGAGCCAUCAAGAAGUGAGUAAAGACGGCAGAAAGAGAAAAGACCAUGGCAAUGGAAUCUGCUACUAUAAAUGCUUGAAAAGCUGUAUUUCUCCUCAGGAUUGCAGUUCCAUUUUCGCUUCUAUAACCGCCUGGAAUGGUGAAAGCUGCUGCGAAGGCUACUGUUGCUAUGAGUGCAGCCACUACCAAAUGUGAUGCUCUCGUAUCCUUGUAAUCAUCUUUGGUAUCAUCAUUUUGCCCUACAAGGUAUUUUGGUCCCCUUAUAACACCAUCUGAAUAUUGUCCUCUGCCAACAUCUUUGGAUAAUUUUUGGAUUUCUUCCUGUAAUUAAUUUACAUUUGAAUAUUAAUUAAUUGCAUAAAUUUUUUUUUAAUAAUUUAGUUGAAAGAACAAAUAAAAUAAUUACCUUGAGCUCAGGAUAGCCAUUAAGUAAAAUGUUUGUAACACUAACAUUUUGUUUGUUGACAGCGUCAAAGUUGGCUUGCAUCUUCCUAAUCAUACGGACAUCGAAUUCAUCUGGACGUACAGCAGCCAGCACAUGAAGAGGAGUGUUUCCCUUGACAUCCCCCUCAAUUAUAAGACUCCUCACUAACGGAUUAUUUUCAAGAAGAUUUCCUAAUUCUUCAACAUAAAAACUAACCAUAGCAUAAUGGAGAAAAUUCCAUCCCCUGUUAUCGACCAGCUCGUAACAUUCUAGAUUUUUGGAAAUAAUUGCUUUAACUAUUCCGACAUACCCUCGGUCCGCUGCCAAAUGAAGGGCUGUCAUCUUUCGAUCUUUGUCAGCAAUAUUCGAAGCAGAUUGAUCCGUUUCUAAUAAUAAAUUUACCGUCCCGUAAUUUCCAUAAUACACAGCGUAAUGAAUUGGAGUCCACCCAUAUUUAUCUGUUUCUUUGAUCAGAUUCUUCUUUUUCUCAAGUAAUUUUCGUAAUGCAGCAUCAACUGAGAAUACAGAAGAUAAAUCAAAUAAUAAUGAAAACUUUUAAUAUAGGUAAAUAUUCAGAAAUGGCCUAUAUUUGGCCUAUAAUCAAAUAUAAUCAAAUAACAAUUUUUGCAAAAUUCAUUAAGACACGUUUGAAGCACUAUUCUAAGGACUAAUUUGGUAAAUCUAAUUAUCCUAAAACCAACUUUCCCUAUCUUAGUUAUCCAAAAGACCAAUUUUCAUUACAUUUACAAUUCUAAAGACUAAUUUUUUUUUUUAGGAAGAUUUCACAGUAAAAAAAUUAAUGCCUUCAUAACAACGCUUAAUUUCUUCAUAAAUUAAGAGUAUUUUUGCCAUUAAUCCGAAAAUUAAUUCUCCUAAAGCUAUUCAGUCAUUAACCGGAUUAACUGAAUUAAGUGAGAGAUAGAAUGUGCGCGAUCAGGUCAGAGGAGAGAGAAACGGGUCGGGUCAACCUGUUCACUAAACCUGAAUCGCUGCUUCCGAUUCCGGCCACAUCUCCGCCGAUGGAGGGUAUCAACCGAACUCUUAGACGACGCCGGUCAUUUCCCCAUCAUCGUUGUUGCCGGAAAACAGCCUAUGACCACCCCACGAAGCCGUGUUAAGUCAUGGAGGACGACGACUCAAAUCGGUGAGUUUUUACCGGAUGGGUCAUGUCGUCACCGGGGAUUUGUUCUUUAUGGCAGUUACUUCAAUUUCUGACCAUCAAACAGAGUAGCCGAUUUGUCGCCGAUCAGCCGUUGAAGUUUCACGGCUGUCGAAGCUCGAUCCGGCACCAUGGCUGCGCGUUGGAGCACACCGCUUCCACCGUUGGAUUCAGAGCGAGCUGAAGUUCCUGCUUUGACUUUUUCGAUCAUCGCCGCUUGAAUUCCGGUCACCGUUCACCGACGAGGGCAUUUUGGUAAUUUAUGAUUUUCAAGGGUAAUUUGGUAAUUUAAAAUUUUGGGAUAUUUUAGUAACUUACAAAUAAGGACAUAAUGAUAUCUUUAUGAGAGUUUUCUUAUUAGUUUUAGACCGAUAAUAUUAGGGGUGGGCAAAAAAAUCGUGGUCUUAAAAACACCGAACCGAACCGGUGGUUUUUUCUAAUUCGGAUCGGUUUUUAUUUAAAAAAAAAACCGAAAUAUAUCAUUUGUAAAAAAAAUCGAAAUGUCGGUUCGGUAUUCGGUUCACUCAGCUGAACCGAAAAACCGAACCAAAAAAUCGAAUUAAUUUUAGAUUUUAUUUAAAUUGACAUGUGUUAAAUUUUUUUUUAUAGAUCCAAAUAUUGAGUUGGAAAAUGCCUAAAGUUGAUGUUGAUAUUGAUGAAGAUGGGAGAAUGUUGUUGGCGUUUGUUUGUAAUUUUUUUUUUUUUUGGUGAAGAUAGGAGAAUGUCGUUGGCGUUUGUUUCUAAAUUUUCUUUUUAUUUUGUGUUGUAAGUUGUAAUUGUUGUUAUUUUUAUUUGUCUUUACAACAUUAUGAUUAUGUUUAUGUAGAUGAAGUAUUGGAGUUUGGUUAUGUAUUUUGAAAUUUUAAUAUUUCAUAUUUUGUGAGUACCUUAUUAGUAGUUAGUAAGAUAUUAGUGAUAANNNNNNNNNNNNNNNNNNNNNNNNNNNNNNNNNNNNNNNNNNNNNNNNNNNNNNNNNNNNNNNNNNNNNNNNNNNNNNNNNNNNNNNNNNNNNNNNNNNNNNNNNNNNNNNNNNNNNNNNNNNNNNNNNNNNNNNNNNNNNNNNNNNNNNNNNNNNNNNNNNNNNNNNNNNNNNNNNNNNNNNNNNNNNNNNNNNNNNNNNNNNNNNNNNNNNNNNNNNNNNNNNNNNNNNNNNNNNNNNNNNNNNNNNNNNNNNNNNNNNNNNNNNNNNNNNNNNNNNNNNNNNNNNNNNNNNNNNNNNNNNNNNNNNNNNNNNNNNNNNNNNNNNNNNNNNNNNNNNNNNNNNNNNNNNNNNNNNNNNNNNNNNNNNNNNNNNNNNNNNNNNNNNNNNNNNNNNNNNNNNNNNNNNNNNNNNNNNNNNNNNNNNNNNNNNNNNNNNNNNNNNNNNNNNNNNNNNNNNNNNNNNNNNNNNNNNNNNNNNNNNNNNNNNNNNNNNNNNNNNNNNNNNNNNNNNNNNNNNNNNNNNNNNNNNNNNNNNNNNNNNNNNNNNNNNNNNNNNNNNNNNNNNNNNNNNNNNNNNNNNNNNNNNNNNNNNNNNNNNNNNNNNNNNNNNNNNNNNNNNNNNNNNNNNNNNNNNNNNNNNNNNNNNNNNNNNNNNNNNNNNNNNNNNNNNNNNNNNNNNNNNNNNNNNNNNNNNNNNNNNNNNNNNNNNNNNNNNNNNNNNNNNNNNNNNNNNNNNNNNNNNNNNNNNNNNNNNNNNNNNNNNNNNNNNNNNNNNNNNNNNNNNNNNNNNNNNNNNNNNNNNNNNNNNNNNNNNNNNNNNNNNNNNNNNNNNNNNNNNNNNNNNNNNNNNNNNNNNNNNNNNNNNNNNNNNNNNNNNNNNNNNNNNNNNNNNNNNNNNNNNNNNNNNNNNNNNNNNNNNNNNNNNNNNNNNNNNNNNNNNNNNNNNNNNNNNNNNNNNNNNNNNNNNNNNNNNNNNNNNNNNNNNNNNNNNNNNNNNNNNNNNNNNNNNNNNNNNNNNNNNNNNNNNNNNNNNNNNNNNNNNNNNNNNNNNNNNNNNNNNNNNNNNNNNNNNNNNNNNNNNNNNNNNNNNNNNNNNNNNNNNNNNNNNNNNNNNNNNNNNNNNNNNNNNNNNNNNNNNNNNNNNNNNNNNNNNNNNNNNNNNNNNNNNNNNNNNNNNNNNNNNNNNNNNNNNNNNNNNNNNNNNNNNNNNNNNNNNNNNNNNNNNNNNNNNNNNNNNNNNNNNNNNNNNNNNNNNNNNNNNNNNNNNNNNNNNNNNNNNNNNNNNNNNNNNNNNNNNNNNNNNNNNNNNNNNNNNNNNNNNNNNNNNNNNNNNNNNNNNNNNNNNNNNNNNNNNNNNNNNNNNNNNNNNNNNNNNNNNNNNNNNNNNNNNNNNNNNNNNNNNNNNNNNNNNNNNNNNNNNNNNNNNNNNNNNNNNNNNNNNNNNNNNNNNNNNNNNNNNNNNNNNNNNNNNNNNNNNNNNNNNNNNNNNNNNNNNNNNNNNNNNNNNNNNNNNNNNNNNNNNNNNNNNNNNNNNNNNNNNNNNNNNNNNNNNNNNNNNNNNNNNNNNNNNNNNNNNNNNNNNNNNNNNNNNNNNNNNNNNNNNNNNNNNNNNNNNNNNNNNNNNNNNNNNNNNNNNNNNNNNNNNNNNNNNNNNNNNNNNNNNNNNNNNNNNNNNNNNNNNNNNNNNNNNNNNNNNNNNNNNNNNNNNNNNNNNNNNNNNNNNNNNNNNNNNNNNNNNNNNNNNNNNNNNNNNNNNNNNNNNNNNNNNNNNNNNNNNNNNNNNNNNNNNNNNNNNNNNNNNNNNNNNNNNNNNNNNNNNNNNNNNNNNNNNNNNNNNNNNNNNNNNNNNNNNNNNNNNNNNNNNNNNNNNNNNNNNNNNNNNNNNNNNNNNNNNNNNNNNNNNNNNNNNNNNNNNNNNNNNNNNNNNNNNNNNNNNNNNNNNNNNNNNNNNNNNNNNNNNNNNNNNNNNNNNNNNNNNNNNNNNNNNNNNNNNNNNNNNNNNNNNNNNNNNNNNNNNNNNNNNNNNNNNNNNNNNNNNNNNNNNNNNNNNNNNNNNNNNNNNNNNNNNNNNNNNNNNNNNNNNNNNNNNNNNNNNNNNNNNNNNNNNNNNNNNNNNNNNNNNNNNNNNNNNNNNNNNNNNNNNNNNNNNNNNNNNNNNNNNNNNNNNNNNNNNNNNNNNNNNNNNNNNNNNNNNNNNNNNNNNNNNNNNNNNNNNNNNNNNNNNNNNNNNNNNNNNNNNNNNNNNNNNNNNNNNNNNNNNNNNNNNNNNNNNNNNNNNNNNNNNNNNNNNNNNNNNNNNNNNNNNNNNNNNNNNNNNNNNNNNNNNNNNNNNNNNNNNNNNNNNNNNNNNNNNNNNNNNNNNNNNNNNNNNNNNNNNNNNNNNNNNNNNNNNNNNNNNNNNNNNNNNNNNNNNNNNNNNNNNNNNNNNNNNNNNNNNNNNNNNNNNNNNNNNNNNNNNNNNNNNNNNNNNNNNNNNNNNNNNNNNNNNNNNNNNNNNNNNNNNNNNNNNNNNNNNNNNNNNNNNNNNNNNNNNNNNNNNNNNNNNNNNNNNNNNNNNNNNNNNNNNNNNNNNNNNNNNNNNNNNNNNNNNNNNNNNNNNNNNNNNNNNNNNNNNNNNNNNNNNNNNNNNNNNNNNNNNNNNNNNNNNNNNNNNNNNNNNNNNNNNNNNNNNNNNNNNNNNNNNNNNNNNNNNNNNNNNNNNNNNNNNNNNNNNNNNNNNNNNNNNNNNNNNNNNNNNNNNNNNNNNNNNNNNNNNNNNNNNNNNNNNNNNNNNNNNNNNNNNNNNNNNNNNNNNNNNNNNNNNNNNNNNNNNNNNNNNNNNNNNNNNNNNNNNNNNNNNNNNNNNNNNNNNNNNNNNNNNNNNNNNNNNNNNNNNNNNNNNNNNNNNNNNNNNNNNNNNNNNNNNNNNNNNNNNNNNNNNNNNNNNNNNNNNNNNNNNNNNNNNNNNNNNNNNNNNNNNNNNNNNNNNNNNNNNNNNNNNNNNNNNNNNNNNNNNNNNNNNNNNNNNNNNNNNNNNNNNNNNNNNNNNNNNNNNNNNNNNNNNNNNNNNNNNNNNNNNNNNNNNNNNNNNNNNNNNNNNNNNNNNNNNNNNNNNNNNNNNNNNNNNNNNNNNNNNNNNNNNNNNNNNNNNNNNNNNNNNNNNNNNNNNNNNNNNNNNNNNNNNNNNNNNNNNNNNNNNNNNNNNNNNNNNNNNNNNNNNNNNNNNNNNNNNNNNNNNNNNNNNNNNNNNNNNNNNNNNNNNNNNNNNNNNNNNNNNNNNNNNNNNNNNNNNNNNNNNNNNNNNNNNNNNNNNNNNNNNNNNNNNNNNNNNNNNNNNNNNNNNNNNNNNNNNNNNNNNNNNNNNNNNNNNNNNNNNNNNNNNNNNNNNNNNNNNNNNNNNNNNNNNNNNNNNNNNNNNNNNNNNNNNNNNNNNNNNNNNNNNNNNNNNNNNNNNNNNNNNNNNNNNNNNNNNNNNNNNNNNNNNNNNNNNNNNNNNNNNNNNNNNNNNNNNNNNNNNNNNNNNNNNNNNNNNNNNNNNNNNNNNNNNNNNNNNNNNNNNNNNNNNNNNNNNNNNNNNNNNNNNNNNNNNNNNNNNNNNNNNNNNNNNNNNNNNNNNNNNNNNNNNNNNNNNNNNNNNNNNNNNNNNNNNNNNNNNNNNNNNNNNNNNNNNNNNNNNNNNNNNNNNNNNNNNNNNNNNNNNNNNNNNNNNNNNUUUUUAUUUAAAAAAAAAACCGAAAUAUCUGCUGUACGGCCAAGGCGGAUGUACGGUACAGCAGCAAUCACCAUUGCUCCCAUGGAAAAUAAGGUGAACCAAAUGGAAGCAGCAAACAGAGCCUCAUCGAAAUCUUUAGUUGCUUCAAUUUUAAGAGCCAUCAAGAAGUGAGUAAAGACGGCAGAAAGAGAAAAGACCAUGGCAAUGGAAUCUGCUACUAUAAAUGCUUGAAAAGCUGUAUUUCUCCUCAGGAUUGCAGUUCCAUUUUCGCUUCUAUAACCGCCUGGAAUGGUGAAAGCUGCUGCGAAGGCUACUGUUGCUAUGAGUGCAGCCACUACCAAAUGUGAUGCUCUCGUAUCCUUGUAAUCAUCUUUGGUAUCAUCAUUUUGCCCUACAAGGUAUUUUGGUCCCCUUAUAACACCAUCUGAAUAUUGUCCUCUGCCAACAUCUUUGGAUAAUUUUUGGAUUUCUUCCUGUAAUUAAUUUACAUUUGAAUAUUAAUUAAUUGCAUAAAUUUUUUUUUAAUAAUUUAGUUGAAAGAACAAAUAAAAUAAUUACCUUGAGCUCAGGAUAGCCAUUAAGUAAAAUGUUUGUAACACUAACAUUUUGUUUGUUGACAGCGUCAAAGUUGGCUUGCAUCUUCCUAAUCAUACGGACAUCGAAUUCAUCUGGACGUACAGCAGCCAGCACAUGAAGAGGAGUGUUUCCCUUGACAUCCCCCUCAAUUAUAAGACUCCUCACUAACGGAUUAUUUUCAAGAAGAUUUCCUAAUUCUUCAACAUAAAAACUAACCAUAGCAUAAUGGAGAAAAUUCCAUCCCCUGUUAUCGACCAGCUCGUAACAUUCUAGAUUUUUGGAAAUAAUUGCUUUAACUAUUCCGACAUACCCUCGGUCCGCUGCCAAAUGAAGGGCUGUCAUCUUUCGAUCUUUGUCAGCAAUAUUCGAAGCAGAUUGAUCCGUUUCUAAUAAUAAAUUUACCGUCCCGUAAUUUCCAUAAUACACAGCGUAAUGAAUUGGAGUCCACCCAUAUUUAUCUGUUUCUUUGAUCAGAUUCUUCUUUUUCUCAAGUAAUUUUCGUAAUGCAGCAUCAACUGAGAAUACAGAAGAUAAAUCAAAUAAUAAUGAAAACUUUUAAUAUAGGUAAAUAUUCAGAAAUGGCCUAUAUUUGGCCUAUAAUCAAAUAUAAUCAAAUAACAAUUUUUGCAAAAUUCAUUAAGACACGUUUGAAGCACUAUUCUAAGGACUAAUUUGGUAAAUCUAAUUAUCCUAAAACCAACUUUCCCUAUCUUAGUUAUCCAAAAGACCAAUUUUCAUUACAUUUACAAUUCUAAAGACUAAUUUUUUUUUUUAGGAAGAUUUCACAGUAAAAAAAUUAAUGCCUUCAUAACAACGCUUAAUUUCUUCAUAAAUUAAGAGUAUUUUUGCCAUUAAUCCGAAAAUUAAUUCUCCUAAAGCUAUUCAGUCAUUAACCGGAUUAACUGAAUUAAGUGAGAGAUAGAAUGUGCGCGAUCAGGUCAGAGGAGAGAGAAACGGGUCGGGUCAACCUGUUCACUAAACCUGAAUCGCUGCUUCCGAUUCCGGCCACAUCUCCGCCGAUGGAGGGUAUCAACCGAACUCUUAGACGACGCCGGUCAUUUCCCCAUCAUCGUUGUUGCCGGAAAACAGCCUAUGACCACCCCACGAAGCCGUGUUAAGUCAUGGAGGACGACGACUCAAAUCGGUGAGUUUUUACCGGAUGGGUCAUGUCGUCACCGGGGAUUUGUUCUUUAUGGCAGUUACUUCAAUUUCUGACCAUCAAACAGAGUAGCCGAUUUGUCGCCGAUCAGCCGUUGAAGUUUCACGGCUGUCGAAGCUCGAUCCGGCACCAUGGCUGCGCGUUGGAGCACACCGCUUCCACCGUUGGAUUCAGAGCGAGCUGAAGUUCCUGCUUUGACUUUUUCGAUCAUCGCCGCUUGAAUUCCGGUCACCGUUCACCGACGAGGGCAUUUUGGUAAUUUAUGAUUUUCAAGGGUAAUUUGGUAAUUUAAAAUUUUGGGAUAUUUUAGUAACUUACAAAUAAGGACAUAAUGAUAUCUUUAUGAGAGUUUUCUUAUUAGUUUUAGACCGAUAAUAUUAGGGGUGGGCAAAAAAAUCGUGGUCUUAAAAACACCGAACCGAACCGGUGGUUUUUUCUAAUUCGGAUCGGUUUUUAUUUAAAAAAAAAACCGAAAUAUAUCAUUUGUAAAAAAAAUCGAAAUGUCGGUUCGGUAUUCGGUUCACUCAGCUGAACCGAAAAACCGAACCAAAAAAUCGAAUUAAUUUUAGAUUUUAUUUAAAUUGACAUGUGUUAAAUUUUUUUUUAUAGAUCCAAAUAUUGAGUUGGAAAAUGCCUAAAGUUGAUGUUGAUAUUGAUGAAGAUGGGAGAAUGUUGUUGGCGUUUGUUUGUAAUUUUUUUUUUUUUUGGUGAAGAUAGGAGAAUGUCGUUGGCGUUUGUUUCUAAAUUUUCUUUUUAUUUUGUGUUGUAAGUUGUAAUUGUUGUUAUUUUUAUUUGUCUUUACAACAUUAUGAUUAUGUUUAUGUAGAUGAAGUAUUGGAGUUUGGUUAUGUAUUUUGAAAUUUUAAUAUUUCAUAUUUUGUGAGUACCUUAUUAGUAGUUAGUAAGAUAUUAGUGAUAAAAUAUGUUUUGAAUACUUUGUAUUUAUUGUUAAUAUUUGUAAUAUAAAAUAACCGAUUUAAAUUGGUUCUACUUAAUUUCGAUCCGAACCGAACCGUGCCCACCCAUAGAUAAUAUCAAUACACUUUUGUUACUUGAGGAAGUCCUAAAUAAGUAAAUUACAAUAAAAAACAAGUAUAUAUUUGACGUGUUUGAAAAGCUUAUUUUAAUAUGUACGGAUGUUAAUUUAUAUGAUUUGCCCAUAUAUUUAUGUGAUGUGCUAUUAUGUGUCAAGUAUGAUUUAUGCAUGGAUAUAUGUAUGUGUGAAAGUUCAUUGGCAUAAAUAUGAAUAUGCAUCAUGUUUUCUAGAAAAUAAGAAAGUGAAUUUUAGCAAAUUGAUUUUGAAGAAAGAAAGUAAAUUUUUCGAUUUUGGUUAGUUUCUUGAAUUCAUUACUCGCUUAGUGGACACUGUAAAUGUAAUGUUUAAGAGAUAUGUGAGUGAAGGACGUUUACAUGAAGACCAAAAUUAUGAAUGUUAAGUGAGAGUUCUACUGAGUAGUAAUUGAAUUAAGAUAAUUGAAAUACGUGAUUUGAAAGGAAAUGUGAAGUUUGAAUGUGGCAAAAGAAAUUUUAAUGAAUUUGUUUUACAAUAUUUUUAAAAUACCAUGGCAUGUUAUUGGUUUGCAUUAUAUAUAACCAAGUAUGUAAUUUCGUAUAUGAAAAAUAAGUUUGUUUACUAUGUUCAAUAUAAUUUAUUGUGAUUCCCGAAAAGAAGGAUUGAUUCAUGAUGAGUGAGGAGAAAAAUUGAAAUUGAAGAUAGUAGAUGAUUUGACAAAAUUUUAAAUUUCUUCCGAUGCAGUUUAAUAAUUCUUUUUGAGAAUUGAGUUUUUAUCGAUUGUAAAGAGAUAUCUAAGUUUAUAUGUCAGCCGUAGUUAGAUUCACCUUUGGAAUUCGGGGCAGGUGGUUACAUGCACUCAAGGGCAACAAUUCAGAAUAGUAAAAGAAAAUAAAUUGGUGAAGAAAGAUGAGAUAGCGGUAAAGAACAUUAUUAAAAAAAUUGAACUAUCUAACCCACCUUAAAGGCUUCACAUGUAUCAAAACUGUUUAACUUUUUCCUAACUCAAAUAUGGACUUAUUAUCUACUUUUUUUAUUUAAUUUAAAUUAGUCAUCAUGAGUCUCACAAUUUGAUUCAAUCAUAAAUAGAAUUGAAUUAUUCAAUUCUAAUUUGUAAGCAAUUCAACCAAAUAAUUAAUUCAAACCAAAUUCAACUGCUCUUACUUCUCCUUAAUGUGGGAUAUUAUAGUAUUUUAAAAUACUAAUUUAUAUCCGACAAUUUAUCCUGAUUAAAUUUAUGGCAAUUAAUAAUUUAUUAAUGAAUUAAAAGGGUGUAUUUACUUAAACAUUAUGAAAGAAUCUAUUAAUAGAAAGAUAUCAAUAUUGAAAUGGUAUAACUAAACUUACCGAAAUAAGAUUUCAUUGCUGCAGCAUGCAAAGCCGUCUUUCCGUUGGGGCCUUCAUGAGACGCUGAUGUGCUGUUUUCCAAUAAGGCAAGCACCAUAUCAGAAGACCCAUAAUCAGCAGCCAUGUAGAGUGGCGUUUUGCCGUCAUUAUUUGCAGAAUAUGGAUAAUCAGGGUCUUCUUUCGUCAGUAUUUUCACCACAUCGACGUUCCGGUGACACACUGCCUCGUGAAGUGCUGUAUUCUUCUCAUUAUUUGUCAUCCUAAUCAUAUACCUGGCAGUUCUUAUCCCGCUCUCUAGCUCUUCAUUUUCAUGUUGAAGUAAUUUUGCUCUUUCGACAAGAACCCUCACUAUAUCAGAAUGGCCGAAUUUUGCCGCAACGUGAAGUGGAGUAUCGCCUUUGGCAUUGACUUGUAGUAGCAGCGAUGGGCAUUUCUCAAGUAUUUCUUCUGCGAACUUCGUUGACGCGUUUUCUCUUUCUUGGGAUAUGAUGUUGAUAUGUAGGAUUGUGUUUUUGGUCUUUGCUGUAAACAAGAUCCCAAUUACCUCUCUUGGCAUGUCUUUGAACGGUUCCGAAUUGCCCACAGCUGCAGCGUUGAAAAAAAUUGGGUCCAUUUGCUGCUUAAUUUCACCAUUGCUGUCCAAUAACGGAGCUUCCUCAGUCUCAAUGGAAACAGGAUUCAUUUUGGCGAAGUUGAUCUAUUAGAUAAGGGUGAGGUACUCAUAGAUCUUCCUCUAAACCUUACAUGUAUGUAUAUAUGACUUGAAAAGUGUAGUAUUUUUCACACGUCUUAAAUUCUUGCUUUUUUGACAGGGUAACGACUAACGACACCGAAAAAAUACGGGUCGGGCCCAUCCGGAUGAGAGUGGAGGUGGUUCCGAGCCAAGCCAAAUUAAUAUGGGGAUUUGCUCAAUUAAUUAACUAAUUAUAGACGUUUAUACGUUUUGUAUGACAGAAAAACAUCUAAAUGAUUUAAAAUGAUUUAAUUAAUUAACUAUUAUUUAUGUAUAUGAAAAUUCUUACCUUAGUUUAACAUAUGUUCUUUAUUCCUCCACGAACCUUUAAUUGAUUCACACUAUUGGUGCGUAGGCAAUGGUGACUUUUGAGAUGCAACGAUGAAUUUUAAAAUAGACAUAAUAAUUGCCACUAUCCCCACUUCAUUUAUUUUCUUCCUACCGACACCGACAACUCUUUUUCAUUUAUUUUCCUCCUAUUUUUUUUCUUCUUUCUUUCUUCUUUUUCUUCUUUCUCUUUUGUUUCUUUCUUUGGGCGGCUGUUAUUGACAGCCACCUCUCUUUUGUUUCUUUCUUUGGCGGCUGUCAUUGACAGCCACCGGCUUUGACAUGUAUUUAUAUCAUCGUAAAAUAGACAAUAAAGAAUAAAUGAAAAUCAUUUUUUUUCUUCCCUUUAGCUUUUUAAUACGAGCAUCACAAUGGUUCCAGUGGGACAAUCUUAUUAUGCAAUUCCCAUCGGACAACUUCAAAGUUUUACAAUUGUUUAGUUUGUGCAAAAAAUAUUUACACAUUCAGCUGUGUCAAGUCCACUGACGCCUCUAGUUCAAAGUUACAUCUCUUCCCAUAUCCUUGAAAGGUUCAGUAUUUUAACUGCAGCUUUGAAAUCAGGGUCCAUUUGAUAUGAUUCAAUAUAGUUUCGUUAAAAGCUUCAAUCAGUCAGAACAAUGGUAACAAUUAGCAAACACAAUGGUGUUGAACAAACGACUUGGAAGCAGUAACUUUAUUAUUUAAGGGUUGCAUCUAAAUGCUACAAGUUUAUGUGGAGGCGAAUAGAGUUUUUGCUGACCUGGAUAAUUUUUUAAUUAUUGUUUACUUACUCUUUUAAUUGGUGAGAGAAAUGUAAAAUCAAUCGUGGGGUGAGAGCCCGCUGAGAAAAACAAAGGCAAAACGUUGUAGUGUUUUCAAUGGAAAAAAUAAAUAAAUUAUUAACUCAAUCCCCAUGGCCAAGAGUAUUUACUAGCUCAACUCGCCCGGCAUGGGCCAAAAUACAACCCUUGAAAAUUGGAACUCCAAGAUAAACAAAAGGAAAAGAGCCUUCCGAGAAACCUAAGAUAUCAGCGACAGUAUUUUUUCGAGAAGCAGCUGCCUUGACCAGAAAAAAAAAUGUUAGAUCUUCUUUUUCUCCGGUUAAUUUUUUUAACAUAUCAACUAAGACAGAAAGAUAAGUCGCACAAUUAUGAAACGUAUUCAUAUUAAUAAAUAUACAGAAUGACAGAAAUUUGUUGGGCCAUUUACGUUGGAAAUAUGAGGCAAAAUAACUUUUUGAAGGAUCAGCUCAGCCGGAACAACAACAUCCAUCAAAAAACUCAACGGUGAUGGACAAUAGCUUGACAACAGUAUUCUUUGUUAUUUAAAAAAGAAAGUUACAAUCAUAACCUUGUGGCUGCAGCCGGAAACCAAAUAGUUGCUUCCUACAACUAAGAAUUUGUUAUCCGACCAACGAAUACGAACUCAGAGAAAAUUCCUCAAGCGGGGUGCAAAGCAUUGUCCUAAAGGGUAAUUUUCACUAUACUACAACAUUGGACGCUGUCAUAUCUUUGUAAUCAUAUUUAGGAUCGUCAAGAUAAUCUUUUGACCAGGCAGGGUUAGAUUAUGAAUUUAUGAAUUUAUUGUAUAUGUCUGUGUGAACGUAACAAAAAAAUAUAUUCAAAAGAUAUCAAAAGAUAUUGCAACAUCGAGAAACUUGCUCUAAAGAAAAUUAAAAAGAUAAAUUACUAUUUUAAUUUUGAAUUUUAAAGGUUCCAAAAAAGAAUAACUUAACUAUAAAUAUUAUUUUAUUUAUUUUAAUAAAGAUUGAUUUAAGGACAUACUUGAGAAAAAAAGAUUUAAAAAAUAAAAAAAACCAUAAAAUUUUAAGGCAUGUUGAAUAAUUAUUCGGACUAGCCCUGUCAAGUAAACACAGCACGUGCCACUGCAUUUGGAUCUGGUCUUAGCAAUAAAGCACUGUUCUUAUGAAUAUGGCACUGUCUAGAUAUUGUCCUCUGCCAACAUCUUUGGGCAACAUUUGGAUUUCCUCCUGUAAUUUGAAUUUGAAUAUGAAUUAAUUGUAUAAACUGAAAGAAAAAAAAAAAAAAAAAAGAGUAGGACUAUUAGCACCCCUCCAAAUAGCUCUUAAAAUCCUUUAAUUAUUUUACAAUUUUAACAUUUAUUAAAAUUACAUAAUAGGCCAAUUUCUAAGAAAAUCUCCACUCAAAAAUCAAAUAAUUUUUUUUCCUUAUAAAAUCUAACAUUUUAGAAAUUAAAAAAGGUUGCUUUUUCCUUUAAUUUUCGAGUAAGGAAUUUACCACCGAUAGCUACUAUGGAGAGAAUGAAAACCUAUUAUUUUUUCUUUAAAUAGGAGAGACCCUAUUAUUGAAAUGAUGUUUAAUAAUAAAAAUUAGAGAAUGGGGUUUACACAAUAAGUUUUAAUUAAGGGUAUUUUUAUUAUUAAUGGAGGUGUUCAAAGAAUUAUUUAAUUUGUUUAACACAUUUUAAUGGGGUUAAUUAAGAAAAUGGGUGUUAAGAGAUAUUUAGAGGGGUGCUAAUAGUACCCCUCAAAAAAAGAAAAAAAAAAGUAAUGAAAAAGAAAGUUGGAUUAAAAGGGGUGUUAAGAGAUAUUUAAAGGGGUGCUAAUAGUCCCACUCAAAAAAAGAAAAAAAAAGUAAUGAAAAAGAAAGCUGGAUUAUAAGUUGAAAGAAUUAACAAAUUAAUUAUCUUAGAGCGUAGGAUAGCCAUAUUUCAAAAGAUGUCUAACACUAACAUUUUGCUCGUUGACAGUGUGAUCGUUGGCUUGAGUCUUCCUAAUGAUAUAGAGUUCUCCUUGGCAUCCCCCUCAUUUAUAAGACUCCCCGCUAACGGGAUUUUUUAGGAAAGUUUUUAAAUAAAAAAAAAUGACCAUUGCAUAAUGAAAAAAAUUCCAUCCCCUGUCAUCGACUAGUUCAUAACAUUUUGCUGCGAGAGAAAUAAUUCUUUCAUUUGCUCUGGCAAGCCCUCGGGCCGCUGCCAAAUGAAGAGCUGUCAUCUUUUGAUCUUUGUCAACAAUGUUUGAAGCAGUUGGAUCAAUUUCUAAUAGCACAUAUAUCUGUUGAUAUUGAUUAUGAUAUGCAGCGUAAUAAAUUGGAGUCCACAAAUAUUGGUCUGUUUCUUUGAUCAGACUUCCUUUUUUUAAAAAAAUUUUGAAUCGCACGAUAAUCCAUUUCUGAGUGUACAGAGCCAAAAGAUAAACAAAAUUAUAAUUCAAAUUGAGUUUUUAUCCACCACCACCCUCUAGGAUUUGAAUUUAGUGACCAACUAAAUAUAAUUAUUUGAAAAUUAUUAUGGCAGAAAAUAAUAAUUAUUAUUUCUAUCAUUUUAAUCCAAUUGAAUAGAACAAAUUAAUAAUUAUAGACUAAAUAAUACUAAUAUUUGGAAGCAGAAAAAUCAAGAGGACUACUUGUAUAAAAUCUGAAGAUUGCACAGAUUCACUUUCCCAUACAUUCAACAAUCCCAUAUCUUCUACCAAAUUUGUAGCUAUUUAUUACCUUCUCACUCACAACGUAAUACUACCAAUUCUGAAUUACAAUCCAAACCAAAUGCAUGGUCAUUCAACAGACAAUAAUUUACAGAACGUCAUAUGUUGGUUAAAUGUCGGUAUGCUAAAUUCGUGGUGAUGAUACCCAUAUGGUCAUCCAAGAGCCGGCAAUUUAGUAGGAACCUAAUUGAAAUUUAGACUACAAAACUGAUUGGAUUCCUAUUAAGACUAGGAUGGGACUAUUUGCACUCUAAAAAAUAUAAGACUAGGAUGGGACUAUUUGCACUCUAAAAAAUAUUCUGAGCACUCUAUUACUUUAUACACUCAUAUACUAAAUUUAAAAAAUUAAAUUUUACUUUUUAAACUCUUUAAAAUACUAAAAAAGAUCUGAAUUAAAUUAAUUAAACUAAUUUACUCAAAACACCAAUCAAAUACUUAACAAGCUUAAUCAAGACUUUCUCAAAACACAUGCCAAAUUAGACAAACAUUUACAUUAAAUAACCAUUGCAAUUUUCCCAAAACAAAAACCCAUUUGUGAAAUUAGAGCAACCCAAUGAUCAAAAUUCUCCGAGGAAAGCACUAAAUCAAUACAAAAUAAACUAAUCCCAAGUUCAAAUACAAAUUACAAGCCAAAGGGUUAAAAAAGAAAGAAGAAAUUUAACCUUGGCUGACCAAAUCGAAUCGCUGGAAGCGACACCGUGCCAAGCACCGGACACGAGGGGAAAUAGUGCCACGCUGCGUGCGUCGAGGUUCUUAAGUAUCAUCAACAUUAUGUCUCUACCCAAAACCUCAAGUGGGUCCUGCGAUAAUUCAACUUCUUCUUCUUCUUCUUCUUCUUCACCUCAAGUAAAACGUCCCCGUUUUGCAGUUUUUCUUCUAUUUCUUGCAGCUCCAUUCAGUGAUACUGAGACAGAGACAGCGAGAGAGUGACUGGAAGAGGAUGGGGAAUAGAGC